RNAcentral lists this long non-coding RNA (111178 nucleotides) under Coffea arabica (coffee). Its description in RNAcentral is "long non-coding RNA (CARA_LNC004509)". Lineage: Eukaryota; Viridiplantae; Streptophyta; Magnoliopsida; Gentianales; Rubiaceae. The record is from RNAcentral.
UUGCUGCAUUUCCAGUUUAAUUCCGGGAAGAGUCCUGCUCUAGCUUUUGCUAGCUUUAGUAGUCCUAACCCUGGUCUUCAAGUCACUGACUAUGCAUUCUUCAAGAAUGAUUUGCCAACUGAAAUUGUUGCCAAAACCACUUUCCUUGACAUUCCACAAAUCAAGAAGCUCAAAGCAAUCCUUGGUGGCACCAAUUAGAUUACCGUGAAGUUGUUUAGACGGAAUUUGGAGUCAGUCAAUUAGUUCGUUCUUUCACAAAGCUGUGAUCCAUUUUAUGUUGCUCCUCUGUUUUGCAGUUCAAGUACUUUUGUUUUAAGGUCAGGAUUGAAGUCUCUAAAUAAUGAGAAUGAGUUAGUGGAGUAGUUAUCCGCAGUUCAGUCUCCGGUGGUAUUUCAGCUGUCCUAAUGAUGGCUUUUCUCGUAUUUCCUCUUGUUGUCAAUCUGAAACUCUCAUGCCGAAAUCUGCCUGUUCUGGAAAUGAAAUUAAAUGUGAUGUUGUCGUAAAUGAAUUCGGGAUUGAAGGAGUACAUUUGAUUUUUAUGCAAGUAUAUUCACGCUGUGCUCUUCUUCAUGCUAGGCCUUUCUUGUUUUCCUUUUGCGCCCCUAAUGUUCUCAACUAUUCGAUUUUGCACCCUUAGCAUUUUUUUACCUUAACCAAGACCAUUUGCAAUGUCCCUUUUGCCCAUCAAAUACACAUUAAAAUACUUAUAUAGAAGGACGAACUUGUAAAAGUCACAUAUCUUCUUUCAUCCUUUCGUACUCAAAACUCCCAAACGUAGCACAGGAGGACCUAACAAGUUCUCUUCUUUUGUUGCCCAACUUGUACUUAAUCUUCCUUCUUUUCUUGCCUAAAUUUUGCAAACCAGGCUUAAAAUUUGCCAAAGCGAUUAGUUUAGUCCAAUAGCAAUUUGAAGAUACGGUCCUCUAAAGUUUAUCUUAUAUUACUAAUCAACCCCCGAGGCAUGACCAAAUUAUAAACAACCCCUUUUCAUUCACAGCAGAUGGAGAGAGCAGAAAGAUUUUUCUAAACGACCAAAAUAUCCUCAUGCUUUUACCUUUUAGGGAAAAAAAAUAAGAAAAGAUAAUAACAAAGAAAAAUUGUUCUACAAAUUGUUUCAAGUAAAAUUUUAUGAGCUCCAAGCAGCAGAUUUUAAGUGUUCCUGAUCGAGUUCUCUUGCGUGAUACAAACAUAACAAGUUAAGAAGAUGGAAUUUACUCGAAGAACGAAAUUCAGGAACAGUUGUAGUAUCAAUCAAUUGCAUAUUCUGCAUCCAGCAGCGAUAGUAAAAUAAGUUGUAUGAGUUUUCCAUUUUCCCAAUUCAUGCAAGUGUCUGUACUUGGUACAUGGAAGUCAGCAACUUACAUAUCAAUUACCAAAAGUCAUCCGCUGCAGGAUGUGUAAUUAAUGUAAUGUGCAAGUAUUGUGUGGUGAAGAGUAUGCUUCAGAACUGUGCGAUGAGCUGCCAAAUUUAGCUGAACUUGAGGAGCGCAAGUCAUCACUGAUCCAGUUUGCACUUGAAAUGUUGGCUAAAUGAACUUCAAACAAAUCUUUAAGCCAUUCACCCUUAAGGAGCGUUGUAUCAGUCUCUGGCAACAGCCCUUUGAAGUGUUCAUACAGAAACUAAUCAGCAAAACCUGUUGAGUCGAACCUCUUCUAUCUUUCGGCUUUUUUCACAAAUACAGCCAGGAAGCGGAUUUGCAUAAAAGCUCUCUUCUAGCUUUGGGAAUUCGCCAGGCUCCCUUGGAUAGGGGGCUCCAAUGCGAUCCUUGUGAAGUUUUUUUACCUUAGAACUGAAUUUUUUCCAGGACAUUACCCCUUCAUCAAGAUCAUCAACUAACUUUACAAAUUUCAUCCUGCAUCCGGAAAAUCAGAAGGCAUUAGUUUAGCAUAACUAAUUAUAGUAAGUCGACAUAAUUUAUAUCCAAUCAGCAUGAGGCAUUUUAACACCAGGCAAUUUUGGAUUUAUGCCAAGUGCAAUAACAAUUGCACAUCAUACAUAAGAUGAAUCCAACCUCAAGUGCCAUAAGAAACCCAUUCUGUUCCUAACAAAAUUCUGAGAAGGCUCUGCACCUAGAAUCAUUACCUGUCUGGAUUGACAGUUUUCUUGAAAUCCUCAAAGCGCCGAUGACCUUGUACUGCUUUUGCCAUAUUACCAUCAUAGGUGUAUACAAAAACAUCACUCUCAAGAGCAACUACAUAGUCCAACCCAGCUAACAUAUUCUGGUGAUUUCUGAAAGGAUUUAGUUCUUCCUCAGAUGAUAAAGUCAAAUGGGAGAAGAUAUUUGGGAAGCUCUCCGUGAGAUAUUGCAUACUCCCAUUUCCAUAAGCUUCACCAGCAACCAAGUAAAUCCUAGUGUUGGAUGGAUAUCCUAGCCCCUGAAGCAAAAGGGCCGUCUCCCUGGGUGUCAAAGGGCAUCCACCAACCUUUCUUCUCUCUACUGCAUCGAUCUCUUUUUCCUUCCAAUGGCUCACCUCGUAUCGCAUCUUACGAAGUUCCUCAUCUUCUUCUGCUGUCAAAUUGUGACUGCAUCCUGUGAAAGCCAGCAUAUCCUUCUCAUAUCUGACACAACAACAGAUAACGGUUAACAUGUAGUAUGGGAAUUAAAAUCUAUAACAAGUCACUAAGGAAUUCAACUAGAGCACCAGAUGCCAUUCAGAAUAAAAGCGAAAUGAUCUAAAACAAUCAAAGGUAUUGGUGUUGGCAUACUAGUAUUUUUGUUUUCUCAUUUGGACCAUCAUAUCAGCAUCUUUCUUCCAAGCCCACAAAAACCAGUAUCAAAUGUGCAAAAGGAUUUGUUAAAUUGUCAAAUCAUUUGAAGAACAAUAUCAAAGUUUUACAUUCAAUUUCUGUUGAAAUGCAAAACGAAUUAGAGGAAUAUAAAAUCAUUCAAGUUCCUAAGCAAAAAGAGAGGAAUAAAACCCUUCAAGUUUCCUAACCAAAUGAGAGGAAUAUAAUCAUUCAAGUUUCUUGAACUGGCAUAUAAAGGUUACCGCAGCUAGAGUUUAGUAGACUGUACGAUAACUACACUCCAAAAGUUCAAUGUCUGGAUCUCAAACUUCAAAACAGCAAGCAAGUCUUAGAGCAUCAAAUUCCCACAAGUCAUUUGUGACCACCAUGACAAACCUCAAGUGGAGAGCAAGGUAAGGACUUCCAUUGUAUCGUAUUCUUGACACGAAAGUUUUCCCUAAUUCUUCAAUUUGGGUUGAGUACUUCAAAGCUCUAUAAUUCACACGGCAUCUUAGCUUUUGUAUGGAGUUUGGAAGACCAUUGUUGGCAAGCCGGGAAUCGGUAUGAGUAAAGUAGAUCACUUUAUGCUGCUUCAGAAGUGGGGCAACUUCUGACUUGUAAUAGCUGACCUGAACAAGGAAAGUUUUGAGCAUAAGAUAAAUAGAAAACACAAAAAAGCCAUCAAUACAUGGCAAAACAUGUGCGGAACAAAGUUUUCCAAUAUACUUUGAGCUAUAGUAUUAAACCGUAUAUGGGACCUACAAGUUUACAAGCAUGCUACAAUAAAAUCUUAGGCAUUACAGCAGGCAUGCUUGUUGCUAGAGGUGGAAAAGGUUCACAAGGACUACCUUAGACCAGGAAAUGGGUGUUUUGUUGAACGGUUCAAUUCCAGCAUAUUCAGGUGGUAGUGCCUCAACUAUGUGAAUAUCAUCUUUCAAUGUCUGAAUAAAGUGUUCCCAGUCAAAUAGAUCUUUAAAGCCACUGCACAAAGACAAGAAAAGCAAAUCAUAGGAAGUUGUUAGCAACUGUUGAUCUUCCAUUAAGGCAUUUAAGUGCUAUUAAUGUAUGGUACAUGUUGAACCAAUGCAAUGGACAUAUUUUGAAGCUCUUGUAUCAUAGAGAUGUACACUUCUUAAAGCUGAAAUAUAUUUUGCUAUCUUUCCUUGUAUACUAUUUUAAGGUGGUCAAGGUGUAAUAAUUUUACAUGAAAACCAGUUUUAUGUCUCAUCUACUGUUCGUUAACAAGUAUAUCAGGCAGACAUACCUUGUGAGUAACAGGAUGAUGCUAAAAGAAUUUGAUUACUAAGAAACACAAAUCAAAUACAGCAUUUGCAACUGGUUAAAUGCAUUAUUUGUGCUAUCUUAUACACUGAAUGAGUGGAGGAUGAUUGAAGGUACCUCUCGUCAGCCCAGUAAGAAGUGUGAUCGAGGGAGGGAAGAACAAGAGUUGCCUUCAUGACUUUAGCAACAGCAACCAUGUCACAGAUCUGCACUCUAGAAAUACUUGUUUAUCAGAUUAGUUCAUUAUGUUCUUCAGCAAAAGUCAUACAAUCAUUGAAUAAGAACCAGACCCCAAAUCUCAUCUGAUUUAAGCCACCAUUUGCGUUUAUCAGAAGGUAACCAUUCGUCUUUUCGUCCAACUCUGUUCAUGAAUCAGAAAAGCAAGAUAGUAAAGAACAAAUGGAGUAUGUGCAACAUCAGAACAAAAUCAAAUUCAAGAGAAAGCCAUAGAGCUAUACUUUUGUGUUUUGACUGAUCAAUGCACUGAAUAUAAUUCUCACUAUCUGGCUUGGCCCAUAUACCUGAAUGCUGAAUAAUUUUCACUCAGAAAUGAUACGAGAAGAUUAUGCAAAAAUAAAAUUGGUCAAACAAGAUUUGGUGCUCACAUCAGCCAUUCUAGGUACCGUCAUUAGAGUCCGGUCAUUAUCAUUUUCUCUGCCUGCAUUUUCAUUAGCUCUGUUUGAUAUCCAUAGUCAUGAGCCCCUUCAUCUCUCACAUUAUAAGCAGUGUCUGGAUUGUCAUAGAAAUCCUAAAAAGGAAGUUAGAGCCAUUAAACCACCGUACCACUGUUAUUUCUAUAAUAAAGGCAGUGCACAACAUAUAUGCUAGAACACAUGAACCGGGUAUGAGAAAACAGGAACUCGCAUUCUCCGUCAGAUGCAUUAGCAAACCUAAAAUCAAUGGACCCUAUUAUGCAAUAGACUACUUAAAAUAAGAAACCGAAGAGUGCCACGCUACAAUAUAACCAACCUAACUUCAGUAGGAAAAGAAAUUGACAUAACUAAUCUGUCAUUCUUUUUACGUAUGCAAGUAAACGAAGACCUUCCUAAUCACGCAACCAGUAAAUUCUUAGCUUACUCUUAACACCAUCAUCUAAAAAGCAGUAGUAUUUAAUUAUUCCACUACUACGAAGUAAAAAAGCUUGGUAAGAGCACAAAGAAAAACCAAAAAAUUAUAUACAUCAUAAAUCCACGAAUCCGAUGCCAAUGAUCCAUACAAGAAAUGGAUUUAGUUCAAGCGAAAUGAACCAACCUGAUUGGACCCAACUCUGUCAAUUGCAGAUCCAAACCAACCACUGACACAAAAUUUCAAAAUUCCCAGAAACAAACAAAGCCCGCAAAACAAAAAACAUCCACUGCCCCCACUUCACCUUCCCCUUCAACUCCAAUCCCAACCAAAGUCCAUACCAAAAGAUCCAAUCUUUCUCUUCGAAUGCACUCUUUGAGUCAAAUUCCCCAAACGGGUCUGCCUCUUUUCCACCGAAGAAUCGAACCCAUCUCCAGAGUUCGCAUUCGAGUAGUUUUCAGAUCUGGGCGAGUUCAGCUGAACAUUAAUCUCGUGAGAGCUAUUACUAUUGUUGUCUUUGGUUUGGGAGCUGUGGUCGCUACCAUUGUCCCUGUUGUUAUUGUUGUUAUUUUGACGUUUGAAAGAGGUGGCUCUGCGAGUCAUUGGACCGGAGAAUCGAGGGCUAUUGACUCGCUGAGAAACUGCGCCAUCUGCGGCGGCUGAGUGGUGGUGUGGUGGCUGUGGUUGUGAUGCUGAGCCAUCCCAUGUAGUAGGGAUUAGCACAGUGUUUAUCUUGCCCACGAUUCUUGCAGAAGCGUUUCCGAAGAUAAUGUAGUGAAUCAGUGAUUCGGUUUCAGUAGGAUCGUCGAUGGGAUCAGAAAAAAGUUUAUGAGAUCGAUUAGUUAGUAGUAAUGGAGUGGGCAAGUCACAGGACGAAGAAAAAGGAGAGCAUGGAGUUGAACGCGCAAGGGAAAAAAAAAAUUUCUGGAAUAAACAAAAAUGAUUAUGAUUGGUGCUUUGAUUUUUGGAUCAGUGUCACUGUUACUCAUUGUUAGUGUAGGACCUAGCUUUUGUAUUCACUAUCAUGCAUUCUACUUUUCAAUUUUCAUAUACUUACUAGGAAUACAAGCCAAAAUAUAGUUGGAUAAUUGCAAUCAAAAUUGGAUAAUUACUUUAAUAUAAAAAUACUUAAAAGAGCUUUGAUCUUCUUUUCCUUUAUUUCACAAAUACACGCAACUUAUGAAUUCGUGACAUGUUCGAGCUUGUACACAUAUGUAUAUGAACUUUGAAAUUAUCUAGGAAUCAACUUGACCUCAAAAAAAAAAAAAAUGGUAAAGAUAUUACGUUAUCAAUACUGGUGACGAAUUGUUUAUGAAUUUGUUAUUAACAUAUAUGGUUUCAGAUUUUUUUAUAUAUAUAAAAGUGAAACUAAUUUAGAAAAAUAUUAGAAGCAGAGGACGAUAAAAUGUGAAUCACAUGAUAGAUUAAAUAUAAUUUAACUAUUUUAAGAAGUGCCUUGGAAGCAAUCCUUAAGUAAUAUAAUUAUUUAGUACAGCAAACGCAACAUCAAUUAGUUAGUGAUAAUUUAUUUUGAAAAAAUGUUAUUUGCAUCCACGCCAUUUGUUUAUCAUAUAAUUUAAUCAAUAAAAACUAUAUGAUUAAAGUAAUAAUGAAGUGUGACUAACAAAAAUAGAAUUUUUUUUUUAUUUACAAUGAUUGACUUUUGGCUCUAAAAAAACAAGAUAAUCUCGAGUUUGAGAGCUCACAUGAGCUAGGCUUGGGGGACAGAUGAGUCAGCACGCUUUCGAAUUUUGGUAAGAUAAAAUGUUAAUUUUCUCUUUUGAGAAAUAGAUUCUUUUGUUUUAUUUAUUUGAAAAAAAAGGUUAUUACAUCUGAAUGACAAAAUUUCUACAAUUCUUUCCCUUUUUUUUAUUUUUGGGUAAAAUCUUUUGAUUUGGAAGAAAAUGCUAGAAAGAGACAAAUGUACUAGAUGAUGCUGAUUAGACUUGACGGUAAUUUAAGAAAAUGUUUCAAAUUGAUAAUUUCCAUUCUACCAGCAACUUUGCCCUAUUUUAUUUUAUUUUCUAAAAAUCACCUAAUUAGAAUGACACGCCUGGGGUUUAGAUCUAUCAGCAAUUGAGCGGGCUUGGAUAGACUCCACGAUUUCUUCAUCUUCUUUUUUUUUUUUUUUUUUUUGGGUAAUUCAUGUGGCUCUUUAUUUAUUUACUAUUUAUUUAGUUCUAAAUCUUGUGCAAGAUUGCGAGUUGUGGGCUGCGCAUACACUUAUCAAUGGGACCAUGAAUAUUUAUUCUAAUUAAAAAGCCCAAGAAAAUAAUUGAAUUAGUCAAAAAAUAAAUAAACUAGAUAGAAUCAACAGCUUGUGCUUUCUUGAUAAUGAGCCGUUCCAUAAAACAAGUUUUAUAUGUCGUUUUCUUCAGACUCCAUAAUAAUAUAGUACUAAUACGCCGGUGAUGGAAUAAAGUCCUCGUCGUUGCCUGUGACUGUGAGAAGUUUUAAGAAAUAAAAUAAUAAUGAGGAAUGACAAAAUCUGCCACGUUUUAAGUUAAUCUACCAUAGUAAACUAAUUUAUAUGAUUACUAAUUGAGUGAUGCUGAAGUAAACCCACAAGUCAAAUCUAACCAUACAGGUCUAAUCCUCUCUAAUUCUUUUACUAAUAUUCUUAGAAUUAUUUAAUGCUCGGGUCACCGUCGUUUAUCUGUUUUUUCCAUGACGGGAAUAAUUGAUUCAACCAUGCAUGCAAGAAGCUCUUGAUUUUUUAUUUAUUUUUGGGUAAAUAAAUAAUCCCUAGUUCUUUGGUUAGAAAAAAUAAAAACCAUUUGAUUUUCCAGUGCAUUUCCAGUUGGCGCCGCCACAUUUGUUGACCGUAAGAACAUUCAACUCAACUGUGCCUGAAUGGUCCUCUUUCCACCUGGCUUCUUUUGACAAAAUCUUUUUGGGUAUUUUAUUUUUAUUUUUUCCUGCAUCUGAUGAUAUUUUCGUGUAAUCAAUUACCGAGUAUAAUUCUAUAUGUACUUUGUUUUUUUUGACAAAAGGAAAAAAUGCAUUUUAUUGCAAGGGUUGCUGAAAAUCGUCCGAAGAUAUAAUCAUAUAACUACUUCCUUGUUUCAAGUUUCAACGAUACAUAUAACGCAAAUCUUCGACUUAAUCAAAUUAGUUCCCAAACUUUUUUCAAUUUCAAUAUACAAAUCAUAAAAGUUUUGCCAACAAUUUUUCAAUUCAUCACUAAUCAGCUUUAGAGAGAGCAAUGUGGAUGACCAAUCUUUUGGGAUUCUUUUAUAAGACUAACGAGCCUUACUACAUAGGUCUUGUUCUUGAUUGUUUUAGACAAUUAUAGAAACUAAUUGUAAAAAAUAAUCUUAAUUAUAAAAGUUAUUGUUUGAGUGAUUAUUGCUUUUAAAUUUUUUUUAUCAUUAAAAAUCUAUAGUCAGACUACAAAAGUAACAGAUAUCAUAAUAAAAAUUGAUUAUUCAGAAUUAGAAUAUAUAAUUAAUUAAAAUAAUCAAGCUCAUAAACUUUUACAUCUCUCUCUUUGCGGUGAUAAGGAAGCAGUUUAGUCAAACGUAAGACCAUCGCAUUUUUGUUAAAUUGAAGAGUCAUCUAGUCAUGACAAUUGGGGAAAAAAAAUUUCUGAUCAUGACAAUUGGGAUAAUGCGUCCAACCAAACCGAGAGAUAGAGAACGGGGCCCCAUAAGGGUUAAGACAAUACUUCACGAAUGUAUGAUUCUUCAAUCAGGUUAAAUAGCGCACUUCAUCAUUUUCAAAUGAUCCUUUUUUUUUUUUUGUGUGUCUAUUUUGCUUAAGUUACUGUAUCCUCACUAAUAUAAUAAUUCGUAUUUUUCCUACUAUCGCCUUGGGCGCAGCAAUCAUCAGGGCUCAAAUUAUUUGUUUGAUAUUUGUUAUUCAAUGUAUGAUUGCUUUUACAAAUGUUUUGGAUGGAACGGAAUAUAUCAUUCUCGUCAUAUCUAGCAUUAUAAUCAUAUUUUUCAAUCUAUUUUUUUUAUAUUUUUAAUUAUCUUUUUAUUUCACAUACAUUACAUUACAAAAAGUGGUAUAAUAAUUAUUUUAAUAGUACUUUAUCCAAACACAAUCUUUGCGGUGAUUUCAAAAACUCGAGUGAAUCUGUUUGGAUUUAUUAGUUUUUAAAAAAUUAGUUUUCAAAUACUAUAAAAAUUUUUAAAAAGUAUUUUAAAAGGUACUCUAAAAAAUAGUUUAAGUUUUUUUUUAUGUUUUAAAAAAAUCAAAAUAUAUUUUAAAAACUCUACUAUUCUUAAAUAUCCCAAAAUAUACUCUAAAAACUCUGUUACAAUAAAAUUUUUCAAAAACAUCCCAAAAAACAGUUAAUCCAAAUGGAGGCAUGUAAUUUAUUCUAAUUUUUUGUAGUAGCUUUGGAGUACUUGAAUACAUUCAAUUAGAGGGAAUUGUACGUGGGAGAGAUGUUUGUAAUUUUGACUAAAAUUUAAUAAAAAUAUAUGAUUUAUCCCAAAACUUUCUGCAAAUGAUAUUAGUAGUUAUGAGGAAUUUUCCAAAAGUGUGUUUGGGUAGGAGGUUAUUUGAAAUAAUUACUAUAACACUUUUUGUGAUGUAAUGUAUUGUAUGUCAGAUAAAAAGGUGGUUAAAAAUUGUGUUUAUGAUGGGCCUGUUUGGAAUCUGAGUUUUUUGGGAGUUUGUCUAAAACUUUACUGUAGUGCACUGUACAAGUUUUUGAAAAAAAUUUUGUAUAAGUUUUUAUAAGGUGAAAAUUUUUUUUGUAAGGUGCAAAAUUUUGUAGAAAUUUUUGUAGAGUGAAAAACUUUUUUUUCCUUUUUUUUUUCUUUUUCUUUCUUUUUCUUUUCUUUCUUUCCUUUUUUUUCUUUCUUCUUUCUCCUUCUUCUUCUUCUUCUUUCUUUCUUUCCUCCCCGUUACCUCCCAGCAGCAGCCACGCUCGCCACCCUCUCCUCCCUUUCCCCUUCUCCUCCCGCCACCGUGACCUCUCCCCCCGCCACCCCCCUGUGCCCCUUCCCCUCUGCCACCGGCGACCCCCUCCCCCCCGCCACCCCCUGUGCCCCUUCCCCUCUGCCACCGCGACCCCUCCCCCCGCCAACCCCCUGCCCUUUCCCCCGCCACCCCCUGCCCUUUCCUCUGCCAGCAUGACCCCCGCCACCCUCUGCCUUUUCCCCAGCUUCUCCCGCCACUCUCCCUCCCCCGCUCAUCCCUGCCCUUUUCCCAGCUUCUCCCGCCACCUCCCCUGCGCAACCCCCUCCCCUGCCACCCCUCUGCCCUUUCCCCUGCGCGACCCCCUUCUCCCGCCACCUCGCGGACGGCGCUAAAAUAGUCCCCAGGUUUCCGGCAAAAAGCAUCGAGGAAUUUACGGAACUUUGAACGCUUCGUCGAGGAGGAUUUGCUCUUCUGCAUCCAAUUGAAUAAGGAAACCAUCACGUUGAAUUUGAUGUCAAAUUCCUCCAUUCUGGACUUUUUUGCUUUUUCUGGGCUAUGAUUUUGCUUGUUCGGUUCUUGGGGUUCUAUGUUCAUUUUUUGUGUUUGAAAAUGAAGAAUUUAAAAACCGUCUGAAAGGGGGAGGGGGAAGGGGGAAGGGGGCAGGGGAGGCAGAGGGGAAGAGGGGAGGGAAAGAAAAAAAAAACUUUGUGUAUGGCCGGAACUGCCCGCCAGAAUAGUAACCGGUGCCGGAAGUGGUGGUGGAGGUGGUGGCCGCCGGCGGAGGAUGUGGUGGGUUGGGUGGGGGGAGGAAAAAGAAAAAAAGUUUGAAGGGAAAGUUUUUUUGUGUAUUUUUUGAAAGUGUGUAGGUAAAAAGUUUUGAGAAGUUUUUUAAGGUUCCUGUAGCAAAAGUUGUUAAAAAAACUAGUAGGUAAAAAACUUGGGCAAAAAACUCACUUCCAAACAGGCCCAUGUUAGUAGAAUAAAAUUUGAAUUUUUUCUUUUUUGGGUCCAAAUCUUGCUAACCAAACAUACCGAAUCUCGUUUGUCAAAAAAAAAAAAAAAAACCGAAUCUCGCAAUUUGCUCUAGUCAAAUAAAGCUGGAAAAACCUUGCUAGAACAAGCAAAGGAAAUGAGACGUGAUUAUUUGAAAGACAAAUGUAAGAGUGGGACAACAUAUAUGAUAUAACACCAGGCCAGGAAAUGGAGAUAGUUUUGGCGGGAAAUAGGCCACCUGUGGCGAUCUCAGCAGUCGUGUUAAAGAAGCUUUCCUAAUUUCUCUCCCCAAUAAAACUCAAAAAAGACAGAGAGAAACCCAACAGCCAAAACCCGCGUCUUCACUCUCACUCUUACUCCAUCUCCAACGGUUGGUUUACCACUAGCAAAUUUUAGCAAUCAAUUUUAUCGGUACUUUUCAAUAUCGCCGCCGACAUUCCUCGAAUCCGCAGCCGGCGGUAAGUUUUUACAUUUUCAUUUCUCUGUCUAUACUUAUCUUCAGCUCCGAUUCUACGCAUAUUUCAGGUUCUUUGUACUUAUUGUUUAUAUAUUUUCCGUAUAUGGACUUGUGAACAAAUUUGUACUCCUAUGUACUCGUUUUAGCUUCGAUUUCGUCAGGCUUUGUAUUGAUUUUUCCCCCUGAUUUUAACGUUCGUUUUUUACCUUUUAAAUCAUUGCAACAAAUAUAGACAGUUGAAAUGACGGUGUUGAGGUCUCGUGAAGUUGCUCCCCCGGGAAUGACAUUGAAAACUCCGGCGAAAGGUGUGGAUAUAGGGGUGUUUGAGCCGGAGACUCCGGCGAAAACCCUAGAAGGCUUGAACCAUCAGUCAACGACUAGUCCUUUGAGUUUGAGCCCUAAGGCUCCUUGUCAGGAUGGUAAGGAAGGGUUGGCGGCUGGAAGUGUCCACAGGCGGAGUGCUCGAUUGGCUUCCAAGUUGGACUUAACUGAAGGUUUAGAAACUGUUAAAACUUUUAGUCGAAAAAGGAAGAGAUUGGAUGCUGGAAAUGAUGGGAGUUUGGGUGAUGGCCUUAAUUUGGCUACUGCAUCUACUGAGAAGAAGGAUGAUGUUGGAAUUGGGGUUGGGGACGUAAUGUUAGAGGAACCAAAUAAAUCUGACUCUCUUGUUGAUUUGGGAAAUUCAGGCCAAAGUAGUGACGCAGUUGAAAGCGUGAAACAGGGGAGGAGGAGGAGAAAAUUUGGCAUUGAUGUGGAAUUAUCGGAUCUAAUGCUUGUAGGGCAGGGUCAGAAUGAGAAGAAGGUUUUGAAUCUACGGUCUGGGAGGAGAAUCAUGAAGAGUGGAGGGGAAAAAAGGAGUGGUGAUAGUUCUGAAGGAGUUGAGAGUAAUGACGGUGAUAAGUUUUAUACUGGUAAUGAUAGUGAGUGUAUGUCAAGUGGCUGCAGAGGAAAUGGUGGUGUGAUGAAUGAGUCCAAGGUAAUUGCUGAAGGGGAUGGAUAUCAUAGUAUCAAUAAUGUGAAGAAAGUUACUGGAGAAGAGAAGGGCAAAAGUAAAGUACUUGAGAAGGCUUCCUUCAUGAGUGGCAUUGAUUUGUUGAAAUUGAAAUCUGAGGUGAAAGAAGCUGGUGGAAACAUGGUUAAGACUGAAAAGAAGGUUGAGGCCAGGAGUACUAGGAGAAAGGAUAAGGGGAAAGAAAAAUUAGUCGAAAGUGGUUCCUUAUCAAAAUCCUCUUGCUCAGUAGGACGCAAGUCCGAAAAUAAGUUAGAAAAAGAAAAUGACGACACUGUUUCAAGUUCUUCUUUAUUGGCCGAUAGUAUGUCAUCCCAAAAUGCAGAGCAGACCGACAUGAGUGUGACUGCUGACAGAAGGGUUCACAAGGUUCGAUUUCGUGAAAUAGCCAGGCGAAAUGCAUCUCGUUUUGCUCAUUUCUCAUCUCAAGAGGAGGAGGACAAUGCUGCUGAUACCUCUGGAAGGGAAAUUCCACCAUCUGACAUUAACACUGAAACAGAAGAUUGGCCUGGUCCAUUUUCAACUGCAAUGAAGAUUAUUAGGGAUCGUCAGAUGAAUGCAAAUGUUCAGCGGCAUAAUUCCUUGUCAGACAAAAGGGGGGUUGCAUCAGUUACAUGGAAACCCAAAAAGGAUCGACAGUGUAACCUUCAAAAGCAGUUGGUUCCCUCGUUGCAGGAUCUGUGCCUGACAAUUCUUGUGAAAAACGCCGAUGCAAUCACUUCGCUUGAUUGCAUUCCUGAUGUUUUGAGGCGCAGGCUAUCUCAAUUGCUUUGUGAUUCUCGGAGAAUGGGUGAUCAUUUCUUUGGCCUGCUUGUACAGGGUUCUCCCACUGAGAUUCAUCUAAGGGACUGUUCCUGGUUAUCUGAGGAAAUAUUCACUAGAACUUUUGAAGCAUGUGAUACUAGCAAUUUGACGGUAUGGGAAUUGACUGUAGUUGGCAUUUUGAUAUAUUGUCAUUUUGUUGCAAUUUAAGUCUUUUAUCACUUUGAGAUGGACAAUGCAUUUUCCUAAGUUUUUUUCCAUUGCAGCAUGAUCUGGCCUAAUUAAAUUUUUAUGCUCCAACUAUAUUUGAGACACGGGCUACAAAUCCCAUUGUUUUUUGCUUUGGGCUAUGCUUAUUCAGCCUCAAUUACAUAUACUAAAAUAAUCAAGUGCUAUGUGCAUUCUUUUGGAUAUUGGUUUUUGCUUGGUGGUUUUGCAUGUAAAUAGUUCAAGUUGUUUCUUUUGUGCUGAAAUUUCUUUUCAUGAGCUACAGGAAGAAUUCUAUAGGCAUCUAGAUUACAUGUAGAUUUCUUGUUUCUUUUUUUUAAUUGAUCUUGAAAUAUCUGAAGACUAUAAUUGUUUGGGAAUCAGGUCCUACAGCUUGAUCAGUGUGGAAGAUGUUUGGCAGAUUAUGUUCUUUUUGGUACAUUAGCUCGUGCUUCAAAUUGCCUGCCUGCUUUAACUGCUGCGUCAUUACGGGCUGCAUAUCGUCUUUCUGAUGUAGGUCUAAGUGCACUGGUUUCUGCUGCACCUUCACUAAGAUCUAUAAAUCUCAGCCAAUGUUCCCUUCUUACUUCUGAUGGCAUUGCCAGUUUGGCAGCUUCACUGGGAUCAGUUCUGAGGGAACUAUAUCUAGAUGACUGCCAAGGGCUAGAAGCCAAGCAUAUAUUGUCAGCUUUGUUAGAGUUUGAACAAUUGGAAGUCUUGUCAUUGGCUGGCAUGGAGACUGUUUCUGAUGAUUUUGUCAGUAGAUUUGUAAGCGAACGAGGUCACAAGAUAAAGGAGCUUGUUUUGGCAGAUUGCAUGUGGGUUAUUCUGAAUAGAUUGCCUUUUGAGAUUUGAAUUAUGAAGGAAUCUCUACUUAGUUCAUUAAUCCUGUUUGUAUUUCCUUUGGUGCAGGAAAUUGACGGAUUCUUCUGUUAGAGUUAUUGCAGAAUAUUGUUCAGAAUUAUGUGCAAUUGAUCUCUCUAACUUGUGCAACUUAACAGAUACUGCAAUAGGGUACCUUGCAAAUGGUUGUCAAGCAAUUCAAGCUUUGAAACUCUGCCGCAACACAUUCAGGUUUUUUAUAUAUUGGCCUUUUAAAAUAAAUGCAUUAUUUGAGAAAGUAGUACAAGAGUGUACCACCUAUAUAUGAAGUAUACAAAGAUAUAAAGAUCCCUCAAGGGAAUUCCAUUCAGAAUCCAUAUUCAUAAGAAUUAGGAAAGUAUGCUUAGCCCUAAAAGCCAUGUGAACCAAAAGAUACUGUUUGAUACUGUUACAAAGCUUUCUAUAUGUCCUCAAAAGGCGUACAGUUGAUUUAAUUCCAUAAUACCCAAUUGUGAGGGCACACCUCCAUGCUCUUCUGUUUCCAUUACAUCUAGCUUGCCUUUUACAGCAGCAAGUUAAGAAGUCAAUGCCUCUUCUUUGCAAAAUCCAUAGACUCUGACGGACCUUUAGAACAAGCCUCUAGCACUUUUAUAGGAGCUUUAUAGUGCAGUUAGAGAUUAUCUCUGUGUUCUCAUUGACAAGUAAUCCCGUAUCCCAUAUUCAGAAUAGUAGUUGACUUCCAACAGCAUAACUUUCCUACGAUUUUGUGGCAGCGAUGAAGCUGUUGCUGCUUAUCUUGAGACCUGUGGAGAUACUUUGAGAGAACUUUCACUAAGUAAUGUUAAACAGGUACUAAACUGUCAAUACCUUUUUUGCUCCUUCUCUUCCCUCCCUCUCCUGUUGCUCAUCUUUGCAUUUCAUACCAAAUUUUCUUGAUAACAAUAUCCUGAGAUUUUGCUUCUCGCAGCUGGGAGGUAAUUUGGAUUUUUCGUGUAUUUGAUAUUUCAUUAACUGAUCAAACACGUGGGUCUUUUAUCCUAGGUUACUUUAUAUAUGGCAUUCCAUUGUUGUGCUUGACUAGGCCUUUCUGCAAAAUUUCCAGGUCGCUCAGAAUACCGCUAUAUCACUUGCCAGACUCUCUAGAAACCUGCAAUAUUUGGAUUUGUCCUGGUGUCGCAAUUUGACUAAUGAAGCCCUUGGAUUGAUUGUAGAUGGCUGCUUGUCUCUGAAAGUUUUGAAACUAUUUGGUUGUAGUCAGGUAUGAUAUGAUUGUUUAAACCACACUUAAUUUUACAAACUAUUGGAUCUCGUAUUAGAAGUCAGCAUUUGUCUUUUCAAGACUAGCCGGUCCCUUUUUGUGAUCUAAUGAACUUUAUAAGUUGUAAAGGGACAGUCCAGCCAAUUGACAGGCAUUCUGUGACAGAAGGGAACAAAUAUCAUAAGCACUGUCUAUCCUUUGAUUCUGAAUAUGUUCUUUUGAAUUUCUUGGACAAGUUUCAAACUUUAUGUGCUGAUUGCAAAUUUUCUCCCUGACCUCAAUCUGGUUUUCCGAAAACAUAGGAUAAAGAGACUGGAAACUUCUAACAUGUAGGUCUUCUCAUAACUUCAAAAAGAAUUUACCUGUAUGCUGGGCUGGUGUUGUAUCUGUAAAAGAAAGUUUGGUUACUUGUGCUUAGUUUGCGUAAACAAAAGUUCGAGGAGAAAACUGAUCCAGUGGAUGCUUUUUUGAAUUUAUAAAUGAAUGAAGUCUAUAUAUAGAUUUGACAUCCAAAUAUAUGGGGAUAUGAGAUAUCAGGUAAUAGUGGUUCUUAGAUAUUGUUUCCAUGAGCGCCAUAAUACUUUGAUGGUGUGUAUUUGUGUCAAGUUCAAGCAAUUCCUUUUCUCUGGCAAUAUUUUCCUGUUUCUAAGCAAUGAGUUUUGCUUCUGGAAACCAGUGGAGGGGGGGUGCCUUUUUAAUGCUUCACAAAAGAUUAAAUUGAUCUUGGAACCUUUAGGGAGUAUGAACUCUCUCUUUCAUCUUAUAGAUUAUGUAAUGUGAGUGAAGUAUUCUCGAUACCUGGGUCUUAUCCUUAACAAAUUGCUUUUCACCAGAGAUAAAUCUUUUUGGGUCACAAAUACAUACUCCAGUCUUUCCAUUUUUAAAUAAUAUCAUCCAUGUAGUGUCUCUGCCACCCCCCCCAGUGUCCCUUUGUCUGACACGAUAUAUAUACACUUCUGUUCUCUUUAAAUGCCUGGCUGAAUUGUCCCUUGUAGGCAUGCAUUAACAUAUUGCUCAUGUCAUAUCGUACUUUCACAGGUUACAGAUGUAUUUUUGUUGGGCCAUUCUAAUCCAGAAGUACGAAUAAUUGGAUUGAAGAUGAAGCCCCUACUGGAACAUCUUGAGGUGCCUGAUCUACUACGAGGACCACUGCAUUAUUCAUCUGUUUCUCCUUCAUUGUGAUCCUGGUUUAACCUAGUUCAAAACCUAGUGGUGAAGUUCCAAAUUUCAGCUCCCAACUUUUCUGUAUCCUUGGGCAUAUUCCCUGUACAUUUUCAGCAGUAACAUGUGAUGUCAUGAUUUUGAUCAUGAAAACAAUUUUUGUGUUGUUAGUAGGGAAUGAAUCUCGCUUCAGCUGCUGACAAGUCUCAGGUUGCUUAUUUUUGGCCAUUUGGGUAUACUGUGGCUUGUCAUGCAUGCAUAUUUUGUAACGAAAGCUUUGACAUCCCUAAUUUGUUUACAUGUUGGAGGUGUCAUAUACGUAUGUCUGAACAAUUUAUCCUCGAAGAUUUUUGAUUUGUUAUCUUGAAUUUGGUAUCAUUAUUUCUGCCAAUUAUGGGUCAAAUACUUAGCUCCAAGUGAUGACUAUAUGGCACGUUGGCAAUUGACUUAUUCUAGACACCAUCUAUAAAUCAUUUCUCAAACACAUUGGCCUACUUUUGGAGUUUAUAGAAGAGAAUAGAGAGAAGAUUGUAACUUCUGUUUAGAGUUUAGAAAAGAAGGGGAUUAUAUUUGUGUUCGUCAGGUAUUACUAGUGUUGCUUGAACUUCUAUGGGCCGAUUUAAAUGGAUUUGACAUAGGUUUACAAGUUUUGAGCUCACAGUACCUCCAUUUCCCACUAGUCCUGUUUGGAGAGGAAUGUGUUUUAAAUGUUCACUCCUCUUUCUUCCCAACUGAAAUUCCCAAACAAGAGACCUGAUUCGUUGCCAGUUUGCAGAACUUCUAUACUCCGUUUUAAACUGUUUCAUUCCUCCAAGUCAACCAUUCAAACUAGUUAAUUGAGUUGAUGCCUGGAUCAUUGCCAGUUGGCCACUUGUUCUCUCUCUCUCUCUCUCUCUGGGGGUCCGGAGUUUAGUUGUCAUUUUACUUUGGAAGUUCCUUUUUAUUGAUUGGACUAUAUGAGUAGUUUGGGGUUUAUUACAAUGAAAAUGUGAUUUACAUAAACUCUCCUUUCUCUUUGGAAGAAAAGGAUAAAGUUUGGAUAUUGGUGCAGCAACGUGAUUACGGCUUCCUUUGAUGAUAUUAAUUUUCGGGGGGAAAAAUGCUUAUGGCAAAGACUGAGGAUCGAUACUUCUUUUUUUUUUUUUUUUUUUUUUUUAAUUUUCAUAUAUGGUUGAACCCCAUUGUUUGUGUCCAUAGAGAAGGAUGGCAACGAGACACUGCCCGCGAGGGGAGGUAAUGGGGGCUGUGUGUGGGAAGGGGGGGGGGUGUUACUGAUUUAUGUUGGGUUAAACUAUUAGUAGUACUAAUUUAUCCUAAUAACUAUUUUUUUGUCGUUGCAGGACUAAUCUGUCCAUAGCUAUGUGAAGAAAAUUCAACAGCCAUAUGCAUGCUUUGUUCCUGAAGCCUCCUCUUAAAUCUCUGUUCUUCAAAGCCUCCUCUUAAAUCUCGUUUACGCAUUUCUUCUUCAAUCUCUCUAUUUAUUUCUUUAAGCUUUCGCUUCAUCUUCUGAAUCUAAAUAGAAAAGAUAAAUUUUGUUUCAAUCACACAAAAAUGCUCAAAUGACAGUUAUAGAGGCCAACAGCCAUUUGGUCUAUUGGUCACCACCAAGACUUUAAGUUUUAGUUGUGGGUGGGAAGUCAAUGUCCCACUAAUCACUAUUUGUGACUUGCUACUUAAGUGAUUUUCUCCCAUAGAUUAGAUUAAGUUAUAGCAAUUGUUAGAGAAAGUUUUCGAGUUUUCCCACAGUUGUUUCCUCCAAUUUUAAUAAUCCGGCCAUCAAUACAAACAAGAAACUGUAACAAGAUGAUUCUUUUUGAUAAUGCUUCAUAAUGCCCCUUAUUCAACUACAAACAUCUUAUCCCUCAAGAAGCUAGACAUGGAACAUUAAGAAAUCUUUUUAUCUUGUGCAGCAGUUUGGAAUGAUUUAGAAGAGGGGUGGGGGGGGGGGGGGGGAAGAAGAGGCACCCUUGUGGACACCCGUGGGGGAAGCGGGCCGUGGUGGGGGCAGGGAUGAGGGAGUUUAUAACAAGGGAGCAGCUCCCCCGCCCUAUUGCCAUCCUUAUGUGCCCACUCCAAAUACACAUUAGUUUUUUCUUUUUCCUAAAAAAAAACUGAUAUUUCGCAGCUCCUCUAAUCUGCUGUUAUGUUAAAUUUAUAUCAGCCUGUAUAAAAUGUUAAGGCAACUUGCUUCCGUGGUGCAUCCUUGUUGGUUAAAGGGCAUGAUCAAAUGGCUCCGAUUGCAUUUCAGGGUCAUGGGAUUGUAAUUUGUGAUUGCCAUUUAUUAUAAAUUAGGAUACGCUUUCUAUUGGAUGCAGACUGUGAAGGAAUAUAGUUUGAUCAAAGAUUACAAUUACAAUGGUUAGACAGCUAGUUUCCUUGUAGCUGUGUCGGUCUGGAAUCUAGACUCUGGAGGCAGCUAAUACAAGACUCCAGAAAACUUGUUAGAUGUAAAAGUGCUAAAUUAGAAAUUUGACACCAGCCCAAUCUUUCUCAUAGUUUCUUCGAUGUGGAGCUUGGACUGCUCUGAAAGUCUGAAUAUAGGGUUUUCAGUUCCUUUUUUUUUUUUUUUUGGCUGAGGUUGGUUGCACCGAAAAGGUAUAGGCUUCUGCAAGGAACAAACAGAAUUUGUUGGACGGAUUUCAUGAUCCGAGUUGAAGCAAAUAAAUUUGCUCAUUUGACUUGUCAAACCUUGCUGCUUCAACCAUCUAGAGGAGAAUGUUAGAUUAGCAUCAGCAAAUCAUUACAUGCAAGAAUACUAGAGAAAUUUAAGGAUGGAAUUACCUGAAAACCCAUCUUGUGAUACAGUUCCUGAGCAGGCGUGUUGAACCUAUGUACAUGCACAAACACCUGUUCUGCGCCUGAUCACAGAUACCUGGCUGAGAUGACUGAAAAAAUCGACAAUAGUCAUCUUUCAACAAAUCUCGAAAAGUAAUGCAUCCUCACCAUCUCUUUUUGCUGAGCUGAUUGCAAAGAGAAUCAUUUUGCUUGCAAUGCCCUGCCGGCGUGCUGAUUUGGCAACACAUAAAUUGGAUAUGUAACCAUAUCUUCUGCAGGAUUUUCUAUCAAUACUGCAGAAGAGAGGAUUUUUCACCCGUUCCUGUCAGAGAGCAAAACUUUCAAUGACUGCAAGGCAGUGAGCAUGGAUGCCUACGGAUGAUCAAUUCAGAAUCCAGAUCUUAAAGCAAUCAAACUUCGAUGCCUACUAAUGAUCAGCUGAAUAUUCAAAUCAAACUCGUACCCCUGGAAAGGUCUCUCCUUGUGACAAGUAUUGGAUGCUCAAGUCUAGUGUUCCAACAACACUCUUCAGCACAGUAUGUUUCACGUCUCUGUUUUCCUUCUUUACCUGAUAAUUUCAAAUAGAGAGAUUUUAUGGUCUAGACAAUUCUGAGUGAAGAUCGAAAAAUGGAUGCCAAAGAACAGUCAGAACUGGGGAGCAUUUGUGUCAUACGGCUCAUACCGCCACCAUGCAGGUGCAUUUAUGCCCUAGUUGUGUGUUGGAUCUUCUUUUUAGUGCAUUAUAUUCCUGCAUAAAGCAAUGGUUUUUAAUUUUGAAUACUCUAUGCAUUUAACUGAUACAUAUCUCACACAAAUAAAGUGCUAUAUAGCCUAUAUUAUACCUGCUCCGCAAACUUCCUUUUGUAGUUGUCAGCAAAUCUGCAUUACAGUUAACAACUGGAGUUAAUGACAUUCUUAAAAAUCUUCCUCGUCAAAUAUACAAUCUCCAGACCCUUACCGGGAUUUGUUUGAUUGUAUCACUUAACCUUUAAUUGCAAUUAGUGUACUGUUGGAAAUCUUUACCACCUUUUCUCUUUAGUACAUAGGCCAGCUUGCUCUCUGAGCUUAGCACAAUUAUUGGUGUUGUCUACAAAAUCUAUGUAUGUGUUGUGGGGAUCUAAAUCAAAUGGGCUUAUCUCUGAAGGAACCAUAUGCAUCUUAAACUGAGCUUCUGUACAUACCUGUCAUUUCUUCUGUCCUCCCAGUGACUCUCUGCUCGCAGCCAAGCUGCUGUCUACCACCCAAAAAGAAAAGAAAAGAAAAAAUGACGAAGCUACCGCUGCAAAUUAGCCAUGAGGAAUAACUAGAAAACAUGAUUGCCAACUGACAUGGAAAAUAACCAAUAAUUAUGUCAACGCACCCAAUACUCUUCGUCUAGUACAGCCUUACGAGCCACAAACUGUCCAAACUGAAGUCGGUUUUCUUGAAAGAGCAUUUGAUCCUGUGGUUGCGGCUUGUCAAAUUGGAGUUCUGCCGGAGCUACCACUGGCACAGAUUCGGUAGCAGAAACAGUUCGAAGCUCUUUUGAGAUUUCCAUUUGCUUUCUUGUUUGUGAAGGAUUCCAAUUCGCUGACCUAUGAAUUUUAACAAGUUUUAGCGUGCAAUGUUUACUUUGGAACCUUAUCAUUGUUGCGUGGAGUGACUUGAAAAAUCUAAAAAUGAGAAUAAAACUAAUAACUUCUGAGACAUAAUAAAAAUUAAUGCAAGAAGGGCCUUACAUUGUCCAAAUGCCAGAAGCUCUGUCAUUGCGGUGUGGCGUUUUGAUUCCGAAAGAUGAAGUUUUCAACAGAAAAGGUCGCUGCAAAGCAAUUGUUGGCAUUGUCGGCUCUUUUCUGUAGAUUGGUUCAGCUAUUUUGGGCAAACUAAAGAUGGAACAAAUACAAAUUCUGGAUUCUGUUCUUCUAGCAAAAAUAGAUUUUAAGAAACAGAUGCACAGUAUGGUUCAAUGUAUAAGUAGAAUAAGGCCAAAAGCAUAGUGUGGUUCAAUGAUCAAUGUAAGAGUGGAAUCGUAGCUUGAUUUUCUUCUAGGAUUACAAUAAUGUGACAACGAACAAAGUUCAGCAGCCUACCUUUCCAUCAACUGUUGGGCAAUGGAUUUAAGCCAAUGUAGGACCCGCUGAAGUUGUUCGAUGAAUGCCGGUGUCAAUGCUGAUUGACGGGUCUUAGUAUUAAAAUUCAGAGCCCUUAAGUUAACAGUGACACAACAGUUUGCCAAUGGAAUCUCUCUCUAUCUCUAAUCAGUGCUCAGCAAUUUAUUCUAUGUUCUAUUGGUGCGGAAUGCAAGGUUAGAAAGUGAUAGGUUACUCAGUUCAAAUAACUCUUUACUUUAUAGUGACAGGUUAAAUGAAAUCAAUCACAUUCUCACUUUGUCGUGGUUUUCCUAACAAAAUAGCCAAAAUGCAAUUUCGUCAAAUCCUACCCUUAUAUAAAUAAAUACUACUGUAUAAGUUAUGUUAACUGAUAACUACGGAUCACUUUUUCAUAAAAAGAUAUCUAUAUUAAUGGACGAUUUGUAAGAAUCUCUAUAAACGAUCUAUGAUUUUAUAAUCAUGUUUUAACCUGUGACAGUGAUCAAAAUCGAAUUCAUCUAAACUGUUUUUUUUUUUUUAAAAAAAAAUAUAAUAGAGGACAGAGGACUUGGUCAUAACUUACAAGCAAAUGAGGGCUUGUGGACCUAAAAAAGUCUGUGGAUGGUGCCACAUCUAGAAUAAGAACCAUAACUUGAAGCUGUCUUCUUCCUUUCCUUCAAUGCUGCUGGCAGAUGUUUGUGAAAGGGAAAUGGCGUCCAGUACUUGGUAAUUGAGCGCAUUGUUUCGAAUUAAUACCAUGAGCGGAUGUAUGGUAACUGGAUAUCUACCUCAUUGAGAGAAACGUGUGGAAGACUGGCAUCCACCUUUCUACAUAUUCAUCCCCACAUUGCAACCAAAUAUCAAUUGAUAAUCUUCUUCUUCUUUUUUUUAAAAAUUUUUUUAAUCCUUUCACCCCUUCUCGCACCUUGUUCAUCCCUCAACUAACAUGUACAUAAUUCGAAUCCUAUAAAUUUGAUGGCCGAAAAAACUUUAGCAGCCCUCCUCUGACUACUCAACUAAUUAUAUCACUUGAUAAUCUAAUAUGUCACAAUUCGUAAUUAUUGAUUCUGAUAGGGCACAAUCAUGUAGCAUGUGGUAUUUUUUUUUAUUAUUUAUUCAUUAUUUGGCGGUUGUACAUUUUUUUUUUCAUUAUGUAGCGCAACAACCAUUGUUGGAAUAGGAGGUUGUACAUUUCUCGCUAAUUAACACAGAUCCAAAAGAUUUAUAUAAACAAAAAGUAUUCAUCUUCCUACGUUCUAAUUUAGACUUUCUCUUCAGUGGAGGCAAAUUUUGCUGUGACCGGUUAUAUUCAAAAACAAGUUUUAAUUUUGAACGAAAAUCUCCAGAUAUAUUCAAUAAUAGUUGGGACUUGGGAGUAAACCAGCUGGGUUAGUUUAGUUGACCAAAUGUCAAGUCACAUUUAAGAACCGAAGAGGCUCAAGAGUAAGCUGAAGGGACUGAAUCACCGUCGGAUCAAAUGGAUGCAUUACUCGUAUGGAUUUUUUAAGUAGAACUGCUUACUGAUAAUUGGUGAGAGGUAAAGUUUGAACCCUUAAUCUCCCACCCCCCAAAUUUUAAUGCUUUAGUGACAAGCCCAAAAUAUACCUGAGUUAUUGUUACCAUUUGUAUGAAUUCUUAUAAUAUUGGUUAGAUAUAAUUUAUGUGUAUUCAUUUAUUUGAAUUCAUCCUACCACUGUAGAUAAACACCCCCCCCCCCAAAGCAAAAAAAAAAAAAACAAAAGAAAAAUGGUUGACAGUAAGCUGGUCUGGAAUGGGUAUGAGUAUGAGUUAGUGUCUCAUGUAGUUAAUUUUCAGAAAUUACAUUUUUGUUAAUUGUUACUUUUUUCCCCAUCCAGAAGUGUUUAUAUAGAUUGAAAUUAUGUUGAAACUUUUUAACCAACAUAGUAUUGAUUUUGGUUGUUUCUUAUCCCUCUGCUCAAUGCUCAUAAUCGCAGAGCAUCAAGUCCAACUUUUGGGGAUGGAUUUUGGCACAAAAAAAAAAACAUAGUAGUACAAUUUUUCUCAUGCUACUUGGGCGCGCGUGAUUUUACCUUUUUCUUCUGCAGCAUUCUAGUGUGCAGGACUCGUAACAAAAUGCAUGAAUAAAUGCGAAAAUUUUUCUAGCACAAAUUGGAUUCCAGAAAAAUAUUUUAUGCAUUUCUCUUUUCUCAACUGGCAAACUCCAUAUAUAUCGCAACCCUUGUUUGUAUAGGCAGGCGGCUAUAGCUAAGCCACCCCAUAGCGACUGUCUACAAUUACCAUCACACAAAAGCAAGAGAGAUGCUGAUGCUACAAAUUUUUCAUCCUUCAAAAUCAGUUUUCACCCACUGCCCAUACUUGCUCUUCACCCUCUCAUCCAAUUUUUUGGAUUUAAUCUCAGCCAACUUUGCUGCAUUGGCCAUGGAUUCCUCCUGCACCUUAGCAAUCCUCAUGCUCCUCUUUCUCUCCACUGCCUCUUUAUCAGCUUCCAAACCUUCAUACUCUCUCAUCAAACUGCUGUGGACAGCACAAGUUAAGAUUAAGACUCCCACUUGCACCACGAACAUUGCCAUCAAAACCCCACAUUCCAUCCUCACCAAAAGUUUUGCUUCUCUUGGAUCCCUUGGUGAUUUUAGCAUCGACAGACUCGAUUUUUCCUUCCUAAACAGCGCUACAAUCGCGAGUAUUUGACCGAUCAAUGAGGUGAGAAGAAGGGAGACGUGGGUCAUGAAGCAAAAGUGGGUGAGCUGAGAGUAGAAGCCAAUGAAAGAGGAAAGGAGGGAGAUGCAAGAGACCGUGAGAAAUGCCCAACCAAGGCAAGUUGGUGGCGUUUUGAGGAGGAUUAUCGGAGCAAGAGAGGCUGAAGAGAGGAUGAACAGAAUGAAAUUCAAGAAUGAGACGAGAACAAUUGGGAAGGAACAUGAGCUUCUUCUGAGCUUGGUGGAGGAAGCCAUUACUACUAGUCUUGAACAGAGAUAUAAUUUCUGAUAAUUCUUCAGCAGGACAACUAAAAAAAAAUGUUUGUCUGAGAAUGUUUUGAGGUUAUGUCAUAUGUGGGAAGAAGGGUGUUAGUUUGAAUCUUUAUAGGAGGCAAAACAGAUGCCCGUUGUACAGAAGACCCAAAUGCUCAACGGCUAGAUUGGAUGGACCUCGACUGAACCAUCACCUUUGUACGUUACGACUUUGAUUUUGAACCCUUUGCUUAGUGUAAUGCCAUGUAUAUGAAGGUUAUGCUUUUAAUGUUUCAGUGGACCUCAGAAAUUUGAAUGGCUAUAGUAAAAUCUGGAAUUCCACGUCCAACUGGUACAGACUUGAAUAAAAUCGCAGAGUUCAAAAAAUUAGUCCAAGGUUGUGUCCUAGGCCCGUCCGACAAUGCUCUAUCAAAGUGUAUCGAGAUGCAACCAAUUUGAUAUCAAGAGAGCCUUCACUUGGCCAACCCCACCAUGCAUACCACUGAAAGAAUGUAUACUAAUUACUACACGUCAUUAGGUUUCCAGGGGCAAGAGAUGACAACAUGACUAUGUUAUGGAUGAUCCUCAGUUUAAAAGCCAGAAGAAAUACAAGUUGCAACCUCAUUGCUUCAUCUGUUCUUUAAAACAGCAGUACUGGUACAUAUCAACCAUCGAACGGAAAAUAGACUCAGAAUAACUGAUGCCUGAAUAGAAAUACCGUUUGACUACAGAAACUCGUAAUGUGCAAGGGAAGAAAAAUCUCUAAUAUCUGCAAAGUUUGUUUAGCUCAUCAGUGUCCACAGCCUGGUAGACACAUCACAGAUGAUCCUGAUUCAUUUUUGUGCCGUUCCACCUAACACUUCAUUUCUUCCCAGAUCAUACUGAUUCAAUUACGUGAUAGAAGGCAUAGUGAAGGGCCGCGUAUUAAUGGCCUAAUAGAACUCUUCCAAGAUACUACUACAGCCAAAUCACAAUCUGCCAUACCAUGAAAGAGUGAAUGUUAGAUGCUUGAAGACAUCAGAAUGGGGAAUAUUUAAGAUGCAAUUUUGCCGGCUCAGUUAAGAGUUUCCAGGCAAAAGCUCCAACAUGCAAGAUGGAUUUACAGAGUAAGCGCUCACUUCUCAAACAAGUUGUCAGAAUAUAGUGAUAAAAAAAAAUGUUUCCUCAAGAAAAAGAACACAGGAAACUACAGUAAAGUUGAUUUCAACUAUAUUUUCAUAAGGGGCACGCAAGCUACUUUAGCUAAUAGAGUUUCCAACAAAUCAUGGCAAAGAUUCUUAUGUACAUAAUCUUGAAAGGAAGUCUUUGAUGAUCUAAACAUACGAAGCUACCAUUAUGACGUGUGCGUAUAUAUGGUCUCAAUUCUGUCAAGUGAUGCUUGUAAGCGUCCAGAAUUCAUGUUGAACAAUGGUUCACCAGUACCCAUAGCCCUGUGACAGAAAAUCAUCCAAGAUCCGCUCAGAGAACUCAUAGGGGAAAAAAUUACCAUUUCAAACUAUUUGCUGUGACUAAGAAAGAUUGCAACUUCUCUCAAACUUCUACAUGCACUUGUCAUGACAUGUGGAGAUGUUUUAACACGUGAUUUUUUUCAGUAAAAAAGCAAAUAAGCAGUAGCUAACUUGCCCUGUAAUUUCUGGAAACACAUAAUCAGCUCUCCACCCAAAACGGAAAUCAAUGCCAGGACAUAAGCCAAGUGUUGUUUUAUUUCGAAUCCUAGAGACACCAUCCCCACCCAAACAGGUAGUAAGCUUCCACUUCCAACCAGUGGCAUGCAACUGAAAGCUAUGGCCUACUCCUACCUGCAUCAGAUGAACAAUUUUUGAGAUAAUAUUUUUAGCACAUAUUUGCUAGAAAGUAGUCAAGGAUUGUGGGAAGGAACUAAAGCAUUAACCUGAAGAUUCAGGAAUUUUGUUAUUGGAAUCUUCUUAGAAAGAAGUCGCACAUCAUGAUGCAAAGGUUCAUAAAUAAACUUCCAUCUCCGAUCAUGAGCUAAAGGCUUUAACACCAGCUUUGCCUGGUACUCAUUGAUUGGAGCAUUGUAGAACUGAGGUCAAAAUGAGAAUUCAAAUUAAUAGCAUCCAAAAUGUCGGCUGUAUCUCACAGGACAACAUGUCUCAUGUUUACAAUAGAAACAGCAAGAGUAAGGCCGAGUUGUAUUAUCACAGUCUCAGUGCAUAGAGCAAACAGUCAAGCUCCCACCCAGAUGCACAUUGCUGCAUUUAAAAAGUAAGAAUAAAAAAGCAUAAAUCAUCAGUAUCAUCAACUACCAUCUCCAUAGUAGAAUGUCCUUCACCAGGAAGCAGAACAAUUACUUCAUGCAUACAAAAACUCCACCAUUCAGGUUUGUGCUAAGUGGCUUAAGUAGUGCUCGAGGAAAGUUUUGAAAGACAAAUUAAAUCUGAGUCAAGAAUUAUAAUGAUGUUCCUACAUUCGUCCGCAUACAGUAACUACAGUUGAUAUCCCAAAAUAUACAACCUAGAACCGUAAAUGCUAAAAAUAAUAUGCAUGUCCUAAAAGGAUGUCCAGCUAUAACUUUAGUUGGGAAGUCAGACAUCUAAAUCCAAAUGCCUUGGUUUAAAUCUUAAGCUGAGCCUGGCUAAGUGCCCAAUAAGUACAUGCCAAGGGGAGAAUGAACACAAACAUGCAGAGCCCUAGAUGUCCAAUGUCGCAAAGAACAGAAUACAAUUAUGUACGAUAUCCAUGAAUAAGAGUAUUAGUCAUUUCAAAAACCAUCCAGCUUGAUAUUGAUUUAUUGAAAAGAGUUCAAUUGGUAAAGGACAUGACUACCACAAUUUCACCAUUCAGAAUUUUGACACUAUCAUCAAAAGAGCACCAUUGGUGGCGAUAUUACCAAAACAAGGCCAUCAUCCAAUGAUGAAUUUUUUAAGGAAUACCAGAAGCAACAUUCCACAAUACAAAGCCUAGAAAUCAAAGUAUAGUAGUUCGAAAAGUAAAACUUAAAAAUCAAGUCUUUUUGGCUCCUGCAUCAACCCAAACUUGAGAAAUUUCAAGAAAUCCUUCACACGAGCUAAUCAUCAGCAGCGCUAUAAGCACUCCAUACUACUUUUUAAGCCUAACACAAGCCUGAACCAGUUAAUUCCAUCAGCAUAUAGAAUUAAAGGCAGCAGAAGAAAUACUACCUCCAAGUUGACACCAACACGAUACCCCUCAAUUUCUUUUCUGAACUUGACAAAUAACUCUGAAGGCACUAAAUUGAUGUUGUAAAGCUCCUCCCAUGAUGUGGGCUCUUCUCCAUUCGAACCCGCCUCCAUUUUCACCCCAAUAAUUCAAACUAAGCAAAGCUACAGCCAACAAAAAACACCAACAAUUUCAAGAAAAAAAGAAAAUCGUAAAUAGCUUUAAAGAGCUUACAGAUUACUGUGCUAUAAAGUUCACCAGAUUACCUUUUUCUUUUUUUCAGACUGCCUAUGAAAAAUGAUUACAGUGCUUUAGAACUGUCAAUAUUAGGUAGCAUCAAAAAAUCCAGUUAAUCAAUCAUUCUGGGGUGAGUAUCCCUGUUCGGAUUCACCGGAACUCUGGAAGUAAAGAGGCAUUUUCUGAGGAGGAGCAGGUGCAGAAUCUUCGAUAACUAAAAGAAAAGGACCCAUAAGCCUGUUCCAAUACUUGGGCCUGUUUAGCCCAAAUAUACUUACCAUCUCUCCGAAGAUGGUCCAGUAGUUACCACACAGACUUUUAGUUUGGCCCAAAGUUCAAGGCUCCCUGCUUUGUUUCAAUCCAAAAAAAAACAAUUAGCACUCUCCGCUCUCGGUCACUUGCUUCCAGCAACACGACAUAUUAUGUGAAUUACCAAUUUUUUCUAUUAAAAAAAUUAUAAUAACUUUGCGUUUCAGCUUUGAUUUCUCAGUAUUCUUUUUAAAAUUUUUUUGAUUAACAAGUUGUAGAUUACUGCACAACUAAAUAUUCUGAUAAUAUGUGUCUAGUCUUUGACAAGACUAAAUUCAUUAUUGAAACAUGUCUAGCUCUUUUGACAGUUAUUUUUGUGUUCAAUUAAGAAUUCUGCAUAAUUAAAAAAGCACGGCACGAUUACGUCACAAAAAUGAUUUCAAAUUUGUUACGAAACCUGAGGUUGCUUCAAUUUCAUUAGGACAACCUCAAAAGGGUCAAUGAGAUUAGGGUUAUUAUCACUUUACCCCCUUUAACGUUUGUGCUACUAUCAAUUUUCCCUUCAACGUUAUCAUUUAGUCACUUUACCUCCAAAACUAACGGUCAAACUUUGUUAAUUAAAGUGAAAAGGCAUGUUUAAUCCUUAAAAUUAUUAUCACUUUACCCCCAUAAAAUAUAGUCUCAUUAUCAAUUUACCCCCUGGAGUUAUUUUUUAGACAAUUUAUCCUACCAUUAAACCAACUUAACAAGUUAAAAAAACUUUAGAGAAAAUACCCUACUCUUCGCAUAAUAAAAAUAAUAAAAAAUUUAGAGUGACUUUUCUCCUUUUUAGUAUCAAGAAAAAAAAGUCAAAAUAUUAAUUUCUUUCUUCUUGGCAAUCUUAUUAAUAUUGAAAAAAAAUAGAAAGAUGGAGAGGGGGAAGGGGAGAAAAAGAGCUCAAUUCUUUUUUUAAAAAUUACAAAUAAAAAAGAAUUAAAUACUUUUAUUAUUUUAAAAUUAUUUCACUUUUUUGUUUACGACCAAAUUCCAAUUCUAAUCCCGAUAGCCUUAAAGUAAUACGAUGAUGUUAGACUUUUCUUUAUUUUCUUUUUUUACAAAAUCUAAUUUUUUGUCUCCUUCUUUCUUAUCUCCUUUUCUUUUCUAGUAUUAAUAAGUGUGAAAAAAAAAGAAAUUUGAGAAAAUCCUUUUAUUUUUAUGUUUUUCGAUCUCUUAAAGUGAAAAAAAAAGGAAGAAUAACCAUUCCAACUUUUUUAUUUAUUAUAUAUAAAAAAGGGUAAAUAUAUUUAAAAAUUUUUGACCAUAUUAGUUAGAUUAAUGAUGAGGUAAAAUGUCUAGAAAAUAAUGUUAUGAACUAAAGUGAUUGUAUCACUAAAUCCAAACGAAUAAAGUGAUAAUAACAAUGUAGUAAUGCUAUAAAAUAAAAGGGUAUUUUUGUCCAAAAUUUCUUAACAUAUUGAGUUGAAUUACUUAUGAGGUUAAAAUGUCUAAAAAAUAACGUUAGGAGGUAAACUGAUAGUAGUGAUAUAAGUUUAAGAGGGUAAAGUGAUAAUAACCCAUUAGAUUAUACUUAGUAUUUAUAGCUUUGAAUGUUAAUAUAUAAGAACGUUGAGUUCAGCUGUCAAAAUUUUUGUUUUUUGCAAACAAUGAUGGAUAAUUUUUAACUUUAAAUUCGGGCGGCAUAUAACCAGGAUAAGAUAUGUGUUGGUUCUUUAUAUCGGUUGGUUUAUCUUUUGUACUCUUCAAUUAAUAUGCUUGAGAGAAAGAGAGAGCCAUCAGUCUAUCUACAAAUGCUUGCUUCGACGUACAUCUAUUAAUUUUUUUCAUUUAUUAAAGUGACCAAAAUGUCUUUUUCUUUUGCACAAUUUACAAGUUUUAUUUGUCCUGAAGAUAUUACACUGAAAAAUAGGAAAAGAAUUCCAAAUAAUCUUUAAUCCAAAUUCCAAACUACUUAUUGGCUGUACCUUGAAAAAUGCAAGUAAUACAUGUAGAAAUUCGGGAUCGGAGUCGGUUAACAGAUAUGCCAGCUCGUGUUGGUAGAAAACGACACCGUGGUAACCACAGAACUCAAUUGAGCGCAAAAGCAGUUGAGCGCCAUUUACUUAUUCGGUUUUUUUUUUUUCCACUUCACCGUCGUAGGAUAUACUCCGUACAUGCAAAUUCUUGUUCGUUUGCAUAUAAAAGUCCCAGCGGUUUGCAGUGGGAAAGCAUUAUCUAUUACCGUUUUCUUUUUCAUUUUUUAUUAGUGUAGUAAAUUCUUUUAAAAUAUGAAAAAUACGUGUUGAAGAGACAUAAGGUGUGUGAUGUCACUUGAUCUUUAACCAACUAAUCAGACACAAUAUAGAUAAGCCUGUUUGAUCACUUAAUUCAAUAUUUAAAUUUAAUGGAUUCAAAUUUUAAGAUAUUCAGAUACUUUUGAUAAUUAAAAAUUAAAUAUCUAAAUUAAUUGAGUGGCACUGGAUUUUUAGAUAAAACUUGCUCCCAAAAAUAAGUGAUAAGCUAUUCACUUAUCACUUAAUGUGAUAUAUACUCAAAUGUAUGAAAUUUAGUACUUAAUAAUUCAUUAUUUAAUGAAUUCACAUUUCAGAUUUUAAAUUUAGUUUUCAGAUUUUAAUUUUAUCAAAUGCACCCAAAUCUACCAAAGCAUUGUACCUUGACCGUUGUAUUAUAUGCUUCAUUUUAUGAAGAAUUACAUAAAAGGUAAGUCAAUAUACUAAGAUGUAGAUUUGCCUAUCUUUUAGAAGAUUAUUCUAUUUUCAUAACCCAGUACUCAAUUCCCAAAUUGAGUAGUUUGGUUUGAUCGUUAACUUAGAGUUGCAAACAUGUUGCCUCGUUGAUAAAAAUUGAAAUGUAGAAGAAAGAAGAAUGAGAAGCACUAAACAUUGAUAGAUUUUCCAAUUGAAGAGAACGGAUACGGUUUAAGAUUGCAUCCAUGCAUUCAAUUUGGAAGUAAAUGAGUAUGUAUUAAUAUUAGUAGAUUUUUUUCCUUUUCUUUUACUAGAAUGAUGAUGGUAGAAAUGGAAAAUAUGCAAGACCAAGAGGGAAUCAAUGUCACAUUGCACUCCAAAAUCUUAAAUAAUUAAUGAGUCUAUCUAACGGGUGUCUAUUGAAUAUUUUAAAAUAUAUUUUAGGCGUCAUAUUUUAAAAAAUGUAAGAUUAAUUAAAAAUAGUAAAUAAAUAGUGCAAGGGAGAGUAGGUAGGACUAAAUAAAGAAAGUAUAUAAACUCAAUUGAGUGUAAAAAUGAUUAUUAUGUGUAUAUACACUAUAGAUUAGGUAAAAUUUAAUUGUAUUGACGAGUGACCACCCAUAAUUUAAUUGCAGCCAAAUCAUACCAGAAAUUGUAGCCGACUUGAAUGCUUCGGCUUGAAUAGACAUGGAUAGACAUGCUUUUAUGAACAUGUUGUUGAAGAAGUUUUAUAUACGUGUUCCAGUCACCUUUUAAUGUCAUAUAUACAUUUAUACACAAAUAUGAAAUGAUAAAAUUUAUCUAGAAAACACUCCAAAAAGACAUCCAUCCAAACGGAAACUUAAAACAAUUUUGCAGGGAUCCAUGCAACAUUCGACCCAAAAAUUUCCUAGUUUUGUGCAAAGACAAUUCGACGUUUCAAUAAAAUAGGGGCUUCUUCUCAAGGAUGAUUAAAACAUACAGUAUGACACAAAAACUUGCGCGUGAAAUUAGCCCAAAAUGACUAAUGAUUCUUUUCAUUCGUCUCUCCAACCAGAAACGACUCAGAGAAACAAUUUUAAUUCCAAACAACUAUGCUCUGCAGAACUGUUGUGGCCCUUCUGGAAUCCAUCAAUGAUCAACGGCAUAAAUUAAACUAGUUCUACUGAAUGUUCUUGAUUUCAUCAAUCUAGUCGCAAUGUAAAUACAUAAUCUGCAGUAAAAAAUGGCAAUAUUCAUAAGACUUGUAUUGCAGCACGCAAGGAAAGCUUUUAACAGCAGUACAACUGUGUACAAGCGUCCCUCCCUGGACUUGAUUGACAACAACUUACAAAUUUAAACUGAGACUUUAUUGAGACACCCCUUACGACACAACUAUAAGACUUCCGACACAAAAGGACCACAGCUGUUGGACAAGGGGAUUCGACAAGGACCACAGAUUCUAUGGCCAACGCGACCGAGGAAAGGAGCUCUUGCGUUUAGGCACAAAUUUGCGCAUCCAGAGAUGCUUCCCAUUUAUGGUGAAUUUGGCCUUGGUAACACCACCGAGAAUCAAGUCAAUGACUUUAGGCGUAGAGAACACUACUCGAGCAUACAAUGGUUGCUCAUCAGACCUCACUGGUUGCAUGUGGAAGGCCUCUAUGCAAUUCCCGAACAGCUUAGUGAAGAACUCCGUGACUUCUGAUUCUGCAACAGGAUAGCCCUUCGAAAAUGUAACAAACAUGGUCCUUUCCUCUUGUGAUGCCCCAUUAGCAUUACUGUAGUCUCCACAUGCUUCACCUACAAAACCCAAGUUAGAAAAGCUGUUAACCAAAGACUCGUAUGCAUUAUGCUUCUUGACGACAUCCUCUAUGACAUCCUGUAAAGCCAUGGCACAAGUUUCAGUUACAACAUUCCGAAGUUCUUUCACCACAAUGGGCCUAUUCUCAUGAAAAUAUUGGAGAGUGAUCCUCUUCUUCACGAGUCUAGAAGUUGCAGGAAUUUCAUUGACUUCAGCUGAAAGCACAAACUGAGGGUCAUUAACACAUUUGACACAUGUCAAAGCCUCGUCAGCAUAUUUAUUUAUCAACAUGGGGGGCAUAGAUAAGAUUGUUAAUACAAGAUUCUUGAAACCUAGCCGCUCCAUCCAAAGCCACAGGGCCAUAAUUUGCACAGAUUCAUAAGGAUCACGCCAGAGAUCGACAGCAAGGAGAGAAUAAAGCGCUCUAUCCAUUGCAUGGAAAGUACCGUACUCGUUGGGUGUAACCGGCAAAAGUUCAGGAUCCAUGGCCCAAAACCUGUUCACACCAACAUUCACAUAUACAAUCAUCAACAUCGAAUUACAAAACCUUAAAAAGACAAGGCAAAAAAUUUUCCACCAUAUACACCACAAAAAUCAUAGAUUCAGCAGUUUAGCAUUUUAAUGGACUGGCAACUUUACUAAAUUGGUUUUUUUUUUUUUUUGUGGGUACAGCACACAGACACACAGAGACGCAGGCACAACAAGAGUGGGGUGAACUGGAUCAAAACUGUACAUCACUUAAUCUCCGCUAAAGUGACAAACAUAUGAGUUUGGUGCCUGGUCCUUGAACCAGAAAGGUAUAUGGAAGACAGGAUCCUCAUGGAAACCAUGGAGAGUGAAUUUCCAUGCUGGUCUUCUCCACCAAUUUCUCCUAACAACUAGCUGAUAUACACCCAGAUCAAGCAAAAUAUUAAACAAUGAAAUAACCGGAUAAAUAAAUCUGACUAGUACAAAAGAAGGGAAAAGAAACCUGAAGGGAACUUCUCAGAAAAUUGCUUUUCAACUCAACUCCAACUCACAUGAUUUAUAGGCAGCUCAAGACUCUAAAACAGGUGCGAAGAAGUCUUUUAGUUUCUCUUGUCAAUGUACUCCACAAACAACAAACUGAAGAUAAGAUACUGGUAUUAAUUUCCAAGAGAUAUCCUCGCUAGUAGGUUGUAUUUAAUGUUUGAAGAAAUCUUGAGCCUUGAAAAUUGGACACAUGCGAAAAUUUUCUGUUUCAGUCAAUUCAUUUUCUGGCUAUGUGACACACGUCAAACAUGAAGAAAGGCGAAGGGAUAAAAGAACUCAACAAGUUACCAUAUAGCCAAUCUUCUAGAGAUUACCAUUCUGAGGAAAUUCUAAUAGGUCAAAAGUUUUUUGUAACGCUUUUUACUCGUCAAUUUGUUCAAUGUCCCCAUCCCACUACUUGUAGACCAGGAGAAAGACAGCUUAUUAUCAUCUAGUGGCCAAUAAUCAGUCAUGCAUCCACAAUAGUAACAUGGUACGAGAUUAGGAUUUUGAAUAAUGACGAGAAACCGUUUUAUGUUAAUAUCCUCAGUACUGCUCAGCUAAUUUGAUACACUAUUGCAUUGUUCAUCCAAGAUAGCCUUGCGUUGCAUCAUAACAGGGACCUCAGAUGACAUAAUUAGUAUCAAAUCUCAGACCAUUCAAACUUAGUAGAUCAUUCAUCUGCCAACAUGAACCAGUCACAAUAAGGUGACAUGGUUUUCUGUAUGAUACCCCAUUUCUACAGUAACGUGCUUGUGCAACACAAUGAUCUCAGUUUCCAAUAGCCAAGCCAUAGUGAGAAACACAGGCAAGGAAGCUUUCUAUGAGACAACAUCAAGUAAAUGUUGUCGAAGGCCAAAAAUAAAAUUUGCAUAUAGCAAUAUCUGGUCCUCUUAUUAUGUUUCUUUUUUCGGUUUGACCUAAGAUUCUACAUGGCAUUUCGGCAUGAAGUUGCCUUCUUCAUAAUUUUUCCAAUCUAUUUGAAUAAAAAAAACCACCCUUUCAUCAGGUAUCCUAAAUAAGACCAACUAUUCUGUUUACUGCUUUUCGUCAAUGGAACUCUAUGGUUUUCCUAUAAAGUGCAAAUAAGAUGAUAUGCGGUUAAUUAUAUGAAUACAGGUUCUUGUUUUUCCUUUAACUCGUAAAAAUAUACAAGUUGAAUGAAACCACUUUUUCAUCAGGAAUCUCAAAUAAGCCCAACAACUCUUUAUACCACUUUCCCAUCAAAGAAACCCUAUUGAUUAUCGGUAAAGGGCAAUUAUGUCGCUAUACAGCCAGUUAUAUGAAUACGGGUUCUUGUUUUUCUUUGAAGUCAAAAAAAUGCACAAGUGGAAAAAAAACCGCUUUUUGUCAUGAACCAAAGUCCAAAAGUUUUUUAUACUGUUUUUCCAUCAAUAAUACCCUGUCGACUACCUAUCAAGCGCAAGAAUGUCAUUAUACGGAAGAUUUGAUGAAUACAUUUGACUACCUAUAUAAGUGCAAGUAUGUCGUUAUACGGCUUUAUGAAUACAGGUGCUUGUUUUCUUUAAAAUCCUAAAUACAAAAGUUGAAAUUUGUCGUUUAAUCAGAUCAUAAAAGCUAUAAAUAAAAAAACCGUGAGAAGCUGUUUCAAACGGUCCAAUUCUAAACCAACCCCAGUUUUUGGAAACCUCGUAAAUGGGGUAAAAUAAUGGUUAUAAAACUGUCUGCUAUUCAAAAGCACCCCUAGUGUUAGAAACUCGUAAAUGAGGUCACAGCCUUCUAUUAGUAAGUUUUGUCAUUUAAAAUCCUACUUCUUAACAAAGGGAAUUGCAACACAUAUUACUCUGUGUAUCUAUAACAUGAGGACCUGUGCUGUAUGGCUAUAGCAUGAGCUGCAGCACUAGUUUCUUCUGAUGAGAUCACAAGCACAAAGGCCUCUUUCUUUUUUCAGUUUAUUAGUACAGAAAGCUGGAGCCUCUCUCUUCAAUUUCUCAUUCAUAUAAUGUACUCAAUUUUGGCUCAUUAGGUAUAGAUGUUAUAAAAUCUGGUAAAUCCUGGUGCUAUACUGGUUCACCUAGUCCUCCAAGGUUGGGAACAACACUUAUGCUGUUGUCAUACUAUACUCUACUGAUAAAUGAAUGUGGAUGUAGCUAAUUGGUCAAAUGAUUAUCUUUAAAUCUCUAUCAAAAGGAAUAUCACGAGUAAAUGUUGAAUGAUUAUGGUAAUAUGCAUUAGAAAACUUGUUCUGCCUAGUAACUUCAAAGCCUUCUCAUUCAGAUAGUGCUUAGGAAAAGCUCAGCAUAACUUAACAUGCCUAAUUCAGCAUAUGCAUUCCAACAACUUUAAGAACUUCAGUUUUCCUGGUAAUGCUUCUCCAAUACACUUAGCUACAAUUUGAGUGAUAGCAUGAGUUGCAUGAUAGGCAUGUUACCUAAACUAUUAUAAAAUCCAUAAGGUGCUCAAAUCAUCCAUCAUUAGGCAGUUAAGAAAAGACACUUUGUUUCAACAAGUCUCUUGCCUAGCAGAAGUUAGUUUCAUACCUUCUAUCACAAUCCUAAGCUGGAAACCCAUGAUCAUUUCUCAACUACUUCAUAACAGGAAGAUCAUCUGCAUACCAUCAUAGAAACAGUUUCUUCCAGCCAUUGUAACUUCUUUUUUCCUUUUUGACUGGUUUUACUAGAGCGGAGUUUAAGACAGAUCUGGAAUUCAACAAAAAUUAGAUGGUCAAAUUUUCUUUCACAAAAAAGAUCAUCUGGAAUUCAUACCUUCUAUCACAAUCCUAAGCUGGAAACCCAUGAUCAUUUCUCAACUACUUCAUAACAGGAAGAUCAUCUGCAUACCAUCAUAGAAACAGUUUCUUCCAGCCAUUGUAACUUCUUCUUUCCCUUUUGACUGGUUUUACUAGAACGGAGUUUGAGACAGAUCUGGAAUUCAACAAAAAUUUGAUGGUCAAAUUAGAGUUCAAAACCAUCUCAUAGCAAGUCUUGAGCCAAUAUCCAAAGCACAACGGUGAGGAGGAAAGUAUUUGUAAUCAUACGCAUACAUCAAAACAUGUGCAGCUCAACCGUGAAUGGUGGACCAAAAUGCAGAAAACCAAAUACACCUGAAAUCCUCCCCUUUAGCAGCCCCCAAGUUCCCUCCCUGCAAAUAGGGAAGAACGUGGUUCAGCGACAGAAACUUAAGUGGCAAAAUGAAAAGCAACUAUCGCUGAACCAAGUAUAAGGAGAACAAAAAGGUAAAGCUUCAAUUUUCAAUAUUCAUGCGUGAAAAGUAUUGCAAUCGGUUCUUCAUCAACAUAUAUCUUGGUCAAGGAAGAAAAAAAAAGAGCACUGGAGCCUGACAUAUUAUGGGAAUAAGACUUCAUAUAUAUAACAAACUAAAUGCUUGUCAAAGGAGCGACUGCUAUGACAAUAGCAUAUCAGUUACAUUUUGAAGCUGGCCAGAAGUCGGUACAUCUAUGAUGAUAAGUACAAAGCGCUUACAAAGAUUUCCACCUCCAUGAACAUAUAUCCAAAUUAGAUUCAUAGGGUGACAAUGAAAAACACAUAAGAUCAUUGACUCAACUGUCCUAUACGUGUCUAUUAUUGACCAUUAUCCAGAGAUGCUUGGGGUUGCAGUUGCACCUUGCAGAUCAGAUAAAGAGAAGGACCUCCAAGGAGAAAACUUCUGUCCCGGAGGUGACAAUGAGUCAUUGUACAGUGAUCUUCUUGCUUGUGGUGGCAAAGGAGGAAGACAAAUGCCACGAGAUGGUGAAUUUGAGUUGGAACUAUCGCUGUUAUUGUUGCUCUCGGUACAGCCCAUGGAUGCUGCAAGAGCCAAUGAACUUCUAGAGCCUGCUGCUCUCUUUGAUAUCCCACCGCUGUUAUUUCUUCUAAUGCCAUUGCGAUUCUUAUCCCAGAAAUUAUUACAGGCAAGCAAGUUUUUGCGUUUCCUGGUGUAAGAAUUUUCUGGCUUUACAAUAUCUUUCAUGGACGAACAAUUUGCAGCAUCUGAUAGGCUGGUAAAAGACUUGGAUUUACCACAAUAAAAUUGUGAUAUGCUCCUCCUGAAACAAGUCAAAUUGCCAGUAUCAGCAAAGCUUUAGACAACCCAAAAAAAAAAUUCACUAAAAAAAAAGCAGCACAAGUGUCUAAGAAUUUAAAUGCCUUGCAGUAAUUGUGAGAUUUCUCACAUAAAUGUUGCUACAAGAGAAGCAUUCAACAGUAUGGAAGCUGAAAAUGAAAAAAAAAUUUAAAAAAAAAAAGACUUCCUUGUGUUAAUUCAGUGUCAAUGUCCAAAAAAUGUAACUGCGCUCUCAGUUAAUAAAUAAAGUUAAAAAAAAUGUCAAAGUAGAGAUGAAAGAGGUAAAAAUAAAAAUAUAUUUAAAAAAGAACCACAUCUCAGGAUCUAACAGCAAAAUAAAGAUGUAAUUCCAAUUUUCAAACUGUCUGCCCAAAUGAUCACAACUCAAUCAUGUUCAACCAUAUGCAUUCCACCUCAUACUGACUGCUAAAAGUCAGUACGCAAAUUCCAAAUAUUCCACAAAAAAACUAGACAUAAAAUUCGCACAAACCCUAAAUCUACAGUGGAUUAACAGAAGACAGCUACAUACUUGAUAGGCAAGACCUCCUCUAACGCCUCGAGACUAUCCAAAGCUCCGCCUUUAUACUCACUCUGCACCUCCUCACCGUCGCCGGCUUCCGACGACCGUCCAGCCGAUGACUCCUCAUCACUAUUCCUCCCAAUCGAAGAAGUCGACGACGAUGACUCCCCACUCCGACCCUCAUCCUCUUCCUCCACCUCCUUCCUCCCCGCUCCAACUCCGGCGCCGGCUGCCCCUAACUCCGGUGCCGGCGGCUUAUUUCCAUUAGCAUACAUCGAGAAACACGUCACUCUCUGUCCACCAAGUCCAGACCGUCCGAUCAGAUGAUGAUCAAGCCCGUAACUAUUACCAUUAAUAUGAUUGGCAGCAGCCGCGGUAGAGGCCGCAGUCGCAGUCGUAGUACCAGUCGUAUUACUAUUGCCCUCUCCACCACGAUUGACAUCGCCGGUAUCUCUAACUAGAAGAACAAAACGAACGAAGAAGUUCCAAAACUUACAGGAGUAUGCUAUAGACACAGAAUUCUCUACGCAUACGUAGAUGGAGAUAGAAACGUAGGACAAGGAGGGUCUUAAGAAAGAGAGGAGAGGAUUAUAUAGGGAACUGCGACUUGAGAGAGAGAGAGAAAUGAUGAGAAACGGAAUAAUCAGAGGGGGGAGAGAGAGUGUGAGAGAGACAGAGAUGGAGCAGCCUUAUCUUUAUCCAUCCAUCAUUCACAGACAAAUAGUAUAUUAUAAUGUCUUAACAACAAAAUUCAAUAAAAUAUUUGCAAUUUGGAUAAUUAAACAAGAUUAUCUUUUUCCUUUUUUUUAAUCAUAAUUGGACAGAGCCACAGAGUUCUAUGGUAUGGGCGCCCGUGCAGUAGACGGGGAUGCGGAUUUGGGGAAAGAGUGAUCUUGGCCGUUGGUGCUUCUUGAUGGGGUUGGUAGCGCUGGUAUCUAGGGUUGAAAAGGAUUCUGAUCCUGCGGUUUUUUGCUGUUGCCAAGGAAGAAUCCACUAUUCUCAGAAGCUGUGGAAACCAAAUCUGUGUAUUUGUUUCGGCUUCUUUGAAAAUUGAGGUUUGAAUACGAUUAAGGUCAAAAGUCCCAAUAAAAGGUCCUUUCUUUUCUUUUUCUCGCGGGAAAUUUCGCCUCAUAUUCUUCUUGCUCGGCCCUUCUGUUGUUCUAUUUUUUUUUUAAGUACAAAUUUAUACUUAUAUAUAUCAUUAGAGAAUUGAAUACAAAGAGAAAAGAUGUGACAAUGCAAGUCUGAUGGGACAAAUGAUUUUUUGCAUUUUGUUGUCUAGAUUAAUGGCUCGAAAAAAUAGUAGAUAAAGACAAAAUGCUUAAACUUAUAUUAGAAUAUCAUUUUCCAUUGUGUAAAAUAAUUGUUUUCAAGCAAUUCUUAUGAGUUUUGCAAAUUAUUCAAAAUUUUUGAAUUUUUCAAAAUUGUUUCCAUAUCAAUAAUAUGAAAAGGUGUAUUUGGAUAGGAUAUCAUUUAAAAUAAUUUUUUAAAUAAUUACUGUAACAUUUUUUUAUAAUAUGAUAUAUAUGAGAUAAAAAAGAUAAUUGAAAACAUGAAAAGGUGAGUUGAAAUCCGUAUUUAUAAUACAAGUAAAAUAAUAUUUAAAUAUUUAUCUACAAAAAGCAAUUGUAAAAUCACUACAUGUGAUAGUCAACAUAGGAAUUUAAAAGGAUGAAGUAGGCAAGCCAUCAUUUAAUCUGGUCUAUUAUACAAGACAUGUAACGGUCAAUAUGGGAAGGAGGCAAUCCAUCAUUUAAUUUGUAUACAUCGUACAUUAUCAAAAAAAAAAUUUGUAUACAUCGUAUGAGUUAUUUAGAGUAGGAUUUUCCAUAUUUGAAAUAAUGUAAACUGUCUUUUCAAUCUCAUUACCAACUCGUAAUUUCUAUUAAAGGACCACAUUUGUAAUUCCUCAAACGUUAAUGGAUUUAGUUUGCUAUGACAAUUAAGGAAUACAAUAAAAAGAGCAAAUUUAAAAUGAUAUUUUGAUCUUAUAUUUUGAAAGAGAAAAACAUAAGGGAAGGUGAUUUUUUUUUUUUUGAAUUCAAUGGAAGCUAAGUAAUAUUUUAUAAAAUUAUCCCCUACAUAUAUGAAAGUUGGUUUAGUGUCAUGUUCAUUAAUAUGUUUGGAUAGACAUUAUUUACAAAUAAUCAGUCGCUUACAUCAUAAAUGCAUUUUCUAAUAUUUUCAAUCUUUUUUUUUAUAUUUUACAUACAUCACAUCAUAAAAAAUAAUACAAUAAUUAUUUCAAAUAAUCUUAUAUCCAAACGCAUUUAUUUUGAACAGUUGUGUGUUUGAAAUAAAUAUACAUUAAUUUUGAAUACAACCUUCGAACAGUAGCAUUUGUGUCUAUAGGUUUACUUCACACAUAUAUAUAUAUAUAUAUAUGUGUAUGUGUACAUGUGUGUGUUUGAAAGACUAGUAAUAAAAGACAAGGUACAUUUGCACUUGUACCAACUUAACAUGUAUCUGAAAAAGAGAAUUAACAUCAUAGGCGAAAACGAAAGUAACCAUCCAAAACAAAAGCCAGACGUAUAUAAGUCGAUUAAAUUCCAGAAAUUACCAUUUAAACACAGGACAAUAAGUCAUACGUGUACAGCAAAAUUAAAUAAGGCGGGAAGAAUGAAUGUCAAGACCCUUAGACAAAACCAACAAACUACUAACAAGAUAAACAACCCUGAGGGUGAGGGUCAACCUUGAAAAUCACGUCUUUGGCAUCAGCACGGUUCUCGACACUCCUAACUUUUUCAAAACCCUAAAAACGCCGUCGUCAACACUUUGCAGCUAGACCGAAAAAAAAAAGAGAGAUAUUUCUCUGUAUGGAAAAAAAAAAAUUCUAUGAAUGGAGGACACGUGGCUGAAUUUGGAUGGCCGCCACGUGGACUAAUGUUUGAUCGUGGAAGCUGAAUUCUGGUGAAAGAUGUGAUAGGGGUUGGGGUCCAGCAUCCAAAUGGAGAGAUGGUUGGUCGGUGUUCAAAGCUGAUGUGGGUUGCCUCUUCCCUCAAUCCUGCGUCGCAGUCGCCUACUAGUGCUAUUCCGCCAGGCUUAUAGCGAUAGCCUACCUCUCUCUUUUUCCUUUUUUUCAAUAAAUGGUUCACUUUUUUUUGGUCAAACACAAUAAAUGGUUCACAGUUUACUGAUUAGUACUAGUGCUUGUCUGGACCAAUUCCCGCCGGUGGUCCUAAACUCCUAAUCAGGAAACACGACUCACUCCUAGCUUCCUCGGAGGAGGAAACAGGCUGGGAUCAGUUAUUGGUCAAAAAUGUGAUAUCAUUUCCUUCGUUGCCUUAUCCACCACGCAUGUCUAUGUAUUUUGUGUUUUUUUUUUUUUUGGUCUUCUUUUUGGUCAGUGUUUUGUGCUCAAUUUUCGUUUGAAAGUCUAAUAAUCUUUGAUCCAUUCAUUUAGGGUAGAGAAGACGAGUUCACUUUUUUCAUGAUUUGCUAAUAUAAUUACACUUUGAGAAAUAAUAAUUGAAGUCGAUAUUUUAACACUUAUUAAUUUGGCUGCUAUAGACGUUAGUACAACAUUUUUAGUUUGACUCUCAAACUAAUUUUUUUUUAUUAUAUGGUCCUUUGAAAAUUUUUUUUAAAAAAAGUUGAUAAAGAUAUAGCAUAAAUAGCUGCAAACGUAUAUAUAUAUUUAUAUAUCCAUGCCUUGUCUCGGCAAAAUGGCGUCGACUUAUGUGAUAACCCAUGCCGUUGGCGCGUCUAGGAUUUCAUCAGCACCUGGUACCGUGUCAUCUACACAAUCAUAUUGUACAUGGAUUGCGCGAGUGUACGGUGGACAAUGGAUCUACCGUCUUGCAAUUUGAGUUGUAUUCUAAUUUAAGUCGGUCGUGUAAAUUAAUUAAUUUCUAUAUAAAAUUUGAGUUUGUAAUUUAUAUAAUUAUGUUUGAGAAAAAAUUACUAAAACUUGGGGGAGGUCCCAAAUUCACAAGACAAUUCGAAAAAUCAUCCAAAGCUAGAUCGUUCAUCGGCAAAACACUAGGUGUAAUUUAACUUUCGCACGUAUAAUUAAAUUUACAGAGUGUGUAGUAGUACAUCCCCUAAUCUAGAAAUGAGUUUUUUUGUCCUUCGGAGAUAUUUUUUAACUCCUCCUAAUUCUCUUCGGUUUAAUUGGGUCUUCCCUUGUGUAGAUUGGUGUACAGACAUCGUCGAAUUAAAAAAGAAAAAUCCAUAAUUGAAGGCAUAAAAUUGUUCAUCGACUUGCUUAACCAUUUGGUUGUGAGGUAAAGUUAAACCAAUGAACAUGAUGAUAUCAUGCCUGCACAGUGCACACAAGUAGCUUGUGGAAUAUAUGUAAAAAUUCACUCCAUGAGGUGUGAAUUGCCAAGAGAUCCUGUGGUGAAGGCCGAAGAUAUCACCAUAAUUGGUGUAUUUCUCGUAUUUACACAGGCUUUAUGAAUGGCUCUUUGACCGUUUCGACUGAACUACUUUCCGAAACUAUUCAUCCACACAAGUUACCUUCAAACCAUCAAACAGGUCCAUGUUCUUUGUUCCAAAUAGAAAUUCGGUAAGUGCUUCCAGGAAGUUUUUGGUGGAAUUCCUGAUCAAGUGGAGCUCAUUAAUAAAUUUCAUAUAUCCACAUCUUUUAUGCUAAUUGAAGUUUAACCAACAACGUUGUUAUGCGUUUAGGGGUAGCAAUUGAGCAGGAAAGAAUGAUAACGAGUUGUAAAAGCGAAUGAAUUAAAAUGAAUGACGUAGGAUAUUCUUUUACACCAUACUCUCUAGUGACUUGGAUGGGAUUGAAUAUAUAUAUAUAUAUAUAUAUAUAUAUAUAUUUUUUUUUUUAUUUUCGAUACAGGGGUGUUCGGGUCAAUCCUUACGGGGCCCGACUAAUCCCCUACGACCCGAGCCCGGCGCCCCAACCCGACCCGAACACAAUAAGUGCGCGGAGGAAUCCAGCAGAGCGGAGACUCGAACUUGGGACCUCAAGGGUCACCGGUGAGAGGGGAUUGAAUUUGUAUAUACUAGUGCUUUUGGCACACACUUUGUCAAAAUUCGAGUACAAGAGUUGGCUGAAGUAAUUUUGGACCGCAAUUCAUUGAGUCAAAAUGGUUAACACAAAUUACAACCAAGGGGUUCAAGCUUUUAAAUCAUUUCCUCUUCUUCUAAUGUGGGAUGCUACAUUCUCCCCACUAUUAAACUGUUCAUUUGGCCGUAUUUCGGAUUCUAAAAUUGGCUCGUAUGAAUUCUAGAGGUGAUUCUCAUUAAACGUGACACUUAAUCCCCACACAACACUUAAAUCUUUGCACUAGAGUUGACCUCCAUCUGACGUGACACUUAGUCCCGCACAGCAUUUAGAUUCUUGCACUUCAUUGCGUGAUUGGAAUCAUAACCUGUUGUAGUCCAAACUCACCUCAAGCAUAUACUACUCGAUAUUCACGACUCAAGUUCAAGGAUUGACCCAAGUAAUUUUUUCGACUAAAAUCCACUAGUCCAAAUGGGUUAACCCAAAUUACAAGGUAGCCAAAGGGCCCAAAGUCUUAAAUCAUUUCCUUUCUUCAUCAACCUCCGAUGUGGAAUGCUACACUCUACGUGCGUGCUUAUUCAAAAAAUAGAUAUUUUUAGAUGUGUCUAGAUAAAAGAAUGUGCAUCUGUAGAAGAGUACUAAUCAGUGCACUGAUUUAGAGACAUUUAUCUGAUGAAUUUAACGUCAUGCAUGUGAGAGGAAUAACCACUCAAUGAUUUGGGGAUUAACAAAUGAUUUGGGAAGUUAAAAAAAAAACCACAGUUAUGUGGUAUACCAAAUGAUGCAAGAGUGAAGGGAGAGAUGUCAAUUGACUGGAUUGGUAAAUGGGAAUGUGUAUAUAAAGUGAUAGGAAAAGUUUAUUCCAAAUACGUAUAAAGAUGGUUGUGUUUGGAUUGUAAUUUUUUGAAAUUUUUUGUAGAAAAUGUACUGUAGUCAUUUAAUAUAUUUGAGAUAAAAAAAUUAAAAAAUAUGUUUACGAAAAAUAUAAAGAUUUUUGAUGAAAAAUCCCUUUCCAAACAAGGCUUUAUUGAAAAGAUUUUUUUUGACUUGUGAGCUGACAUGGCAGCCAAUUGCAAUGCCACUGCAAUCUGCAAUCUCCAUGCAAUAACGUGGUAGAUAAGAAAAUGAUCUGGUCAAAACAUGUGAUGCGAAUUUAGGAUGCACAGUCGAUGUUAGAUGUGGCAAAAUGGGCAGAAUUUGCUUGAGUUUGAAAUGGGAUUGAAUAAUAUGGAUUUGGGUAUAAUCUUAUCUAUUUGUGUUUUUGGGAUUAAUUUGGACGUGAUUACUUUGAAAUGGGUUUAGAUUGACCCCGCCUAAUAUCCAAACUUGUUUUAUGUAUGCGAAUUUAGGAUGCACAGUCGAUGUUAGAUGUGGCAAAAUGGGCAGAAUUUGCUUGAGUUUGAAAUGUGAUUGAAUAAUAUGGAUUUGGGUAUAAUCUUAUCUAUUUGUGUUUUUGGGAUUAAUUUGGACGUGAUUACUUUGAAAUGGGUUUAGAUUGACCCCGCUAAUAUCCAAACUUGUUUUAUGUAUUUUUUCCUUUAAUUCUUUUUAUUUUUUAUUUUACUUUAAUAUUUUGAUUUAUUAAAUUUCUUUUAGUCUUAUUGUGAAUUUAUAUUUUUCUGAAUUCAAAUUUUUUCUCAAAUUCUCAAUUUAUAUUUUUUUUAUAGGCCUAAAAGAACUCCCACCAGCCCCGUUUAGACCUUUUUCGGCUUGACUAUGCAGCUGUUAAGUUUUCGUCUCAAAAUAAGAAAUUUCUUUUGACAUUUUUUCAAAAAGCACUCUAAAUUGAGACCAGCAACAGAAUUUUUACAAAAAAUGAAAAUUAAAAAUUUGAUUUCUAAGGGACAAAGGGGUUCAGGAAAUUAGAUGGGAGUUUUAACUAUAAUUAUAAGGAAAAAAAUCGAAGGAUCUGACUGGAAGAAAAAAAGUUGUUUGCUUGGAUAAUUAAAAAGAUAUACAACAAUUAACAAGAUAAUUUUUUAGUGAGAUACUUGGACCCCAAUGGGUACCCAAAGAUUUUCCAAAAGUUUUAAUCAAUUAACAGGUAUAUAUGAAAUUAGUCCAAUUUCAAAACACAACAUUAAAAUUAGAACACCCAUCCUGUCUAAAGUUCCUUUGGAUAUGGGUAGUCCAUUGGACCUGUGACAUAUUGCCACUUCUAGAUGAUAUUUAGUUUACGAUCAACUUAUUAUGUCUUUGUAGGACGUACCCAAAGGAAAAUAAAGUUUAUGCAAAAUUUCUCCAUGGGAGAAACUCGAAGUCUCGAACACUAAUAAAAUAUAUUGGAGAGAUAGUGAAUGACAUUUUGAACACAUUUACUCAAUUUGUAAGGAUGUUACAUUCCAUUUGGACGGGCAUGUCUGUUUGGAUAGCAAGUUAUUUACGUAAAUUAAUUUGCUUGUGUCAUAAAUAUAUUUUUCAAUCACUCUUUUGUCUUACAUAUAUUACAUUAAAAAAAUGUUACAGUAAUUUUUUUUAUAAAAAAUUUCAAAUAAUCUCCUAUCCAAACAGACAAUCAGCAACACUUGUUGUUGGUAGUAUAUUCCCGGGUUCCUUUGGGAAGACGGAAGAUAUUCCCAUGUGUGUGUGAGGUUUUAUUCCUACUGCCUAGUAAGGAGAUUAAAAUGUAGCUUCUCUACGAGUUCAUAGGAAUUUAAUACAACUAACCCAAAUAAGAGAGCACUCUAAAUUAAUAGAAUCGAGCUAAUUUUGCUCAUGGCAUUAUGCUCCUAUCAGGUGGGAAAAAAUUAUUUGCUGGUUCACAGUCAAUUUUCGUAUAAGUUGCGAAGUUACAACUUCAAAUGCUACAAAAGAUAAAAAAAUGAUUAAAGACCAAAGCGACUACAAAUUAAAGAGAACAAGGAUUACUCUUCUGUGUAGAGUAGAGUGUAACUAAAAGAUUACUUAAGAAAACUCCGUGGAGACAAAGUUCAAGAAUGUAAUCACACACGCUCGCGCGCUCCCCCACUCCAACAUAUAUACAGUAAUUGGCCAAGCUCCACUCUUUUUAAGAUUUUAAGCCCUUAAUCUCUUAAACCCUGGAAUCUGAAUCACAGCGACCCCUCUUAAACCCCAGCUCCACCAGCAAGAAGAAAAUGGCUGCCACCACCAUCACUAUCGACGGUGGCAACAGAAUCCAAACCUACGAGGAUUUUGUAAAAGUUCAUGCUGUAUUACUUGCAGCCUCUGGAAUCCACAAUCACUUUACCCCACACUCUUCGAUAAGCUCACAAAUGAGACUUUCGAUGGCGGCAACUAUUUCCAGAUUGAGCCAGUGGAGGAGGUUGAAGGCCGCCAGAGGAGGCUUGUGUUCACCUCGGAGUUUCUGGGCAAGGAGUCUAAUCUUUUUGUUGUCGACCAUGCUUGGACAUUUCGACUUUCUGAUGCUUAUAAGCAGGUUUGAAGUAGUAAUCCAAGAUUAGAUUUUGAUCGUAUUAUCUUCAAUUAUUUAGUUAUUUUAAAUUGCUUUUGUCCAUACUAUGUAGGGGAUUUUCGAGCUUGGGUUCUUGCGGUUUUUUUGUGGGUUUCUUUUCUCUCUUUUGGUUGGGUUGCAUUAGUGUAAUAUAUGUAGGGAAUUUGCAGUUGCAGGAGAUUCCCGGAUUGGCGGAAAGAAUGGCUGCAUUGAUGUGUGUGGAUAUUGAUUUGGAUGGAGAGGCUAAAAGCGGAGGUCUAGAUGAAAUCGAUACUACUCAACUGAGUGCUGUGGAUAUAGUGGAGAGAGAAUUAUGUGGAAUCAGAGAUGGCCGAGCUGAUGGUCUGAGGUGGUUGGAACUUGAGGAGCUUGACAUUGAUGAUGAUGUUCUUGUUUCUCUGAUUUGCCUAGUAAAUUUCCUGUAAGUCUCUCUUUAUAGCGUUAAAAAUUUGAUAUUUUUAGUGGGAAACUGAUCCAGUGAAGUGAUUUUGUGGAAUUCUGCAUUCCAUUGCUGUCUGCAAAAGAAUUAGGAGAUGCCGUAGUAUUUAUCAAAUUGGUAACUUGCGUUAAGAUGGCUUUUUAUAUGAACUUUUACAGUGGGUUAUCUGGUUUGUUGUACUAGACAUUAAUUGCACUAAGCCUGUGUGACACAAACUCGAGAACGUGGAAGUAGUUGCAAAAGAAAUUACCCAAUUCAAGCCACCUCAGAGCCCUAUGGCUGAACAAUAAUCCAGUACUGGAGAGGGGGUAAAGUUUACAAAUAUGUAACAAUGAUAAUUCUUUCCAUGAUUUUUGGUUUUGGCUUCUGACGGUAGCUACUUCUCUGCAGAGACAGUUCUAUGGCUGAUACCAUUCUUCAAUGUUGCCCCGAACUGGAAAUUUAUAACUCACACUUUACUGCUAAUUAUGGUAAAUGGGCACUUGGAUUUUGUUGGAGGAAUAUAUCACAAAGAAAAUCCUGGCCACAAUCUCCAAGGUGACUGUCCAUUCGAGAGUUUGACAUCUUUAGACCUUUCAAAUAGGAGCAUACACAAUCUCAUCAACAAGGUCAGUGCUGUUUAUCACAUUACCUUUUUUUCUUUUCUCAUCAAUUUCUUACUGGUUUGCAAAAUAAAGAUAUUGUCCAGCAUUGCGUCACCUAAUGGUAAAUUUGUCUCUUUGAUUGGUAAAAUACAAUAUUCCUCAAGAAUGCCCUCAUUUAGUUUAUUUGGUUUUUCUUUAUCAGGCAUUUUCCCCUGCUGAAUUGCCAUGCCUUUCAUAUUUGAAUCUUCAUGGAAACCCAUUAGAUGAAAAUUCAGUUGGUGAUCUGCUGGACCUACUUGGAGUAUUCAGCAGCUUACAAGCCCUUGAUGUAUUUAUGUUAAUACUAGUUUUCUUUCACUUGAAAGCAUGUAAUUGUACUAAUACAGGAAAGUGAUAAAAACAGGUUGAUAUUCCAGGCCCACUUGGAGAUAGUGCUGUAGAAAUUCUCGAGUCCCUUCCUCAACUUUCUUUACUGAAUGGUGUUGAUGCAGCCAGAAUAUUGGAGUCCGAGAAAUCUGUGAUUGAUUCAAUGUUACAACCACGGCUUCCAGAGUGGACAGCUGGUGAACCCGUUUCUGACCGUGUUAUUAGUGCAAUGUGGCUAUUCUUAAUGACAUACAGACUUGCAGAUGAGGAAAAAGUAGAUGAAACUUCUGUAUGGUAUGGAACUUAAAUAUUCAUGCUUGAUAAUUUGCUUUUGGUGCUUUGUAUAUUAUCAUUAGAUAUGCAUGGAGAAUGUAUUUUUCGUCAAUUUCUGGAUAUCUAAUUUUCAUCUGUCUUUAACUAUCUUAAACAAAAUUUCACAUCAUUGCUGUGGAAGUGUUUUCCACAAUGCUUCUAUUAGUGUCAGAUUUUCCAGUUCAGAAGAGUCGUAGCAGUUACUGAAUGUGCAUGUUAGAGUCACAGGACUAGUAAAAACUCGUUAAGAUGUGUGAGGAUAGAGACUGAGAAACCUAUUUCUUUCUUGACCCUCCUGCACAAAGAAGUGAAAUACCUUCUCUAUGGGACAGAAAUUCUGAUUCUUGGCUUUGAGUUUUGCUGUGGACUAAUAGUUUAUAUCACUUUCCAUGUUGAGUAUAGUCUGCUUCACUGAGACUCUCUGUUAAACCCAUGGCCCAGCAUCUUCUUUCUUUCUUUUUUUAAUUCUUGCAGAACAAUUUUUAUGGAAGUGUCAAUUGGUACUAUGCCUCUCUUUUUUUUUUUUUCAAAUCAAAUUCUUUCAAUAUGGCAUCCUGCUUAACUGGAAGCAGGAUAUUGAAUAUGUGAGUGGCACCGAUUAAAUAGAUGCCUUAGUUUUUGAAAGUAAUGAGAGGAAUAAAUGGCACAAAUUGCUGUCUCUAUAUCUGCUUGUUUUCUUUAUUAAGUAUUGUAGUAACAAUAUUUUGGGUGUUCUUGUAGGUAUGUGAUGGAUGAACUAGGUUCAGCUUUGCGGCAUAGUGAUGAACCAAAUUUUAGUGUCUCUCCUUUUCUAUACAUGCCGGGGGGUGACCUAGCAUCAGCUGUGAGGUUGUCUUAAUACACAGGCUAUCUCUUUUUUCCUCUUCUCCUUUUCUCCAAAGUUGCAUAGGUCCCAUUUGUGUGAAGCUAGGUAUCUAACUUGGAACUCUAGCCAAUUGAGCUUGGAAUUUGCUUAUCUGUUAUGGUAUUUCUGUUUAAAUCAGUGUCUUUUCCUAGAUGAGUCCAUGCUUCCCUGCUGAAGGUUGGGAACUAGAUUUGUCAUUCCAUUUCGCUUGUGAAGUUUCUGACUUGAACAAAAAUUACAGUUAUUCAAUUGUUUGGCCUAUUGCGAACAUAGAAAGAGGUGAUGAGUGCACUCGUGAUUUCCUUUUUGGCAUUGGAGAGGAAAACAGCGGUCUGCUAGACUUACUGCAUGGUUCCAUACCCCUCAAAAUUAUUUUAUCAGAGUAUGUCCUUAUGCCUUCCAUUUCUUCUGUUUCUUUUUUGUCCUUGUGGUAUACAUAGUACUUUUCAGGGAGGUUACUUUUAAGCAAUCUUGUAGGAGUAUGAGAAACAGAGGCUGAAAUUGCAAUCAAAGAAGUUUCAUCCCCUGCCAGUUGUAUCUUCUACAACAAAAGCAUUGUACGGGAGUGAUGGAACUGCCUUGCGCGUUUACACAGAUAUACCUCAAGUGGAGGAAUUUUUGACCCGGCCUGAAUUCAUAAUCAGUAUGUUUUCGUGAGUAAAACUUUUAGUUCAUGAUUGUUCUGGUAUUCUUCUUUUCUACCGGCAGUUUGUCCAGUAUGCACUUUUUGUUACUCUUAUUUACUCAAGUCUAGUGAUUGCUUCUUGUGAUUCUAACUCGUUGAGGCCACCAAAAUUAUGUAAUAUGUUAACCUAUUUUGCCUUUUAAGUGGCUGCUUCUAUUGUGAUAUUUCUGAAUUCAACUAUUAUUGCAGCAUCUGAGCCAAAGGAUGCAGAUAUUAUAUGGACAAGCAUGCAGGUGGACGAGGAAAUGAGGAAAGCUGUGGGCCUGAAUGAGCAGCAGUUCAUUAAUCAAUUUCCUUUUGAAGCUUGCCUUGUCAUGAAACAUCAUUUAGCAGAAACUAUUCAGAAGGUCACUGCAUCUCUUUCUUUUAGCAAGACUAAAGGUGUCCAAGUCAAAAUGUGUCUCCUUUUGCUAAAUUCAUCUCUAUUUUUUAGCAGACUCAUGGAUCUCCUGAAUGGCUUCAGCCUACUUAUAAUCUUGAGACAGAGCUUACUCAACUCAUUGGCGAUUAUUGCAUCCGUGAAAGGGAAAGAUUGAACAAUUUAUGGAUAUUAAAGCCAUGGAAUAUGGCAAGAACGAUUGAUACUACUGUGACUGGAAAUUUAUCUGCAAUUAUCCGUCUGAUGGAGACAGGUCCAAAAGUAUGUCAGAAAUAUAUUGAGCAUCCUGCAUUGCUCAAUGGGAGGAAGUUUGAUAUUCGUUAUAUUGUUUUGGUGCGCAGCAUGAAUCCAUUGGAAAUUUUUCUUGCUGACACUUUCUGGGUAUGGCACUAUCUUUACUGGGUACCGCACUAAUAUAAUUGUGUCAAGUCCGUGGAUGCUAGAUACCUUGCUAAAUUUAUUUCUACGUUCAUUUUUCAGGUUCGAUUGGCAAACAACACUUAUUCUCUGGACAAACAUAGUCUUUUUGAGUAUGAAACACACUUUACUGUUAUGGUAAGUGGCUGAAAAUUUUAUGGUUUUUGGUUGCUUAACUGCCUGGUAAGGAGAAAUUGCUAGAUUAGAUGGUUGUCACAACAAAAUGCAGUUAGCAGUUUGCCAGAAUGCAGAUGCUGAUUAAUGUGAAGUUUGUUUAGGUAAUAUAUGCAUUUACAAUUAGAUUUCUUUUCAUUGUUUCAGAAUUACAGAGGAAGAUUGAAUCACAUGAAUACAUCAGAGUUCGUUAAGGAGUUUGAGAAGGAGCAUCAUGGUACUUUAAUCUUCCUAUCUUCCAAUAUUUCACUUCCUCUAAGUGGGAGAGAUUUCAAAGUUUUGUGGUUUUGGUCUAUUUGUUGACUUUAUUUCCUACACUUUCAGUUAACUGGAUGGAUAUUCAUUCACGAGUGUCAAGGAUGAUCAGAUCCAUUUUUGAAUCAGCAGCAGCAGUUCAUCCAGAAAUGCAGAGUCCAACAUCAAGGGCCAUUUAUGGGGUGGAUGUCAUGCUUGACCGCCAUUUCCAACCUAAAAUAUUGGAGGUUGUGACUUAUCUCAUUUGGUCCAAGUUUAUAUAUAUACACACACACACACACGUGAAGUUCUGGAAAGAAACUUUCUACAUAUAUUGUGGAAUUGUGUGCAUAUAACAUGAUGUAUCUGAAAAAUUAGGCUAUCACAAAUCUAUCCUUACAUGGGCAAGCGAAUUAUUACGAAUGCUGAACCUAAUGAUAGAAUGAAGGUCCUGUGCUAAAACUAUCAUAAAAAAGCAUUUGUAUGAAACUCCCUGGCUUUUAAAAAGCUUGUAAAGAUCUUUUAAUUUUGCUUGAGUUGGACGUAUUCAGAGGUUUUAAAUAUGUUUUGGAUCUGCAGGCCUUUAUACUUUGGCUCCUUCUACUGUUACAGUAUAAAAUUGCUUUCCGUGCUUAUCUUGUUAUUACUGCAUUAAUGCAGGUGACGUACUGUCCUGACUGUACUAGGGCUUGCAAGUAUGAUACUGAACCAGUGAUCAGGGCAGGAGGAUUUGUUAAAGGCAGUGACUUUUUUAAUUAUGUGUUUGGCUGUCUUUUUCUAAAUGAAACUGCUCAUGUAUCCCCAUUGUAGUUGAGUUACGUGGAAAAUUCUUGUGGUAUAUAUACCACAGAGAAAUGAUGUCGUGCGUGUCUUCAUCCUCUCUUUUUGCCCGCUCCUAAGAGGCUCUUUGCUGAACCUCAUCAUGCUGGAGUUCGCCAACAGAGAUCUUGGUAGGUUAUACAAAUCUUGUACUUGAAAAUAGUAAUGUUUUAGCAUAUAUCUAACUUUUAUGGUUUAUACGUCCAACCCUCCCGUGUGUUGUUGAAAAUUUCUGGACAACAAAAUUUUUACAUUUGAUUUUAACCUUAUUGUAACUUUUUGGCAUACCAGGAUAGAAACAUCAGCUGCUGCUGCCAUAUAACCUCUCAGAAUUUUAUUUGCGCUGGAAGUCUGUCACUGCUUUGUUCAGUUUUCGAAGGCAAUGGGACAGAUGCACUAGAAACAACCGUUUCCGUACAAGCGCAUACCAUGUACAAAUUAAAACUUCGCAAAGUCACAGAUUUUCCCUUUUGCACUUACGUCAAAAAUCUUCAUCUUUUAGAUUGGGGGAAAAAGUACGAAUGAUUAAAGAGUGUUACAGGAUCUAGACGGUCAUUAUAAAAAAAAAAAAAAAGAGAGGAAAAACACGUACGCACUCCAUUGUCCAGCUAAUAACGUUAACGCCAAUGGUAAUCUGUACAUUGGGUCGUCAGCUCUUCUUGCUGUGCUCUCCUUUUUUUUUUUUUUAUCGACAUUCAGUCAUCAUAGACUAGCUGAAAAAAGAAAACGAUCGUAUACAACAUAGAGAAUCAAUGAAUGAAUUUGUUUCAGAUAUACCCUAAUUGACAAGCCAGUUGUCAACUCGUCCAGUUAAUUCCCUCGAUGUUUGGCUUUUCAUUGUUGCCAACUUCUUUUGCAACUCCAAAUUUGACAUUCGCUCAACCUCCAAUGCACGCUCAAGCUUUUAAAUCGAGAAAUACAUGUUAGUACAAACCAUUUUACGAACGACGGGACAAAACUAAUUAGUCAUCUUAACAAGAAACGUUGGGAAUUAUACCUUAGCAGCUCGGGUACUCCAUUCACCCAAAAUGGCCCUCAGCCUUUCAUUCUCCUCAAUAUACUGUGCAGCAAGGCCAAGUUGGUAAUAUUAGAAUGCAAACAUGCAUUGCUUGGAGAGAACCAACACUUAAAACGACUUGUUAGAAAAUUUUAGAUUCAUUUUGACUCUUCAAUGCUUUUAACAGAAGGCCAAGGCCAACUCUCUCCCUCUGUCACAGCGGCAGACAAGUAUAUCACUCUUGACUGACGUAGAAAGAAAGCUAUAUGCACCUUAAGAUUGAUGAGACGAGAUAGUCUCAAAAUACAGGAACACACAGUGACAAAUUGAUGACAAGGAUGCUUAGAAGUAAAAACCUGAUUAUUUGUACUCUGGACGCGCUGGAUUUCAGAGUCUCUCUCAGAAAUGAGAGAUCUAGCAAGACUAAGCUCAGAUUGAAGUUGAUUCAUCUGAAACACAAGAACCAUCUACUUCAUCAGUAAAGCAUGGGAAAUACAUGGAUUAUGAAUCUGUUUAGAAGCAUUCUUGAUCAUAUUCCUGAAUGUCACAAUGAUUUAGAUGGCAGUUGGAUGCCAACUUUUUGGCCAUAUUGAUCCUCAUCAUUUUACAUGAUUGAAUAAGUUGAAAAGAGGGAACUGCUCUCCCGUUUGCUGUCCAGCAUAUAUAUGUUCAAUCCUCUAAAUGCUUAACAAAAUCCACGAACUCGGAAAAAAAAAAAAUCCAUCUGGCCCAUAUGGGAUCAUAAGCAGUCCCCAAAUUAAGUGUUCUACUGGGGGCUUAUGAGUCCGAACUGAAUCCAUCAGGGUAAAAUGUCAACCUUUCCACUGACUAAGAAGUUACUUAAAGCUCUGACUACGAAAAGUGCCUCUAAAAAGAUCCGGCAAAAACAAAAGAGAAAGAAGAGGUAACCAAAUUAAAGAAAGGGGGUUGUUGGGGGAGUGCGAGGAAGCAAGCAGCAUGUACCUCAGCUGACACUGUGCGCAGUUCCUGGUCACGAGCUGCUAAUAGAUGAGCAAGAUCAACCUGCAAAGCCAAUAUGAAAUUAUUCUACUACUUCCCAGAAAAAUAACUGUCUCUUCUCUUCAGACCAAACAGAGAAGCUCCAAUGUUCUUCAGUCAAACAAAGAUACAUGAUGCAAAAACGACAAUUACAAGCCACUUUAUUACUUUUUUGGAUACAUCGGAACACUGAACACCCAUAGUGACACUAAAAUGCUUUUAAAUCUUACUACAGAAUCUACAGCUUUUACCUAGGUGCACCCCUUCCUCCAUUAUCUCAGGUUUCUAAAUUGUCUGCAAUCAUCUCUAUCCUAAUGUACAUAAAGCUGAUUCCCACAUCUGCAAGCGACUACAAUGGUUUAAUUCUUCACUAACAUAUUGUUCAUAUGAUGCAUGAAAAUUCCAGAAUCAUGAUUAGUAAAUGAGGUGUAUUCUCCUAGCAAUUUACAAAGCAAUUAAGUAAUCAUUGACACCGUUCAGAAAAUCUGUUUUUCCAAUUUGAAACAUUACCUGAGGUGUGCUCCCAUCAUCAGACCUUUGAUAUUUGCUCAAGCAUUCUUGUAAUCUGAGAAUCUACAAGAGAAAUAAAAAGUUUUAAACUAAUUUACAAGGAGUUUCCAUUUCAAUUUGUCAAGCAAACAACCCCUGACCAGACUGAGUAAUUGACCCAGCAUUUUAAGACUGCUAGUAGAUACUGCUCGAGCUACAAGCCUAAAGUUCAAUCAUGUAACGACCAAAUGGAGAAUUAGAACAACAGCAGCUCCUGGAGACAUUCUUUUGUACUCAGAGUCACCAAAAGCAUCAAUACCUUUGAAGAACCAUCAAAUACAUCAAAAUAAUCACAUACCUCCUCACUUAGAAAAUGGAUAUUUUCUCGCUGAUAUUGCAGCAAUGCCAUUUGUUGAUCAGAGAGCCUACCACCCUCAUGAUGCCUGUCACAACAAGGAGUUCUUACUAUUGCAUUCCACACUACAACAUCCAGAACAUACUUUUUAAGACAUAAAGAAAAGAAAAGAGACAUCCUUAUCAGUGUGCUAUCCCAAGUACUGAUUUUCAGAAUACAAAAUCUAAAAAAAAAAAAAAAAAAAAAAACAGAUGUCCUUAUCAGAGUGCAUUAAAACCAACCACGUCACAGUUGUACACAUUUCAACUUAAUUAUCAAAACUCUCAUCCUAGGAAAGUAUUUCAAAAAUGCCACUUUCAAACCACAAUUGAGCCAUCUCAGUUGAGCCCCAAAAAAAUCCAAAUCCAGGCAAGCUAAUUGGCACAGAAGCAGCAUUUGAUUUCAAUUGAGCACCAAAAAUUACUCGCCCAUUUUCUGCUUGGGUCUGCAAGCACAAUAAUGGCCUACUGUUUCAGUACUUUAUCUCCAUUUAUCUGUGAUCUUCCAGAGUAUCGAAUGAGAUAAGAGCAAUAAUCAUUCCCAAAAUUAAAUUGGAUAACAAUCACGAAAGCAUUUAUCUAGAUGCUGAGAACAUCUUCAUAAAUGCAAGAAUUCAUGUAGAAGAGAAGAUUGUCAGCACAAAUACAUCAUGAUGUCAUGGAUUUGUUACAUAAUACUUUGCCUUAUAGGCCAGUUGAACAUGAAAACUCCUGCUUUACAACAAUAUACAUUCUAGUUUCAUCAAGGUAAUACAAUAAUGACAAAUAGAAAGCAAACUUUGGAUUUGCAUCUGUAGAAGAAUGACCAAGAGGUGGUGAAAAAGAGUGUUGAAGUUUAAGCACACAAAUAGACUUGGAACAUCUAGUUUAGAUAGAUUGGUAUCCAAAGUGGUCUAAUAUAACUCAAGCUCAUGAUUAGCAAUUAUCAGGAAGUUUCAAAUGCCUGGCAGUAACAGAACGGUUUCAAGAGAACUGCUGGCAAAAAGUGUAGCAGAGUCAUCAGAAGUUCUCAAAAUGCGCUANNNNNNNNNNNNNNNNNNNNNNNNNNNNNNNNNNNNNNNNNNNNNNNNNNNNNNNNNNNNNNNNNNNNNNNNNNNNNNNNNNNNNNNNNNNNNNNNNNNNNNNNNNNNNNNNNNNNNNNNNNNNNNNNNNNNNNNNNNNNNNNNNNNNNNNNNNNNNNNNNNNNNNNNNNNNNNNNNNNNNNNNNNNNNNNNNNNNNNNNNNNNNNNNNNNNNNNNNNNNNNNNNNNNNNNNNNNNNNNNNNNNNNNNNNNNNNNNNNNNNNNNNNNNNNNNNNNNNNNNNNNNNNNNNNNNNNNNNNNNNNNNNNNNNNNNNNNNNNNNNNNNNNNNNNNNNNNNNNNNNNNNNNNNNNNNNNNNNNNNNNNNNNNNNNNNNNNNNNNNNNNNNNNNNNNNNNNNNNNNNNNNNNNNNNNNNNNNNNNNNNNNNNNNNNNNNNNNNNNNNNNNNNNNNNNNNNNNNNNNNNNNNNNNNNNNNNNNNNNNNNNNNNNNNNNNNNNNNNNNNNNNNNNNNNNNNNNNNNNNNNNNNNNNNNNNNNNNNNNNNNNNNNNNNNNNNNNNNNNNNNNNNNNNNNNNNNNNNNNNNNNNNNNNNNNNNNNNNNNNNNNNNNNNNNNNNNNNNNNNNNNNNNNNNNNNNNNNNNNNNNNNNNNNNNNNNNNNNNNNNNNNNNNNNNNNNNNNNNNNNNNNNNNNNNNNNNNNNNNNNNNNNNNNNNNNNNNNNNNNNNNNNNNNNNNNNNNNNNNNNNNNNNNNNNNNNNNNNNNNNNNNNNNNNNNNNNNNNNNNNNNNNNNNNNNNNNNNNNNNNNNNNNNNNNNNNNNNNNNNNNNNNNNNNNNNNNNNNNNNNNNNNNNNNNNNNNNNNNNNNNNNNNNNNNNNNNNNNNNNNNNNNNNNNNNNNNNNNNNNNNNNNNNNNNNNNNNNNNNNNNNNNNNNNNNNNNNNNNNNNNNNNNNNNNNNNNNNNNNNNNNNNNNNNNNNNNNNNNNNNNNNNNNNNNNNNNNNNNNNAAAAAGAUAGGACUUGAGGAUCAAGGCCUCACCGUCGCCAUUAGUUGACGUCACAUGUCACCUAAUUUUUCUUUUUCUUUUCCCCAAUGUAUAUCACAUUAAUCACACAUAUGCAAUAUUAGUGGGACAUGAGUGUGAUGGCUGUAUAAACACGGUAAUCUAUCUCAGAAACGUCGAAAUAGAAGACAAUCGUACUUAUAUAUUUUGCAGUCGAAUCCAGAGAUCCUCGAAGUUGCUUAUUAGACUCGGACACGCACUCUGAUAGUAUAUCACGCAUUGACAACGACGGAGCUCUGCAGAAAGCUGUCUCAUCACGAAAACUUCUUACUAGUUUUCUUACUGCAACAGACAUGUUUGAUCAGACGCAAGCAUUGACAGUAGCAGGAAAGCUCUGAGCGACGUUUUCAUCCGGAAUUUUUCUACUAAUUCAGAACUCUCACCUGCUUGAACUUGCAGGUUUUUUUUUGAAUUUUUUUCAUUAACAAUCGCAUUUUGUUAGUUCUUAUUAGUUUUUCUCCCUGAUGUUGAAGAAUUUGAUAUAACCAUUAAUUAUUGAAGAGUAUGUUGUGAUUUUAGGUGUUUUAUGUAUAAAAUGACAAAGUGGGAUCUUAUUUGAUAUUCUUAUCAUGGAUAUAGUGACUUUAAUGAGUUGAUAUUCUUGUGACGUUUUUGGGUGCAGAAGAACAAAGGUAGCCAUGUUGGGAAAUGGGGUGGUGGGGAUUUUAUCAGAAUCAACCAACAAGUGGGAAAGAAGGGUGCCUCUCACGCCAUCCCACUGUGCAAAACUGUUGCAUGGAGGUAGAGGCAAAACAGGGGUGGCCCGGAUCAUUGUUCAGCCUUCUACAAAGCGCAUUCAUCAUGAUUCUCUUUAUGAGGAUGUGGGCUGUGAAAUUUCUGAGGAUUUGUCGGACUGUGGCCUUAUUUUGGGCAUUAAACAACCCAAGGUGCCAACUUUUUCUGCAAUUUGGAUUCUGGGAUAUUCAUUGAUAAUCAGACGGUCAUAUCAUUUUAUUUUUUUUUUUUUGGGUGGCAGCUGGACAUGAUACUUCCUGACAGGGCUUAUGCCUUUUUUUCACAUACUCACAAGGCACAAAGGGAAAAUAUGCCCUUGCUUGACAAGGUAGAGUGGACUCAAAGGUUUUUUUUUGGCACUUGAUCUAGACUUGGAUAGUUUUGGCAUUGUUCUGACAUAAUUCGUUAUGUUUAGAUUCUAGCUGAGAAGGCUUCGUUGUUUGAUUAUGAGCUUAUUGUUGGAGACCAUGGAAAGAGAUUACUAGCAUUCGGAAAGUUUGCUGGUAGAGCUGGAAUGGUUGACUUUUUACAUGGAUUAGGACAGAGUAUGCACCUGUUCUUUCAAUCCGAGUUACUUCCACUUCUUACUUACUCUUUAUGUAAUGCUAUGUAGUUUGACAUAGCAGAGCUAACCUAAAACCAGAAUCUCCUUCAAAUGCUAUUUAUCAGUAAUUUAUUUAAUUUCUCUUCUUAAUGCAGGGUAUCUUAGUCUUGGGUAUUCAACUCCUUUCCUGUCUCUGGGAGCAUCUUAUAUGUAUUCUUCAUUAGCUGCUGCUAAGGCUGCAGUAAUUUCAGUUGGGGAAGAGAUUGCCACCAUGGGACUUCCAUCUGGAAUCUGUCCUUUAGUUUUUGUUUUUACUGGUUCAGGAAAUGGUACUCUAAAUCUGCCAUGUCCCCAUUGUUUUUCUGUGUUAUAAUGAAAAGAUUGUGAUAUGAUUAUGCUCCAUGUCGGCAUAUGCUAUACUUUGUUUUUCUAUUUUGAUAUCAUUAUUUCUGAAUGCAUUUGUGUAAUUUCUUGCUUGUUCUGUGUUGUUUAUCUUCUAUGCUAUAUGCUAAUACCAUUUGAUUUCUCUAUUGAUCUUCUUAUGUUUUUGAUAUUUUCUGUAGUUUCACAUGGAGCACAAGAGAUCUUUAAACUUCUGCCUCACACUCCCAUGGAUCCUUGCAGACUUCCUGAAAUAUUUGGGAAGGUAGUCACAGACUUUUUCGUCAAGACAGUACAAUUUACUUCCAUGGACUUCAUUUGUCCUUCAAUGUCUUCAGGCGUUAUUGCAUUUCUCUGGCUGUUGUAAAUUAACUUUUGCUGAUGAAUUGCAUGCUUUUAUGUUGAAGUAGAAAGAAGAACCACAUCCAACCCAAACUUGCUUGAAUGCGUUGGCUGGCCACCUCUGUGGGUUUUCAACUUUAAAACAACAUUAUCAUACCUAUAGCAAUUUUUGAAAAGUUGAAUAAGUGGCUUCUAGAAAUGAUUACUGCAUUUUUGGCUGAUGCUUAAGUUGAUUUUGGAAUUCUCUAUUUUAAGUUGGUUUCUUUGGUAAAAUUGUUUGAGAUGAUACACAAAACCAAGUUUGCUACCAAGCAAUGAUUUGGCUAUUAGUUAUCCAACCCAUGUAAUUGGUCAAGUUGAUGAUCAAGUAUAGAAUUAUUUUCAUGCAAAGUAGACUUGUUCGCAAAUACAAAUUUUAUGAGAUGUUGAGAUUUUUUUUUGUGUCUCUUUCUUUGCUUGUCUCUGAAAUGGACUGUUUUCAUUUAAUGACCAAUUCUUUACUUUAAAUGAUAUCCUUAUUUAUUUUCAUCCCUCGUUCAUCUUUGAGCCUACUAUGUUCGUUCUUACAAAAAUGUGUCUACUGCAUACAGGCUAAAGAUCCUGCACGUCCAGCAAAGAGAGUCUUUCAAGUUUAUGGCUGUGUUGUAACCUCUAAGGACAUGGUGGAACCUGAAGAACCUUCGAAAUUUUUUGAUAAGGUACACAAUAAUAGCUCUUUUAUUUAGGUUCUGACUCUUCAAUUGAACUUUUUGGAUGCAUGAGAAUGCAGUUUUCUUGGUUAGUCUUUUAGGUUUCAGGAAAGCAACUUCUAUAUUGUGAACUAUAUGUUCAAUGGCAAACCUAAAUGUUAAUGUUCACAUGGUACCAUCCUGGAAAUGUCUUCCAAAGCAGUCCAAGGUGCACAUGCCAAGUUUGUGUCAGGACUUCUUGAGUACAGUCUGUGACAGGCGUACAUCUUUUAGUAAAUGAGAGUUUGAGCCAAAAUUAAGCACAUCCUCCCAAUUCUUGUGUCAAUGAUUCUUCAUAGUCAUUUGUGGGCCCAUAGUCCAACAGUUACUUAUGUUUCCACUUUCCAACCUUGAAAAAGGAGCUAAUAGCAUUAUUACAGUCUUCUGCCUAUUGCUUGGGAACUAUAGAUGCCUCUGUAUACUGCAUAUAAUGAGAGAGAACUAGUAGUUGCAUUGUUAUUAUCCUCUUGCUUUGGAGCUGGAUGACGUACUUAAGCUCACUUUUAUCAACCAAUUCUGCCAGUGUGUGAUUUUACCUGCUUGAUCAGCAUGGUCUUAAAUUAAGAGUUUUGACAAACAUCUGCUUUUCAUGUAAUUCUUUAUGAAGAUAAACUGAGUAAACAUAUCAUAGAAUAAUUAAAUAUCCAUGCAUCAUUUUAUUAGUUCAUUGAUGUCUGAUUCAUAAUGAAAAAUUUGCCGUGUAGUUUUGCUACCUGAGCUAGGUUCUUUGCUUUGCAGAAUUGUAAUAGUUUCCUGCUGAAUGCUAAAUGUAGAAGAGAUGAAAAUAUCUUGUGAACCUUAGAUCUACUUUGUAGGAACUUUUGUUUCUGAACUUCUCUUAAGGAGUUCAGCUGCAGGUUUAGCAUUCAUGUCUAUACCAGUUUUCAAGAUAACUCGUGCAAUUUCUGCUGAUGAUGAAGCUAUGAUUCUUUCAGGCUGACUAUUACGCACAUCCAGAGCACUACAUUCCUGUUUUCCAUGAAAAGAUUGCCCCUUAUGCAUCUGUGAUAGGUUUGUUUUCUUCAUCGUCAAUUUCAGUAAUGAGUUAUGGUAUCACCAAGGUAGGAAAUUAUAUCACAAAAUUCACCAGAUAUAAAUGAAUGCCAUGUUUAUCAAUUCAAUCAUACAAGAACCUUUCUCCAGAUAUAAAGAAACCAAAAAGCAGCUUGGCCGAUGGAAGAAUAACAGAAAUUUGGACAACCACAACAUUUAUUGUAAUACUUAAUUUGAAGAGUAUUAGGCAUACCUGUUCGUAUUAGUAACGGUUUUCUUGGGGUUGAUAUCAAAGAAACCUCAGGUAUGUAAUGCUGAAUUCCAAGCCCAAACUCAUAUCUGGUGAAUUUUUAAGUAAUUCAGUGUUGAACAGGCUUAAACUUACAUGACUAGGCCAUAAAAUCUUCAAACAGUUCAAAAUCAUUGUGCACUGAAUUUGUUUAUUUUUAAAUGUUUAGCUCAAAUUGUUUCUUUUCAUGCAUUGUCCCACUUGCAGUUAACUGUAUGUAUUGGGAGAAAAGAUUUCCUCAGCUAUUGACGACCAAGCAGCUGCAAGAUCUGAUGAGUAAAGACUGUCCACUCGUUGGAGUUUGUGACAUUACAUGUGACAUAGGUGGCUCAUUGGAGAUUGUUAACCAAACCACAUCAAUUGAUUCUCCUUUCUUUAGGUACGCCUUGGUGGUUUUCACUACAUCAUUGUUGAAUUAUAUUUUCCUUCUAUUCUACAGGACAAUUUGGUGCGAAACCCUUCAAAUUAACUGAAUUUGACUAGACAAUCAUUAAAUCUCUCUACCAGGAUAACAUGGUUGUGGUUGUAAUACUCUAGAUGAAAUGGUUGGAAAAAAUACUUAAAUUAGUCAUAUUAUAAAUAGCCAUACUUCUCUACCCUAACAGGGUAGACUCGUAGUCAUCUAACCAUAAAUUCUUAUUGCAUGAAAUUGCUGCCCUGGGGAGUUGUCUGUUGGCAAAAAAACUAACAAUGCAUUUAUUUAAUCUUUGGUUAGAUCUUCAUAUGAACUAUGUUUUUCUUGACAUGUUUAGGAUGCUAGAUACUCUCCAUUGCACAUUCGAGGUUUAGGCAUCCAGUUGUUGCCUUCAAAUCCUAAUAAUGUUUCCAUAUGUUUUCUUUUUCUUUUUUUUCCCUGAAGCAUUUCUUUUCUUUUUCUGUGCCAUUACUUUCGACAAUGAUUGGUUCUAGAUAUGAUCCUUUCCAAGAUUCGUACCAUUAUGAUCUUGAUGGUGAGGGAGUGAUCUGCUCUGCUGUUGACAUUCUUCCAACCGAGUUUGCAAAAGAGGUUAUUGUUAUGCUUUAUCUAACAUCAUCUUCUCAUCUUCUUUGACAUAAAUAUGCUAUGGUUGUCAUGUCUUAUUAACUUUAUCUCCUCCAUUAAUCACAAAUAAAGGCUUCCCAGCAUUUUGGAGAUAUUUUAUCCCAGUUUAUUGGAAGCUUAAUCUCUAUACCAAAUAUUGAGGAGUUACCUCUGCACUUAAAGAGAGCUUGCAUAGCGCAUCGUGGAGCACUGACUCCACUUUAUGAAUAUAUACGGCGGAUGCAAAACUCUGAUGUUGAGUAAGUAGCUCACGUAAUCUUGCUUCUCCUUCUGUCUGUUAUAUUUAUUCUCACUUCAAGAUUUAAAAUACUUGUCAAUUACAAUUUCAUGCACAGCAAUUGCAACUUAGAUGCUCUAGUUUAAUGAUUAGCUUCUAAAAUCUUCAUUCCUAGAACUCAACAAGUAUUGAGCAAUCCCACAAUUAUUUCGUAAUUCAUAUCAAGUUCUCAAUGUAAAUCCAUACUCUGAAAAGUGAAAACAUCACAUUAAUAUGAUACAUCUAGGUUUGUACCCCUAUAAGUCUAUAGGUAUCAAGUCAACUUCUAAGAAGUCAUUGAAUUGAAAACCAUCAUGUUUAUGCUUAGUUUUGAACAUGUAGAAGUUUAGCUUGAAAGAAAAUAUUAUUAGGGCUUGUGGAUUCAUGCUUUCAAGGACCCUCUAAUUUAUGCUACUUUCUUUUGGAGUAUUUUAUUAAUUUCAUCUUAUAAUUGCUUUAUUCGAGCCAUUGAGAAAUCGAGAUAUUAUUUCUACUUCUGUGUACUGAUUUAGGCUUCUUUGUUGUGAACUUUGUACAAGUUAGAUCUUGUAUGAAAUUCUUACUUCCAACAUGAUGCCAAACGAUUCACGUAAUGUGUUUUUAUGCAGAGAUCCUUCUAGAAAUCUUGAAAAAGUCUACCCUGAUAAGAAGAAGUAUACUACAUUGGUAUGUUUCUUCGGUAGACCACCUCUGCUACUCCGUUAUAGUACACUCCAUUUGGCAUUCUCAGCCAAAGGAAAUGCAUGCCCAGAACUAUGAUAGCAGCAGAUGAUCAAAGCAUAACACACAGAAUACAGGAAAAUUGACAAGGUUUUUACAAAACCAAAGGUUAAAAAUUUUAUCCCAGCUUCAUAAUUGAAGCGCCAUUCAACUUCCGGAGAAAAUAAAUUAACCUCUCCAAACCACCACCACCACACCCCCCCCCCCCAAAAAAAAAACCUCCUUCCAAACACCAAAAAACCACAACCAAAUAUGGAAACGGGAGAAAGAAAGAGAAGCAACAUUGCUUCUGAAAAGAAAAGUAGCCAUUAGGAUAUUUUCCAUAGUUUCACCAAAAGGUCAGCAUCUAUCUUCACAUACAUUCAGUGGGUGAGGUCAAACAUACUGGCAGUCUUGUCAAUGUAUUCUAAUUCAGAUCACUAAAGGUACAUAGUUUCUUCAUUUUCUUGUCUCUUUGCAACAGAAAAGUUUGUAGGUCACAUGAUCUCUUUAUUUGAUUUGAUUAUCUUCAAACAUGAGUUAAACAAAAUAGACUUCUGUAUGAUUCCAAUCCAACUCAGUUUUAGACAGCAGAAAAAGCCUGUAACUUUUAGAGGACUCUUUCCAAAAUGAACAUAUCAUUUAGCUAGGGUUUCAUGAAGUUGAAGGAUUCUCCCAAUGUAUAUUUAUAGUAUCAGAAGCAGAAAUUAAGAAGUCUAGUAGUCCCCAGUUUUGAUCAAAUAUUAAUUUCACCAAAACCACAAUAAAACACAAACCUUAUCAUCAUUGGAUUGCACAUUGGUAAUUGUGUGAGAACGAAGGUUGGAGCAAAGAGAAUCUAGAUAAGCUCUCAAUACUGAUAGGAAACUCUUUGCAGCAUCAACCUAACAGAAAAUUAAACAGAUAUAAACAGAAAGAGAAUUAGGCUCUGAUUACUGAUAGGAUUCCUUUUGCUUCUCUGCAAUAGAAUACUGUACAAAUACAAAAUGGAACCAGCAUAAGAAACAUUACUAACAACUGUUUACCCAAAAAAAAAUGUUCUUCAUAAAAGUGGACAACGAGCAUGUGUUAAUUGGUUGGGGGAAAAAAUCAAAAUGAUUUCUUAACAUAUCUAUCUCCAUCAUACAAAGUACCAAUGGCUGGAAGCCAUAAGCAAAGAAGCCCAUAUGCAUACAACCAGAAGGUUGUGAAUGUACGAGGAACUAAAAUCUGUGCAUAUUGCACAACAAAUCAUACACUCUUUCUCGAUGACAUUGGGACAAGGUAAAUCAGGAUAAAUCCCCAGACUUCGUCUAAUCAAGUGCUGAUUGGAAAGAAUAAUCAUAAUGAUUGGAGAGACCAUUUGUGUGAUCUUUGCCAUAGUAGCAAAGCAAGGAGUAAUUGUCAUAAGAACAGGAAAAUGAACGAAGGUGUUUAGGCUUCAAACGAGCAUAUGCAUGUAUCUUUGCCAUUGAAACAGCCACUAAGAUUUUCUGCUUCUAUCUGACAAUUAUGUUUUAGUUUAGAACCAUUAAGUAUCAACCAUAAAGACCAGCCACUAUAGAACAACACAUGAAUUGACAAAGAUGGAAAGUAUUUCCACUGAUGUUCUACAUGAUAGUGAAGAAAAGGGUGCAGGAGAUCAUUCAGAUGAAAAAUAAUUGAAUAAAAGAUAAAGAUACACAUACCUGUGCAUCUGUACAUUCAUAAAUAGGCCUCUUCCUUCCCAAAUAACUUUCUCCAACAAGUUUUGCAUGAUAAGGACUUAAGGAUGAAUACAAUUCCCUAUAUUGGGGUAGUGUUGGCAUUGUUGGUGACUUCACCUGUUCCCACAAUUUGCCAGAAUGAGAUCAGACAACAUAUUACACAAAUCAUCUAUGCAUAGAGCAAGCCACAACGAUACAGAUGCAAAUUCUUAAGACAAGGGAGUUUACUGCAUCUAAUACUUCACCAAGAUAUACUAAAUUUAUCACUCUAUCCACUUAUCUGUCUCUCAUAACACAACAUUCAGGGAGAUUUUGCAAUGACCAAGCCCAUGGCCCCAAUUGGCGACCAUGUGGUUCGACAAGAGCCACUUGGAUUAAUUGAUGCAAGCUGAUCUAAGCAAGUGAUUUAAUAGAAACCACGUGGCUCUUGUUUAAACCACACAGCCCACAGGUGGGGCUAUGGAAAGGGUCCACACAAGAAUUUCCCCGACAAUCAUAAAGCAUUAUGUGAAUAAUCCUCCCUUAAAUUCAUCCACAGUAUCACUCAUUGAGACACUUCCAUUUUCCACUGCAGUCCUCUGAAGUUAUAAUGGAGACUGAAGCCCUUACUUUGGCUUCAACUUUUUCCCGUUUCUCAUUUCUUUAUCAGCUACAUCAAGGCUUAUCCGACUAUUUAUUUGAAAAAAAAAAAAGGAUCAACAAAAAACUACAAAUAAAUAAACAAAUCACCAAACAAAAGAAAAUUUCCCUCUAUAACACAUAAGAGGAGGGUUAAUUGUUCCAAAGUUUUUGCCCGAGUGGAAUUUUCUUGCACCAGAUAAACCCCAAAAGGACAACUGAAAGGAAAGAGAAAUGGGUGUAACUGUAGCCUUUUUAAGAAACUAUUCCACAUCUAAUUCUGCAAGAAAAAUACCUGGUUUUUGUUCAUAUCAACAAGAAUGACGUUUGUCAACUUCGAUUGUACCUCAGUGGUUUUGUUCUUCACACCCACCUAUUAAAAUUACCGUCAAUAUUCAGAAUGGCAGUAAUUAGCAGCUAUAACAACUUGUCUAAUAAAAAGGCCACACUCUAUGACCUUGAUAGGAUCAAAUACAUAGAUGUGAUCCUGAUCAGGUUGUGGAUUUUAAAGAAGGAAUAGCUGGGGGCUAUUGCUAUCCAUCAUAGUUGGUUUACGAUGACAUUUGCUGACAGAAAAAACACGUACAGGUGUGCCUUAUAUAAUCAAAACAUAAAUAUGGAUAUAUGUAUAAAUGGGAGAUGCAAUUUUCACAUUCCAACGUUGUGUAGGCAACUUUUUACUCUAGUUAUAACAUGCCAGACAACUAUUGACUGCUACACAUAAGUCGUAAGAAAUAAAAUCAAGAAUCUAUUCCUCAAGUCCCAUUCACACAUGCUACGGAAACCUGUUGCCGAAAUACAAAUAAUUAGAACGCCUACAGCAUGUUAUGCAGGCACUAUCUGAACAGGCUUACUGUUGAUAAAAGUACGAUCCCAUAUAUACAUAUACCAAAUCAAAGCAUACUAUUUAAAAGAUGUGAUGAACAAUUCUCCUGCUAUGCAACUCAACCUUUAAUUGAUUCUAUAAACAUCCGUUCAGCUUUUUGUCAGUAUGCUAAAACAAAACAAUAUUCUGGAGCUAAAAUCAUCUUGAUAAUGGUUGGGAGGAAGAGAGUGCAACAAAGCCAGACAAAAAGUUCGAAGGGGCCAUGACCAUUGAGGGAUAACAGGCUUCAAGAGGGCAAUGACCCGAAGCCAGACACAAAACCUAGAGGUGAAGGCUGCAUAGCUGAAAAACCAGAUUGAGGUCACGAGAUCAUGUCAUAGCAAAACCUGAGGGAGUUCGAAAUCAUUUAUCUAUAUUUUCACAGGCAUAUAGAAAGCAUUUGAAAGAAAGGUUUCACAUAGACCUUACAUGCCAUCAUAGUGUCCAAAUGCAUGUUCCAAAAUAUUUGUUAAUGAUUUGGGAUCAAUAAGCAGAAAAAAGUCGCAAUGAUAUGGUAGAACUCACUAUGUAAGGCACAGGUGCAUCCAAAAAGUCCAGCAUGUCAUUUGGCAAAACCUGAAAGGUCAGGCAGUCAGAGACAAUGACGAAAAUGGCAAAUAACUAUAAACUCUAACAAGAACAAUCAACUACUCAUAAAUACAAAAUCAUUGAGGUAAGAAAUGACAAUUACCGGCAUUAGCAAGCUCUGCCACUGAUAAGGACGAAUAAGGGGUAUAAUUGAUAAAACUGAAGCAGACAAUACACCCUGCAUAUUCAAAUAAACAAAUGUAAAAUCACUAAUACCAAUGUGGAUUCUUUCUCCUUCAAGUGACAAAUAGAUGGGAAAAAGUUAUUCAAAACAAGUAAAUAUUUGUUAUUAAUGCAUAAUCAAAUAAGAUGAAUCAUCUCUAAACCACAUGUUAAAUAAAAUUAGAAGAACUAAUGGGAUUGAAAAUAUUACAUUUCUAGGAGUAGCUAAGUUUUACUCUAUUGUGCAAUCCCCAUCCAAGUUGGACAUUGUAAAAGCUAAUUACAACACGAACCAGAAAAUAGGUGUCUUAUGUUUGCUCUCAUAUUUAAAACACUAAACUUUUAAGUAUAUUAAAAAAAUACAAUCUUCUAGCUAAUUUUUAAAUGAUUUCAGUAUCAGUCAAUUAAAAUACAAACUUCAAAUACAACCAAACUUAGUCCUAUCAUAUCCCAACUAAUUUAGUAUGACAUCCAAAUCUAGACAGCCCAAUUUAGAAAAUCCAAUUACCUCUGAAGCUAAAAUAGAUUGAGGAAUAAACUUUUACAAAUUCAAAUUUAGGGAGCUAAUUGUCAACAAUGCAAUAGUUGUAAGAUAUAAAUGAAAAUUAUGCAAUUCCAGAUCUACAUCUCUUUGAACUUGUUAAAACACACUCAUUCAACAAAGCCACAAAAAUAAAUCCAACAUUUUUGCAAGCAUAAGGAAGUACACCAGUCAUAAAGAAAAUUUAACAAUACUCAUACUCCUACAGAAAACAUAGAUCCAUUUCUCUUUUAUUGUCAUCUGGUGCACAAACACAUUGUCCACAAAACUAUAAAGAUAUAAUAACUUACCAAAUUUGAACAAACAACUGCGACUUGCUUCUCCAAAAGGGCUCCAGCAAAUAAUGUCAACACCUGUAAAAACAUUUCACAGCAAUUAGUCCAAAUUAUCUUUCACUUUGUGUGCAGAGUGCAAGGCUGAUAUCAUAAAAGGCUCCAGCAAGAGGGCAGCAAUUUUAUUAAGGAUCUGCCUACAAUGCAGAAGUUAACAGAGACAUUUUCAGCAUAAAAUCAACAACCCAGACCAAAGCUUGACAAUUAGUGUUAAUUCACAAGUUUAUGCACAUUAGAUAUGCACAGAAAGAGCUAAUUUGCACGCACUUUUAAACCUAGUAAGGUGGCUGUUGCACACAAACUAGUCAUGCCCAUCCACAAAACAGGGGGGAGGUAACCUGAAAGGCUAUUUAAUAUUUAGUUUUUAUUAUUUUAAACAGCACUACGACCUAGAUAUAUGCAAUUGUAAUCAAGAGGAUUCUUUGAAUUUGACUUUGAAGUUCACUCUAUCUGCCAGGUAAAAUUUCAAUAUUUUGAGGAUAUCUUUUGUAACUUAUCAACUCUAAAGCGUCUUACAUAAAAUAUUCUGAGGGAAAAUCAAUGCAAGUGACCUUUGGAGCCUGCUGCAAGAUGCAAGUGAACAUGUACCAGAGAGAACUACUAAACAGACAAAAUUUGAAAUAUAAUAGAAAAUCUAGUUGCUGCCCCUCAACUUCUUACUCAAGACAACCUUCAACUUCAAAUCUAGAACUUCUGGAUGGCAAAUUAUCCAGAGACAUUGUACUAUAUCCUCAAUAACUUCAACAGUUAUCAAGCUCAGGAAGCAAUUUUUCAAGAAUUCUAAGACAGAUGUGCCACUAAAUUCUGGAUUCAAGUAAUCAGAAGAUACGAAAUAAUCUGCUAUUGAGUGAUCAAACUAAGUAAAGAACAUUUAAAAUCUAUGCAUUUGUUCCCUGUUGACGCCAAGUCCUUGGCCCACAUUCAGACAGGUUAAUGCUACACCAACUCACAUGCUCAAGUCGCAAGGAGCCACAUAAGCAUGCAACAGCCCAUACAGAUAAAGCAUUUGCUUCCUCCUCUGCCAUAAGUGCACAAUAAGCCUGUAGAAUAAAGUGAAAAUAAGCCUCAAGAGAAGCAACAUAUAAAGCAAUGAUCAAAAUAAACCACACUCCUGUUACCCCAGUUGGUGUGAUACCCCAAAAAAGUACAGUAAAAUUAAAGAAAAGACAAUAUCAGCCGUUCUGUUCCUCAGUAUCAAGCACAAGUAUAUAAGAGUAAAUAUGAUGAGACUUCUUUGCAUAUAGCAUUAUUAUGUCAUAGUAGAACCAAUUGCAAAUUAUUUUCAUCUAUAGAAUACGUUAAAUAUUUCGAGGCAUUCCAAAUAGCAAGCAUAUCAGGUAAAAUGGGAUAAAUGUGGAGGUUAAUUAAGUUAAUUCACAGCAGAGUAACCAACGAUCUGCUUUUGCAGUAUAGCCAGAAAUUAUUCAUGCAGCAUUUAACUUUCUCCACUAACACCUCUUGCUCACAUGAAACUGAAAACCCCAUAGGCCAGGGGAAAAAAAUAAAUUGAGAAAAUAAAAAGGUGAAGAAAACCAGCAAUUAGCAGUUAACAAAAGGCCAAAAAAUACCUCUGCUAAUUCCAAACUAGUAGUGCAUGACUUCAGAUCAAUUGUUGAUCCAGCAAUUUGUAGAACAGUUUCAUCAAUUCUAUGAUAUUCUAAAGGAUGUAGGUGAUCCAGAGGGUGAAACUUAAUAGUCGAACCACGUGAAGGGCAAUGUAGCCGAUAAUAUUCGCAUAUUAUUUGUAAAGAACCAUGAUCAUUGGCCUGCAAAAACCCACAGAAAACAUUGUCCAUCAAAAGAGCCUUAUAAUAUCUUGAAAUUUCUUGUUAGAGCUUGCAAUUCAAGCUACAAGAAAACAAAAUCUUAACCUUAGCCCACUCAAGGAUAUCAUCAUGCUCAUUGCAAACAUCCUGGCCAGAGAAGGAUGGCUCUUCCACUUCUACAUCAUCAACAUCACUUCUAAAAUGUCUGCCUUCACCCGGAGAGCCCUGGAAACUGAGUAAAGCACAUCAUUUGUCAAGCUAAAUUUCACUUGAAAAGGCCCUGAAUAAUGCUAUCAAUCAAUCUAAAGCAAAGUUGGCAUGCAUGACAUGCAUAAGGGUAGAUAGAAAAAGUCCUCGAUCUUCAAGACCUAUCUACACAACAGGCUGAACAUAAGAAUGUACUGAGCUUAUCUAGAAGAUUUAAAACCUUUUUGUCAUAUAUGAUAAAGAUAAAGGACAUGUAUCUCUGCCUAAAAAUUAUAAGAACCUUUUUGUCUUGUCAAACAGGCAUGAGUGUAUUUAGCUUAGGUUUUCAUACAAUUCAUAUCAGAGUUUCCAAGAUUAUCUUCAAGAUUAAUUAUUUAACAGGAACCCCAGCAAAGUAAGUUUAAAGAGAUCUACUGAAAGUCAAAAUUAUUAUACUCGAUCAAAAUAAAACCCCUGAGAUAGAGGUUAAAAAAAUGCAUUUUGCUCAGAAAUUAUUUUCAGCGCAAGACGAUAAGCAACUAACAAAUCGAACAAUCUAGACAUACUAGUCUUAAAAAAAUUUCCGAACUUAAGGAAAAUUUAAUUAAGGAAAUUAAAAACAAACAAGCCUCCACCUCAGUCUACAGCUGAGAAUUUGUUCACCAUAACCAUAGUUGCUAAAGAUCCAAGCAACAAGAGACAAAGAGCUAAUGACAAUCAGCCGAUCUUUCAAGCAACCACAGAAAAUAUUCAACAGAAGAAUGUAUUCUUAACUAUUCCACCCAAAGAACCUCAAAGCCACAUAAAAGAGGCAACAUCAACAGGAUGAUGGAUUAUGAAAUGCCAAGAAUAGAUAUGCAUACCUAGAGGAAGAUUCAGAGCUUUCAUACUGUUGAUAACGAAGAAGGGGCAACACCGCAUUGGGUAAGCGCUUCUCUACAGAUUGUUUAUUAAUUACAAAAUCAUCAACAGAUACAUCACAGACUUCAGAAAUCUGAGAUCCAACUAGAGUUUCUGCUUUAGCAUGGCAUUUCUCCAUAUCAGGAUCCAAUGCAGCAACAGCAGAACCAUCACCAGUUCUCUUUGAUGUGAAAAUGUCCCCCUCUGAAAUUUGAUGCUCCAAAUGACAACUAUCAUCUGUGACUCUUCCUGGUAGAGAAUCACUCAAACUUGACUCUGAAGAUUCUGCAGUUCCAUUGUGUAUACAUUGUGCCCUGUCUUCCAAUGAAAUGCUCCCAGAUUCUUCUUCAGAGUUGUCUUCUUUAUCACAGCCCACAGGUAACUCCAGCUCUAGAUCACCAAUAUUUCUGGUUAACCGUUCCAACCUUUCUUCGGUGAAAAUGCUGUUAUCCGAAAAACAAAACAUAAAACCCAAGAUGAGGCCAAAGCCAAGUGUGUUUAUUGCACAAUCUUCUCAAGAUACAGAAAAAAAAUAAGGAAAAAAAAAAGCCAAAACUUCCACCAUAAAGAAAUGACAGGUUCAAUUUUCAUGCAGACUAAAUCCCCACUAUAAUGCCUAUGAAAUUUCCAUCACACAGAUGGUUGAAGAAGAAAAAAAUUACUAGAUAAUUACAUAGAAUUACUAUCAGUAUGGCAAAUGCAUACAGCACCAUCAAAUGGGCCAUCUUGAGAAGGCAUGCAGAUAUGAGAAGGAAUUAAAUCCUCUGGUAAUGUUUUGCAUGAUAUAAUUCUACAUCUAACACACUAUUUGUCCAUAACCAUAAGUGAAGUCCAAAAGGUGUUUGAUGGAGCCGCUCUGAAGUAUGUAUCUAUGAUAAAUCUAAUUUGCAUUCCCAUGAUCCUACCUAGGCAAACUCUUUUUGCAAAAUGGUUGAGACCACCCAAAAAAAAAAGAGGAGUUAAGUUAUUUUCCAGGUGGGAAAAGUUUUUAAAAAUUUCACACAUUACCACACAAAAUACGGUAAAGAACCACAUGUAGUACCUAAUAAGAACAUGUCUCUUUGAUUCAUAUGUUAUUAUACCUGUUCAACACACCAAAGUGCAGCUCGUAAAAUGGAAGUCUUGAAAGAAUGCAAUAACAGCGUUUUGUGGUUAGAAUAUGGCGGCUCAACCCCAAAUGACAAGGCUGCCCGUCUGAAAUCAUGGAAAUCAAUCCAGACGGCUUCUGUACUAUCUCUUCAACCAAAACACAACAACCAUACAGCGUUGAGUCAUCAGCCACCUAUGCAACAAAAAACUGUUAUUACGAGACCAAACAAUAAGAUAGGAGAAGACAGGAAGAAAACUUCAUAGAGAUGACGAUAAGCAUCUCAUGAAAACAAAUGGAGAUGGAAAUUGUUAAAAUCAAUCUCAAAAACAAAGGCUAACCAACAUUUACUUCUCCAUUUUUGCUUUUAAACAAAAUACCAAAAAAGGCAAGAAUACAAUUCAUCAUCCAGAUAAAUCCACCCCUCAAAAAAAAUAGAAAAGGCAGGCACUAACACAAAAAGAAAGGAAAUUCCAAAAUCCAUUUCAGCUUUAUUCACCACCGUCAGUAAAGCAAGCAGGAAGCAUACAUUCCUGCCCACAGAAUUAGAUACUAAUCUUGGUAUUUAAGUGUCUGCGAAAGAUCAAGUUGCAUAAUUUUUCAUGAACAUGAUAAGUUGCACAAUCUGGGAAAAGCUUUUGAAAUGGGAAUUGAAAGAAGCUACAGACAAAACAACCAUUAUGGUACUUACAGCUCAACCAUUAACAUCUGAACAAGACACAGAAAAUAGAGAUGCAGGCUGUGUCAUCCAAAUGCAUGAUUAAAUGAGGACAUAAAGCAGAAACCUCAUCAUGUUUUAUCAAUCAAUUAUAGAGAAAAAAAAGUCAUCUAACAUAUACAACAAUAUACAAGGUUAUAUUCAGUAUCUAAGAACAGAUUUGAUCAGUGGAUGCAUUCAUAUUAAUUCCAGUUAGCAUGUUCCGAUGUUCUACAUUCAAAAUGCCCAAAACAUUCAGCUGCAUAACAUGAUCACUGUAAAUGCUAUGUUUAAUGUUGAGGGAUCAGAGGCAAGAAAACACAAAACAGUAAUUCAAGAGAACAAAAAUUGAUUGCUAAAAUGUAAUUAAAAUCAUCAACAAUUGGGAAAUCUAACUAAAAAAUCCUCCAAUACAUGUAUUAACAAAUAAAGUUUGAUGGAUCAGAGGGCAAGGAAAUGUAAAAAAAGUAAUACAAUAAAAAGAAAAAUUGAUUGGUAACAAGAAAAACUAAAAUAUGUCAAAAGUUGAAAAUCCUAAGACGAAAUCUUCCACAACAAUAACAAGCAAUUCUUGCACCAUUUAGCAUCACCCUUUCACUAGUAAGUUUGAAAACAACAAAAUCUUUCUCAAGAAAUGUAAAAGACUAUGAAGGUGCAAUCUCUGGAAAACAGGAAAAGAGACUAGUACAUUGCUUGAUGUACAAUGCAGUAAGACAGUAAAGCAGUCAUGUACAGCAAAAAAGAUAUCUUUUAGUUGGCAUGACAAAGUAGAUACUACUAAGUAACAAGAGGCAUGACUUCAGGUAAUUUACACACGAUGACAUCUAAUUCCACACAAGGUGCAGGUAAAUAAACAAUCAGUUUCUCACUCAAUGAAAAACUCAAAUCCAGCAGAAUAUUGAUAGUAGAAGACCAAACUUCAGUUGAUGUGAAACUCAAGCAACACCAAUCACAAAGUGAAUGCACAACUCGCAGACAGAAAGUGGAGGAAGCAGGGAAUAAAAAAGAAUUCUUUCUAUACCUGCAGUCGGAACACGAAAGACAAGUCACUCUGUUUGAGGUGUUCCUGCGAGGCAAGAAGCAAGUCAAUGUCACUAAUUGUCAGUGACUUGGCUAAGGUAAACAUUACAUCAUUUGCAACUAACCAGAAAAAAAAAACACGGGACUGUAUUUCUUUGACAAUUCCAACUAUUCGUUUAAUUGAUAGAGAUUGUUAAUGAAAUAUACAGAAACUCGAAAGGUCAUAUGAACAUCCAAAUGGCUCCCAAUAUAAUCAGAAAAAUAAGGCAAAAAAAAACUGUGGCCUCAUGAUUGGUAAACUUACUGAAGUUGGUCUAAACACAGAAAACCAAAUUCAAUGAGUCAAGAACUAUUAUCUAUCUCAGGUUGUUACCCACGUACAAGAACAAAAAUAGUGAGAAAGUAACAUUACUUGGCCCAGAAGUAUCUCAUUCAACUCACUCAUCGAAGGAGUUCUCUCAAUUGCAUGAACCUGUAACAAAAUGAAUCAUUUCAUGAGUUGAUACAUAAAUCAGAGCAAAAACAAUAAACAGGUGGAGCCAAUAAAUUGCCUAGUUUUGCACUCUCUUCAAAGACCAUGCACUCCUAUCCUAUUUCCUUACAACGCAAAAGCUAAGAUUUACCCAGUAGGAUUGCAAUGAUAACCCUGAGGAAAACUGACACGCAGAAAAAGGAAUGAAACAAGCAACAGUGAACUCAUACAAGUUAACAACUUUACAAACAAAUAUUUCUACAACAAGUACACGAAGAAUCAGAUGGACUAGGUUUUACAUUCAUAUGCAUCAAACAAAUUCUCCAAUAUAUUCAGACAGGAUACAAGCUCCCCGACAGUGUUCCAGUUUGCUCUUUUUCAGGGUUAAGUGCCAAAACUAGAAAUGAUCAGCCAGAUUCAGAAGUAUAUGUCCACAUAUAAGAUUACACACGAAAAAAGUAAAUAAAAGACACACAGCUAAAAAUUACAACUCACUGUAACUUUCCAAUAUCAAGGAAUGACCCCCAACAUAAUAGCACUUAAGAAAAAGAUUUUAACAUUGAACUAGUUGGUAAAGUAUAAUCAGAGAAAAAGGAUAACUUCCAGUAAACCAACCUCAACUCCUGCAGGAAAGCAGAACGAGAGAAGAUCCUUGUAUUUCAAUGGCAGCUGUUUCUCUGGUGGAUAAACAAAUAAAACCUGAAAGUGAAAAAAGAAGAUCAAAACUUAUGUCUGAUUAUCCAAAUUUCAUGAUUGAUAUAUUUUUGAAUAGUAUACAAUAUAUGCACCUGAGGCUCCAGGUUCGGUUCAAUACGAGAUUGAUUCUGACCAUUUAGUGCAGUACGAAAUCUUCCUGAACCUUCAGACUUUCUACCAAAGUAAAGCUUCUGAAGAGCUUGAAUGUCACAAUUAGGAUGGAGUCCAACAACUACCAUGCUCUCAAAAAGUCUGGAUGGCUCUUUCCAAAUUUUGUGGUCCUGCAAACUUAAAUUACACUAUUAUCUACGAAAGGCAUGACCUUGCUUACUCAUAUAAUACAGACAGAAGAAGCAAGGUAAAUUAUAAGCAGACUUUCAAGUCCACAUCCAGAGCCACUGACUCCAAUAAACAUAAAGAGGAAAAAUAUACCAGGGACUGCAACUGAAAGCUUGCCCAUUGACGUUUUUGGCUAGUUAGUACUUCAGGGUUGUAAGGUCCACUUUUCACUUCAGGAGGGCUAGACAAGCCUUUCAGUAAUCUAGACACUUGAUUCUGAAGUUUCUGAAGCUGGCUACUGCUAUCGUCCUUCGAUGAAUAUACUACCGAGGGGCGUGGGGAUCGUGCAGCAACUGCUGCUGCUGCAGCAGCAGCAACUGCUCUUGCAACAUCUUCAGUUGUCUGCAUGAAGAACGAAGCACUCCAUCCAGGGCUACCUGACUCUUCAUUCUUCUCCAUUUGGACACUUCGUCCCUCCUACAAUUGAAACACAAUCAAUCAAACAUGAAUUAACUGAAAACAGUAACACCUCAUUGCUAAAUGCUCAUCCUCCAAAUACAAAAUGAUUACUUGAACAUGAUAUACCACGAACAAAAGCCCUAACUUUGUCCUCCAAUCCCCCGCCCAAAAAAAAAAAAAAACUAUCAUGCUUUACUCUUCAAAGCUGAAUUGAUUUCAAUAACCUCUUCAUCUAAGUUAGACAUCACCCGGCCAUCAAAAUAACCAGUUGACUGUGACCAUCUUUCACUAUUAACCCGUGAAAGUCAAAGAUUGAACCCUUAUGUUCCUGCCGUUGGAAAAAGGCAUAAAUUACCACUUCAUCAAAACAAUGAUAAGCUUGCACUAGAAACGCCCUUCUCUCUCUCCCAUACAGUUUCAUGUCAAGACUCCAUUUCCCCUAAAUAAUCCUCCGAUAAGGAUCUCAUCCCCUUGUUAACAUUCUUCUGGACCUCAAACUCAUACUAAUACUCGCACGUUUAACAGGCUCUCCUUACUGGGAUGAUUUGGACAAGCUCUUAAAUCAACCUGAAGUAAUUCCAGUUAUGACAAAAUAUGACCUUGGCAUAACAAAAAGAAAUAUGACAUGUUCAGGAUUUAAAUCGACUACUGGUGAUCAGAAAAAUCCAACUUCAAAAAGCAAAACUUUAAGACUAAGAUACACAUGUACUACCAAAAUUAAAAUCACCAAAUUGAUUACUCAUAAAUAGCCGAACCAAGCAUGAACAACGUCAUUAAACCUUAAGCCACACAAAAGCUUCCAACUUUAUGCUUUUAAACCUCGAUACCACAUCACAACAUCAUAAAACAAAAGAAAACCACGUAUAUGCAGGAGAAAGUUUGGAAAUGGGGGAAAAACAACCACCUCUGGAAAGAAAUGAAAGGAAAGCAGAAACGAGGGGAAAAAGGGAAGAAAAAAAAACCCCACCUAUAUGCGUAAAAGUUACAACUGAUUGGAGAGAGCAGCAGAAAUAACAAAAAAAAUAUCUAUAUAUCGGUCUGAAUUUGGGUAGUAUACGGAGGAAAAGGUAAAUCAGGCAGCCAUCUGAGAGAAAGGGAGGAGUGGUGAUGUUGUCCUUAUUGUCUUUGGAAACUGGAAGGAAAGAAAGAAAGGAACUCACCAAAGACAAAGGAGACUUAUCACAGAGAACUCAUCGGAGUACUCGGUGAUUAUGGAUGAGUUUCCUGGAUUAUUACAUAACAUAGGUGGGAUUAGGCGAUUGAUUAAACUUUGGCUUAUUUGGGUUGAUUUUAGUAUUUGCGUAAAAGAAAUGAAAAAUCUAAUGAGAUUUGUAAGGCAAAAUUAAUUAACAUAGGACGUGGGAAAUGAUAGAAAAUGAGAAGAGAAUCCAUAGUCCAUAGGCCUCGUGCAAGUCGACUGAUGAAACUGCGUGAGGGACGGCCGCCUCUGUCAAGGGCUGUUUGGCAUGUUUCAUAAUGGAGGAUAUCUUUUACUUUUCGUAUUUUCGCUUAUGGAAUUUCCUCUUCUUGGGGUAAGUCUUUAUUGGAGUUUAUGUGUUGCAUUUGGAGAAUCCGAAAUAUUAAUAUCUACAUUUGACUUUUUGUUUCAUUAGCAUAACUGGAUUAUUGUGGAAUAUUGAGAUGUUAAUAAUUUGUCAAAAAUGUCGCUGCUGUUGUUGUUGUCAACUUUGAUUGUUAAGUUAUUAAAUGAUUAUAUUUAUGAUGAUAUAAAAGUCAGAAUUUGUUGGCGGACACAAAAUUUGGCUAGUUAAACUAUAAAAUACCAUAAAAGAAUUGUAACGGAUUAAAGUCUUGCCAAAAAAGGCAUGAAAUUAUAACAGGUUAUAAUCGUGCCAAAAGAAAAAGCGAAUAAAAAUGUUUUGACUAGUUCAGAUAAAAAUAUCAUAAAAAAAAUUGUAACGCAUCAUAGUUUCGCCAAGAAAAAAAACUUAAUAUUGUUAAAUUUAGUCGCAUUGGUUCAUAUUUUACUUUAGGAUUGAUUAGACACAAAAAGCGCCGGCUAUAAAAUGAAAAUAGUAGAUUAAUGAGUUUAAUUUUUUGAAUAGAUGACUAUUUGACAACUUCAUGUAAGCUUCCCUUUUGUUUAGGGAUGGAAGUGCGUAGGGUGAUAUCCUCCGAUUUAAUGGUUAAUCCGAUUAAUGAUCAAUGAAUCAUAAGUUUGAAUUUGGUAUUGAUGAAAGGUUAUUGAGGAUUAACCUUAUAUGAUUUGGUAAGAAGGCAUUAAAAUCUUGAUACCCGGUAGUUCGAUUUGACAUCAAUAUUAGGGAUUGAUACCUCUAUAAAAUCUUUUUAUUAUCUUUAGUCUGUAUUUAUUUCUCAAUAUCAAUCUUGUAAAGUGUUUUUUGUCAUAAUUUAUGUACAACUUGUUUAGAUAUGCAGAAAAAGUUACCUGAAUUUUCUUUUGCAUAUUUGUUGAAAUUGCUAAUAGGUAAGAGCAUGAAUUGACUAAAAGUCUCAAAUGGAGACAAUUGUGAAUAAAAAUAGAAAAAAAGUUGAUUUAACCGUUUAUAAAAUGUUGAAAUUGCAUGCAAGUUAUAUGGUUUCGCCCAAGAUUAAAACUUAAUGUAGUAUGUUGAUAUAACAUGAUGUAUAUGUCAAUUUAUUUUUUUGAACUAUUCAGAUUGACUGGUUGAGAAUAGCCAAUAGAUAAUUCGAACUCGCGAGUAAAAAGGUUUGGUAAUGAGAAUUAAAACUAUAAUCUCUACUCGUAUUACGGUAUCAAACAUUCUUAUUUUAAAAAUUGGAACUUUUCUGAUUGCAUGAUUGAAAUUCAAGGAUUUCAAAUUUUCUUAUAUAUUCCCAUAAUUCAUCAAUUUGUUUAAAGCUAGCUACCAGAUAAAGCAUAGCAUGCAGUUAUAGCUAUAGGUCAGAGCAAAACAUAAAAUACACUACUAUUGCUGACAUGUUAGGAUUUCAAACUUUUUUAUUUACAAUAUGAAAUUCAGAGGAUAUGUAUUAAUGCAUCAUUAUUCUCGUCCAAAGGAGAUUUUGAGUCUCUCGCUCUCUAGUAUUCCCGAUCCAUUUGGGUUUUUUUUUUUUUUUGUAAAAUAGAUUAGAAUAGAAAUAAAAUGGACGUUGUCCAUUAAUAAAGAGAGGAAAUGAAAUUUAUUUGUAGCAUACAAAACUUACGUUUGGUUAAUUUCCAAUGCAUGCCAAACAUUCCUAAUUGUUGCCUAAUUGAUCAUGCGAACGUUAGGUUGGGUAAAUGAGUUGUAAAAUGUGUUUGACUGGUUUGUUAAAAGGGUACAUUAACCGGUUGGAUGAUGCUUAGCAACAAGGAUCCGAUGAGUUACUUUAUUGAGAUUAUCAUCUCAAAUUUUAUAAUGGGUUUUUUUUAAAAAAAAUUUGGGUCUACACGCGAAAAUGGCCGUCCUGCUCGUUGCAUAUCAUAUUAUUAGUAGCACAAACGGCGUGUGGUGCGCCUAACUUUAAUGGGAAAGUGCGAGUAAACUUUGCACCCGACUGCUUAGACCGCAAUCACCCAGUCACGUGCCCUUUUUAUAAUUAUUUCUAGUUUACGCAGUAGCGCAACACAUGCACUUUUUAGGGUAGGUGUCUCCCUAUUGAGGCACAUGACAUGCCAUUUGGUUCGUAAUCCAUGCAAAAAGAAUUGCAGGACAAAAACUAGUUCUUAUGGUAUUAACGGAAUUGCAGGACAUCGUGCAGUAAAGAUUCUAAAGAAAGGAUGUAAUUAUAUUCGGUCUAAUUGUUUUUAAACUCUGUCAAAUGAGCAAAUAUAUAGCUAAGGGGGUUAGAAUCUUUGCUAGAAUGUUAACACGAAAUUUUAUUUCUUCAUAAAUAUUGAUUUUUUAAGAAGGUUUGCCGAUAUUAAAGCAAUUUACGGUCAUCCCAAAUCUUUAGAUUAGGAGCCUCCAUUAGGGGCGUAAAUUAAUCAUGCUACUGGACUCAAAUUCGUGAGUAUUUUGAUCAAAAACAUGACUCGAACUCAGCAUUGACCGAACUCGAAUCGAGUUCCGAUUUACUUGACAAGGUAAUUGAGUCGAGUAUGAGUAGAAAAAAAAAAUAAAAUUGACUACUCAUCGAACCUUAUUGAAUAGUGUAUUUAUAAUAUAAUUUUAAUUACUUAUUACAAAAUUAUGAAAUUUGCUAAAAAAAUUGAGUUUGAAAACUCGAAAGGGUUCGAUUUGAUCGAUCUCAAAUUUGAGCUCAAGUAAUGUAAAAUUAGUUCAAAGUCAAGCACGAACAUACUUUUACAAAACUCGACGAGCUUAAGUUCAUGUAUUUUACUCAAGUAGAGUUCGUCGUAGACUAAACGAACUCUACUUGACUGGACAUCAGCCCUAGUCUCUAUGAUUGCAAUUAUAAGGCAAAAUUUAAAACACAUUUUAUAUAUUUAAAGAGCUUGUUUAUAUUGCAUUUUUUGAAAGUUUUUAACAGUUUUUUUUUUAUAGAAAAAUAACAUGACACUCUAAUAUUUUCUUUGACAUGAGUACUAUGUGCCGAUAAAAAGGCAAGAAAAAUAUGUCAAUAAAACAUUCUUAAUUUAAUAGACAUCAUAAACAUUACACUCAAAACAAUGCUUUAUAACCUCUAAAUUCCAAAAGUGUAGUCAAAUUUGAUAAGAAAUUCCUGAAAAAUAAAAAAAAAGGAAAGAAAAACAUAGGCAUGGUCUCUUGGCCUCGGGGUAAAGCCGCUAAUUGAGAAGCGACAACUACUGGUUAAGGGUAGGAAUAAUAUUUGUCUUUUAAAACAAAAUGUAUGUUAUUUAUUCAAUCAUGCAAGUCACUUUAAACACAGUAUACGCCUUUAUGCAGAUGUCAUACUUAGUAUAUAUCGUAUGAUCGGAACUACAUAAAGUAUUUUUUUGAGCCAAUCAUAGCCGUUAAACCUUCACAAACGGUUGCUAUACCAUUCCCGUCUCGAGUGCAAGGUAGGAACAAUUGCUACAGUAACUAAAAGGUUAAGGACGAAUCUUGGGCCAACAAAUAAUUACAAGGUUCAGCUUAUAUAUUAUAUAUACGUCGUGUUUAGCGUCAUGUAUUGGAUCUAUAAAAUUUUGAAAUAUGUUUAUAUCGUAUUAUAUUAUGUUAUUCAAUUAUCAUUGAAUAUAAUAUGAAUUCAAAUGUAUUAUAUUUAAUAUUUAACAAUUCAAUAAUUUAAUAAAUUCAAAUUUCAAACUUCAAUUUUAUCAAACCCACUCUUCGUUUCUUUUUUUUGUGGUGGGCACAAGCUCAGCGGCUACACCUCGUUGAAUUGAGUAACGGUUAACCUGGUAAUCGUUUGGAUCCCUGGUCCUCCUGCCCCAGAUUCGUAACUGUUAACCGGAUAGAUUAAUAUAAUAUAAUAUAAUAAGUGAAGGGAGGAGGGGGUGUCAUUUGUCAGGUGGACACGACAUGGUCAGUACUUGAUUGGUGUCUGGUCAUGCGGGCGGAAAGUUGCCCACUACUACUACUGUUUUAGGCUUGUCUUGGCUCGGCCGAUGACAUUUCUCAAUUCUCAUGUGGUACUGUUCAAUUCCCCACUUCUAUCAUUCCAUGCUAAAUGGUAUCAACUAGUUGUCCCCAAGACUUUUCUGUACUCGGGACCUAAACAGGGCCCACUAGGUAAGGGUAAUCGGUAUGAACUAUCAAGCGUUGUAGUACGAGGGACAUCUCAAGUUGAGAUUCUCAACUGCCUCUUCCGUUUGGUUGAGAAUCAACUCUUUUUUUUUUUUUUUUGGGAUAAAAAAGGAUUGAUUGGAUCAAGUUCUGAUCAUCAUCACGGAUCCGAAUAUGUCUUCGAUCACCCUCAAAUCUCUUCCAUUGAUGAGAUGUGCAUAUGUAAAUAUUGUACUACUUUUUUUAAUACAUCAUAUACGAAAUAAAAAAGUAGUUAAAAAAUGUAUUAAUGCUACAAAUAAAUAAAAUUUGACAAAUAAUUCACUAUCUAAACAAAUAAUUACUUAUUAUUCUUUUGUUUGAUGAUAAUUAGCAGUAGGAUAUAUAAUACCAUUUUUUAUCUGGCAAGAAUACUCAGAUGAAUUUGUUCUAUAAUCUACUUGUAGAAUAAUGAUAAAUAACAUAUAACGGUACAAGGAUAUCGUUUGUAUAUUAUUGCAAAAAGCUUACGAGUGAAACCUUAAAUCAAACGCACCUAAAUAUUUAUCUUUACUUGGGUUGAACUCUUUUUAAAGUUGCAUCAUCUACCUCUAUCAAAUUUUCUUUGAUUUACUCAAAUAAUUGGAAUAUUUGUCAAACACGUAACUCUUUUCGAUAGAAAAAGUCGCAUUAUCCCUAUCUAAUUAAGGCUUUAGCUGAACAAGCAUUUCGAACUUCAUUAGAGUAACAUACAUUCAUACAUACACAUAGCUAUAUAUAUAUAUAUAUAUAUAUAUAUAUAUAUAUAUAUUAGAAUAACUUCGAUAUGGUAAAAAUAAUUUGAAACAACUCUAAUUAUAUUCUGGUCUUUACGUACUUGCUUGGCUCUUUUACUCUUUUAAGAAUGGUUAAAAUUUGGUUGCUUGGACAGUGGACAUCACGUAACUUUUAAUCAACAAUUUCGGAUUAGAGAAGAAACGGAGGAUCAAUUAAAUUCAGAGAAAGAAAUAUAUAUAAGUUUAUAAUUUUUACUGUCCUUACUGUCAGAUCAUAGAAAAACACGCUCAAUUUUGGAUUCAACCGUUCCAGUUGAAACCGUCAAAAUAGAGCUUGAAGCCUGGGAAGGAUAAUUAUACAUUAGUAGCAUUUAAUUGACCUUAAUUAAGUACUAGGUUUCAGCUUUAAAUUGUAUACAAAAAAUGCACUGCACCUGCACCCGAAAAGUGCUGAAAGAGUUUCAGAGGCUACUUUUUUUUUUUCAGAGGCUACUUGCUAUACAGAAAGUGUGUGUGAUUUGGAACGAGUUUCAGAGGCUACUCGCUCUAGAAAGAGCAUUAAGUUGACCAAGUUCAAGCAAACUUGCUGCCGCCAUUCUGCAAUACUACCGAAAAGUCCAAGAAUUGGACGACUUAGUCAAACUGAACAAAUUUUAUCAGAAACCGUUUAUUUUUGUUAGAUCUCUGACUUGUAUUAAUCCUUUUUUUUUUUCUGACUUGGUUCUAAUUUCUGGAAUUCCAAACCUCUCAUCAUGUUGAUUUGAUGCCAAGACUUCCUCUCCAUGCUAAGACUUUUUUGGGAUCGCACAAUUUUUUUGUCAAACUAUUUCAAAAGGAAAGUGAUAUUUCAACAAUAACACUUAAAUUUUUGUCGAACUAUCUGUUUUACAUUUUGUUAUUUUAUAGACAAGUGUAAGGUAUCGAUUUGAUGUACGUGGAAUAAAAAGGUGAUUGAAAAAUGUGUUUACGAAAUGCGAAUUUUUUUUUUUUAAAAAAAGACAAUUCAAGCAAGACCGUGAAAAUUAUAAAAAGGCAUAAUAAAUUGUGUCUUUUUAAAUUAGAUGUUCUAUUCAUGGAGAAUAUUCUAAAUUCCAUAUUAUAAUUCUGGGGAAAUGAAAUAUUCCAAAGUCAUGUAGUUGGUACGACACAGGAGAAAAUCUACCACUUCAGGGAGCCCAAUAACGAGGUCAGUACAUUCAUCACUCUUUUUACCACAAAAAAAUAGUAUUGUCUUUUUUUUUUUUUUGAGAUGACAACUGUUGUAUGACUUAAUUUAUCUUACACUAAGGGGGAAGGGACGGACCUAAGGAGAUCCAGGAUAACUCAGAAGAGACUGAACCACCACCGGAUCAGACGAAUGCACUACACAUCCGCCUGGAUUUUUUGAAACAAGCCACUUUAAAUGUGGCAUUCAUCGAGCCUUAUUGUCGCAAAAUAGUUUUUUGUCCAAGGGACAAUCUUUUGUCGCAAAAUAGUAUUGUCGCAAAAAUAGUGUUGUUAAACUUUCAAGUUCUCAACAUGGUUAUUUUCUCUAAACAAAUUUAAGAAUCUAUUUAGGGGCUCUAUUUAAAGACCAAAUGAUGAUGAAAGGUGCGUUAAUAUCAAGAAUGUUUCACCUAAGAUAAUCAAUUAAUGUAGCAACAUUAGUAAGACCCAAAAAAAAAAAAAAAAAAAAUGGACACCUCUUUCUUCAUUCUCUUCCCCUCUUUACUACCCCUUGUUUCUAUCACUGACAUUUCUUAUCAGCGAGCCAACCAGUACAGUGGUUUCAACUAACGGUGUUGGGUGGGCGAACAGGGGCAUUGCUUUUUCCAUUGAACAGAAGGAUUAGAAUAUGGAUUGAUGACGGUUUUGUUUUGAUCAACAGCAUAUGCUUAUGAUGUAUGAUGAUGGCCUAACCAAAAACAACAAACCAAAUGAUGGCGGCAUUUGAUAGCCAGCUGGCCCGACCUUCAUCUAAAUAAUUGACUCACUUUCUUGUGGAAUCUUAAAGGCACAAUACCUCGAUUUAGAUUGUGAUGAUGUAAUUCCUUGGUUUUAGACUCUUAAUUAAGAAAAUUCCUAUUUCCAAAGUAUUUGGAGAGAAAUGUGGAGCUAGUGCCCAGCUACAAGGCUUGUGGGAAUAACUCAUCAAACUUGUUUGGUCAGUUUGGAGAAAAAGGGUUGUAAGUAACUUCAAGAAAACGAGCUACUAUUACAUUUGAUUGGCAUUUCGCAUUAAAUCAAUGUGUAUUUUCUUGAAUUUACACCUAUUUAGUAUUUUCCGUGCGUAAGAAAAAUUAAUUCUAUCAUAAAAUCUAAGAUAAAAAGCGGGCAGAAUCAGCCCACACCUGACUAAUAUCCCUAUCCAAAAGUAUAAUCCAUUGGAUAUAGGUGUAAAUUUAUCAUUCAAUGAGAUGAAAUUAGCCAUUUGGGCUUUUGAAACGAGCAAAAUUCAAUUGGGGGUCUGGAGCGAAACAUGAGCCCACUAACCCAAAUCCGAAACAUACCAAGGGCUGGGCGGUGGGCCAUGUCAACUAGGCUGAGCUCCAAAGUUUAAAGUUACAAUAAUGUUUGGUAUUGAAUAUCAAAAAGUUGUUAGUCGUAAUUCCUAAGUGGUGGUCCAAAUGAUAAUGAUUGGUUUCUUAAAUGAUAGCCAAUUGCAUUACUUUACUUUUGGUCCGUUGUCAUAAUUCUGCCUUUUUAAAAAAAAAAAAAAAAGAAACGUCAUAACUCUGUGAUACAUUCGAACUUAUUUGUAUAAAGUGACUAUAAAUAAACUUUUUUUAAAUUGUAAUAAAGACUAAUUUUAUAACGUAUGAAGCCUUCAUAAACUUGACAUGUUGCACACUUUUUUUUCAUUUUUUAUUGGCAAUGCUGCAUUUGAUUAAAUUGUGAUAAGUGACUAAAUGCGCUAAAGUAAAAUGUUGUUAUAGAUGUAAUUUCAAUGAGUAGAAAAUCCAAUGUACGAUAUUAUUAAAUGUAUGAAAUAUAAUAAAAUAGGACUAAAAUUGUUAAUUUCUCUUUUCGUCCUCAAAUUCGAUUUGUCUCCCAAUUCAAAAUGAAGUAGUUUUUCUGAAUAUUUUUUAUUCAUCCCUACAUUGACAAUUCUCAUGGGAUCACCGAGUAAAAUGAGAAAAGAAAGGAGAGAAACGGAGUAAAAUGACCCUCUUUCCUUCUACCGUCCAACCGUUCAAGGAGGCGGGCAAGAACAAGGAAACAGCUGCACGGCCGCACAUACACAUUCACAUGGGCAGCUGGUCAACGAGUCCAAUGAUUCUCCUCCUCCUUUCUCUGAUUAACCAAUAAUAAAGAAAUACCCAUUGUGGAAAUCGUGACCAAAUUUCUUGUUGAAAACAACACUCCAUCUCAAAUCAAUAGUCCACCACAGACCAUUGUAGUUUGAAAUCGACCAUACCAGUCAACCCGCUUUCAUCUUGUCAGGCAAACUCCACUACUUCUUUUGCUUAUUUAUGCCCAUUAUUAUUUGUGUAUCGCUCUCCUAAAAUUCUGAUCAGAUCACUUCCAUUUUCUCCAGUUAGUAGUACUCCUCGACUUCUGAAGAGCCACCAUGGCUGAAACUAAGUCAGAUCAAGGAAGCCCAUCUCUCUUUUCUCCAUACAAGAUGGGAAAGUUCAAUCUGUCUCACAGGUUAGUGAUUGCAGUUAUCAGUUGAGUCCUCUGUCCCUCCCUGCAGAUGCGUAUUUUCCUGAUCCUUCUUGAUCAGCUGCAAAUUUUCUAAUCUUUUUUUUUGUAACAAGCAUGACUAGAUAAUUGAGCUCUAAAGCUGAAUUAUUGAGCUUGAGAUAUAUAGUAAGUACUCUAUUAGUAGGAGUGCUAAUAUACUGGAGCUGCAGAAUUUCAUUUUUGGGCUGCCAAAUUUGUCUUCAUUUUUCUCUUACACGAAUUUGUCCCUUGCAUGACUAAUGACAUCUUCUGUUUUUCUGGGGCUACCCAUAUAUAUAUAUGAUGGCAGGGUGGUUCUGGCGCCGAUGACAAGAUGCAGGGCCAUAAAUAGCAUUCCUCAGCCUGCCAUGGCGGAGUACUACGCCCAAAGAGGAACCAAUGGUGGCUUUCUCAUCACGGAGGGCACCAUGAUCUCCCCAACUGCUGCCGGGUAAUUCUGUACUUUAUGCUUUCUGGAUGUUUAUUAGGAAAAGUAUAUUAGUCCAAGUAUUUGAAACUGUAGGGCCUCUCUGAUAAAACAACGUUGUCUACAAGUAUUACUGUAGUUGAGUGGGAUCCAUAUGUUUAAUGUUCGCACAAUUGGAGCCAUUAGAGCUAGAUAUUUUUUCUUGAUAAAGUUGGAACAUCAUUUUUACACUAACCAAUCGAUCCUUACACUGUAGUUUGGUAUAUAACGCAGUAGAUUCGGAAGCUUGGUAUAGCCGAAAGGAAGGAAAACAUAAAUGAGUUGUGUAAUAUUUUCUGAUAAAAUUUCACAUUUCCCUUUAAUUUUCGUUGUUAUCUUUUGCAUGGCAUGAUAUUUAUUUCAUUUCUACGCGAGGGAAAGUUGAGCUUGUGAAUCUAUUGACAUUUGAUUAAAUCUAAUUAAAACACACACACACACACACACACGCUGUUUGGAAUAAACAUUUAUUUUCUUACGUUUGUGAUGUGGAUCCAGGUUUCCGCAUGUGCCGGGGAUCUUUACAAAGGAACAAGUGGAGGCAUGGAAGCAAGUGGUUGAUGCAGUACAUGCCAAGGGUGCUAUUAUUUUCUGUCAACUGUGGCACGUUGGCCGUGCGUCACAUGAAGGUGUAAUUUUGUGGUGUUAGUAUAAAAUAAAGCUAAACUUGACUAGAAUUAAUGGCUAAUGCUAAAUUAUUUUAUAAGACAAAUUUCAGUUGUAUUCGAGUAUGAUAACGAAAAUGUGAGAACUUUUAUUUUUUUCUACUAUGCUGGUUUGAAGAAUUAUUGAACACAAUGUUCAAGACCAAGUGAAAUUCGAACCGUUUCAAAACCACUUAGACACUUUAAUAACAAUUAGGCGAUUAUUCCACUUUUACUUACUUGGGUUGUAAUAUUCUUGAUCAGUUUAUCAACCUGGUGGUGGUGCACCCAUAUCAUCAACGGGAAAGCCUAUAUCAAAGAGGUGGAGGAUAUUGAUGCCUGAUGGCAGCCAUGGGAUCUACCCUAAACCACGUCCAUUAACAACAGCGCAUGAGAUUGCGCAAGUUGUGGAAGAUUACCGCCAGUCGGCCUUGAAUGCCAUUGAAGCCGGUCAGUCCAUUUUGUUUAUCUAUACAUAUUUUGACAAUCAUGUGUAUGUUGAAUUGGUUUGAUUUUUCCAUUAGCACUUCCUUGAGCUUGAUGAGAAUAUUGCUAGGAGAUUCUAAGGCACCAUCACCCCAAGCUAUGGCAUUUUGAUGUAGAGGAGGAGCUGCCGUGAAUGGACUGCCAUUGCUUGGUUCUUACAAUACUAUGUGCUUACUUUGUGGGAUCUUCACAAUCACUGGAGUCUGGUUCUGCAUGACCUUUCCAUUACAUAUUAUAUUUAUUUAAUAUUUCCCUGCUGGAAAUUCACAAAAUGGGAAAAAAAAAUACUCGUAAGACAUACUUGGGAUAUUAACUGCACAGUAACAUCAAUACUUUACCAUGAUGGUCCUUUUAGCUCUCCGGUUAUGUGAGGAUUCAUGUAGUGUUCCUGGCUGUUUUUCGUUUGUGGUAGAAAGUAGUAAAAUUGCGAAUUUGUAGUAAAUCAAUUAUUAGAUCAAUAUCAUUAAAAGUACUUAGUUGACAAGGAUGUAACCAUGAACUUAAAAGAUCAGCAAUGUGGAAUGCUGAAUGGAAUCCAGUUCAGCCUGCAGUUGGCAUUCCAGUUCCUUUGAUUGUUUUAUCAUAUUUGAGAAUCCCAAGAGAAUUGAAAUUUCUCAGCUAACUGUGAUAAAAAAAAAUUGUCAUAUGUCGUUGCUGUUGGCCUUGAUGAAGUUAAAACUAUGAUUUGCUAUACCAAUUCUUUAUGAUUAUAUUCUGCACUAUAUAAUUAUCUAGUAUAAGUUUCUUAGGUUUAUGGAUUAAAGGAUUUCUUACUGUAACAGGUUUUGAUGGUAUUGAAAUCCAUGGAGCACAUGGCUACCUAAUUGACCAGUUCUUGAAAGAUGGGAUCAAUGAUCGGACAGAUGAAUAUGGUGGAUCUGUUGCAAAUCGCUGCAAAUUCAUUGUGCAGGUGGUUCAGGCUGUUGUUUCAGCAAUUGGUGCAGAUCGUGUUGGUGUCAGAAUUUCCCCUGCUAUUGACCAUCUUGAUGCCAUGGACUCUGAUCCACUAAGCUUAGGCCUGGCAGUGAUUGAGAGACUUAACAAGCUCCAACUGAAUUCAGGCUCCAAGUUAACAUACUUGCACGUGACUCAACCUCGAUAUACAGCGUAUGGCCAGACAGAAGCAGGCAGACAGGGGAGUGAAGAGGAGGAGGCCCAACUAGUGAGGACUUUGCGAAAAGCUUAUCAAGGAACUUUCAUUUCCAGUGGUGGGUUCACCAGAGAGCUAGGAGUUGAAGCAGUAGCUCAGGGUGAUGCUGAUUUGGUUUCCUAUGGUCGCCUUUUUAUCUCAAAUCCAGACUUAGUUUUACGCUUUAAGCUAAAUGCUCCUUUGAUUAGGUAUAAUAGAUCUACCUUCUAUACUCAUGAUCCUGUUGUAGGAUACACAGAUUACCCUUUUCUAAGCAAUGGUACCAGUGGCAAUGUACCACAAUCACGUCUGUAAUUUGCAUGUUGUUCUAUUAUGGUUGAGGACUUGAUAGGUUUAUGCCUUCAACUUGACUGGUUUUGUUUAACGUCUCAUCUGCUUUUAUAAUGGAAGUUUCCAGUGUGUUCUUUGAAUUUUAUUAUCCAUGCAUCAUGUUGACCGCGAGAGAUCUCAAUAUAUUCUGAACUAGUCCCAAAACGUACAGAAGACAAUUGACCCCAUUGCUUUUGGCGGAGAGGGAGAGAGUUCAUAGAAUUUUUUUAAAAUUAAUUUUUGCAUUCAACUAAGGAUUUGUGAUCAUGACUGCACCCUUCUAUUCCUUUCCCUUCCUACUCUUCUAGCCCUGUUUUGGCUUACGUAUCAAGCUUAGAAACAUUUUUUUUUCUUCUUUUUAUAAUUUGUUUACAAUCCUUUUCCUUUUCAAAGUGUUUGUUUUCCUUAAUUAAAAGAUAACGGAUACGCUGGUUCCAAAUUAGUUUUGAAGAUUCCGAAAUCUCGCUCUUUCCACUGCCCAGAAAAAUGCCACCAGAGUUGCAUCGUACAAUUUCGUAUAAUUCAAAUUUCCAUCCAGAAGCACUGGUUCAUUGGCCGUGAACUGUGCAAAAUCAAGUCGAGUGUUGAUGGGAUCGGCUGCAUGGUCGAAGCAAGGGUACAGACACAUUGACCAUGAGAGCACAUUUUCGAGCUUGCAAGAAGCUCACUACUUUUGCAAGAUCAUCACGAGCCUCUUCCGUUAAGGUAAUUCUUUUGAUUGGCUAAUUAAUCAACAGAAAACGAAUUAUAUCUUGUUUUGGUUCUAUUUGUUCAAUAUACUCCAACAUGUAUUAAGAUCAAGAUGCCAACAGAAUAAUAAGCACCUGUGUCCAAAAGUCCAAAUACAUGCAUUUGGACUUUGUGUCAAAACACUGGAUAAACAGGUUUCAUGUUAGGAUAAAAAAGUCCCCAAUUUUGUUCUACUCCAGCAGGCUUGAGAUCUUCAUUAAACAUGGCAAAAAUGAAGCCUUCAAUGUGAGCCCCUGGCCUUUUAGGUGUACCAGCCUUGCUCAAGAUAUGCUGCUUGAAGUGCUUGUUGUACGCAGACGCAAGUUUUGGAGUUGUGAAAUUCCCCUUCCCGGCAGAAGGCCAUCCACUCUCGGAAACUGCCACUCCCACAUUAUGCACGCCUUCUUUCUCCAUUGCCCAGUACACUGCAUCUACCGUAGCAUCAAACAAGUUAUGAUAAGUCAAAUUACCAUCCACAACCACCGCAUCUGUUGCGGUGAAGAGUGCAUAAUCUUGACGAACAUGCACUGGAUCGGAUGCAUAGGCGAAGUAAGGGUACACAUUCACCAUCAGAGGUGAUCCCUUGAUGGUUAAAAAGUUCAGAACAUCGACAAUUGCACCCUUUGCAUCAUCUGAGAAUACGCUGGCUGAAGGCGGAAAGGAAGUUCCAAGCACAGCCGUUGACACUGAUGUUGUCACGGUUAUACCAUUAAGGUUGUCAUCACUUAAGACAGACUGAAGAUUUUUCAUGGCUGGUGCAAUACUGUCUGCGAACUCACCUGGGAUGGCCUCAUUUCCCACAGAAACGAAUGCGAAUGUAAUGUCAUUAGUAUAAGGUUGUAGAUAUGUCCUAAACCAUGAUCUUGCGCCGUCAACGCUUGCUGCUAUGUUUGGUAUAUCUUCAUUUUUUACGCCUAAUGUGACAUCAAUGUCACUGCCCUUUAGUGCUUGUAGAGCAUCUCGAUUUGGAUCAAAAAGCCUCAGUUUGCCAAUGCUAUACUUCUUGUAAAGGGCAAUGACUUCUGCGGCCGGAGGUAAGUUGUCCGCCACCAUUCCAUAACAAACGCCUAUAUCAAUUUUGUCACCAGCAAUGGCUAUUGGGAACAGCAUCAUGGUUGUGAUUGCAAGAACCAUGGGAAAUAUAAUCAGCAAGAAUGACUUCAUUUGAACCGUUACAUGCAUAUUUUGCUUGUCUUACGUAGAAUGAUAUCUGAAAAAUUAGAUACAUCAAUUAGUGACUGGUAAUAUACAGCAAUAUUGUUAAAUCACAAAAAUGAAAUCAUAGUCAAGUACAGUCUAAUACCACUAAUAAAAUGCUCAUGAUGGGCUAUAAUUUAGCAGAAGCACCAAUUAAAAUUUCAUUUGUAAUUGUGACUGCAUUUCUCUAUUUAGAAAAAAAAAAAAAAGGAUCUACGUAUGUUAUACAGACAUUUUGUUUAUGCCCUUUGGUGCAUGAAACUAAUGAUUGGCAAAAAAGAUAAACCUAUCUAUUUAGAGAACAGGAUUACAUUUACAAAUAGUAUCAUAGCAUUAGUAAUAACUCCAAAGCUCAACGGCAAUGGGUAAAUUGGUGUAAUGAGAAAUUAUAAACACGAAACGAAUAUUAAUUAGAAAAUGGCUUUUUAUUUUUGUGGGUUUACCACAUAUGAUCAACGAUUUACCUCUGAAAGAAAAAAUAACAAAAGAGAGGAAAGGAUGUACGCUUGAAUAUUUAUGGGGACUAUGAUAGAGUUACGAAAAUGUUGAUGGUACGGUAACCUGAAGGACGACAUAUACAUGUAAAACCAUGGACUUACAGGCAAAUUAAUCAGCUAUAAGUUUGGUAACGACGCAGCCCAUAUACUCACAAGCUAUGAAGAUAACUUUGGUUUUGUACAAUUGUCUCCACUCCAGUAAUUAAUAAUAUGCUUUGGCUGGUAGCUAGAUAACAACGUUCAAGUGCUGGAGGGGCACUGCAAUUUGCAAGCUGUUUCUGCAGAAUUGUCUCGGCCCCUGGAACUGGCAUAGCUUCGAAUGAACAAGCCUAUAUAUGCAAUAUAUAUAAUCAUUCAAACCUUGUAAGUUCGGUGUUUUGGGGGUCGUCCACGGACGGACCAUAAAAAUUUAUGGUCAGUGGCCACGAAUGCAAACCAAACCAAGCCGCAUAUGGGUUCUUGUUUUUCACACCUGGUGGAAAUAGCUCCCUGAUAUAAUAAAAAGAUUAAGAAUCUAUUUAUUCAAAAUUUUGUAAAAUGGUAAGCUGAGUGGAGAUCUGUUAUCAUCUAUAAAUGAAUAAAGACGGAAAUCAUUAAUGGAAAUAUUUAAAAAAGAGGUGGCAAUUUUGAUCCAAAUCCAUUAAACCAUUCGUAUCCGUCUCACUUAAUUAGGCUCAUUUGUUUCGAGGGAAUAGGAGGGAAAGGAAAAGAAAUGAAAUGGUGGAAUAAGAAGGUUUUUUAUAUUUGAAUUGGGUUUUGAAAAUGGAAAGGAAAUGAUUUGAUUUUAGUUAUUUUUUGUCAGUUUGGUUGCUGUCCAAAAGUGGGCGUAAACGAAGGAAAGAUACCAAAAUUAAUGCAAAUUGUGAAAUUUUCUAAAUUUUUUAAAUGUAUUUAUAAAUUGACUUUUAAAUUAGGGAUAAAAAUGUAACUAAGCUUACUUUUCUUUACUUUCAUAAUUCAAAAAAGAUGAAUGGAUUCUGAUUUCCUUUACUCUCCUUUGUUUUCUUUUUCACUGCAGCUGUCUUCUUUACUUUCCUUCUCUUUCCAUCAGUCCCAACGGUGCCUUAAUUGGCUAUGGAUUUAUCCAAAACUUUAAACGGAAACUAAUGACUAUCCUGGUUUUUAGUGAAUAAUCCAUUAACAUCCUUUAAUGAAAAAAAUUUAUGACUCUGUUUGGUUUUUUUUUUUUUUUUUUUUGUUUGGGUUACAUAAAUAGAUACAUAAGGCACUUUGUCCCAACGGUGCCUUAAAUAGAUACACUUAAAAGACAAAGUAAUUCUCUCCCAAAUUCAGGUUCCCAUAUAAAAAGAAAAGGAAAAGGAAAAGGAAAAGGAGACACUCUCUUCCUAUAAGUUAUUUGUACGUUAACUUAAGAGAAUUCCAGUACUAUUUUCCUAAACUUGCUUCUAAAAUAUGCAAUUGAAAUGAAACAGGAAUUUUUCGAGCCAAAAAAGACAAAUGCGGCGUUGUUAAAAAACUAGAAAUAUAACAUUAGAGGAACAUAUAUAUUGUUUGAGAGAAAGUUUAAAUGACAAAGUAUACACCAAAUUUAGACUCCAAACCCCAAAAGAAGAAGUAAAAGGAGAAGUAAAUAUGAGAUCUAUUAGAAAAACAUCGCAUGUCUUAAUUGUCCAAUCUAUAUUUAGAAUAUUCCUUGAAUAUAAUUUUCAAUUAAUGUUUUAUUAUUUUAAUUACGUUUUUCUUCUAUGCCACGUUACAUCAAUAAGAAUUACACAACUAUUAUUUUCUCAAGAGCCACAUCUAAAAAAUAUAAUUGAAAUGAAACUAGAAUUUACGGGUCAAGAAAUUCAAAAGUAGGUUUUUUUUUUAGUGUACCCCUAGACCUCUCACUUAUAUUCUCUUCUUCCAAACCACCCAACCCAUCCCUCCCUCUAAAAAAUGGAAUUGUUAAACUACUACAAGACUAUAAUAGUAGUGUAAUAUUCAUUUAUUUUACAAGGGAAAAAAUUUUAAAAAGAAAAAAAAAAGAGAAAAGGAAUAGCUGAUGUGUUUUAAAAAGAAAAAAAUGGAAAGCGAAAACAAUGGGCUGCAGCAGCCAGCGGGGGAGGCUAGGAUAGUAUUAUAUCAUAUCAAAGGGGUUGAAACUAUCAAAUUAAAUGGAUUUAAUGGGUAAUCAAUAGCCAUUAAAUUCCAAAUCUUUAGCAUCCAUCUACUAAUUGGGGUGACUCCAUUUCAAUUAUAACAAUUAAUUAUGAGUAUCUGUAAACUCUUGAGCAGAAACUUUACAUAGACGUCUAUUAUCUAGAAGGAAUUCUCAUAACAUUUUCAUAUCUCCACUUUAUUUUAUUUUUGAUCGAAUAAAAAAAUAACAAAUUUAUAUUUUUAAUCCGUCUUGUGUCCUCCUCCCCCCCACCCCCAACCCCAAAAAAAACAAAAAAAAAGAACGGCAAUACAAUAAAAGAGAAGCAGAUUGGAUCUAUUCAAUUCAUGAACUACUUAGGAUUUAUCCAAAAAUGAUCCAAUUAACCAUUUUACCACCUCUAGUUUGAAACCUCCAUAAAGAGCAAGAUUUUGAAACUAAUAAAGAAUAAGAUUCCAUUUAUUCAAAAUUUUGUAAAAUGGUAAGCUGAAUGGAGAUCUAUAUCAUGCAUAAAUGAACAAAGACGGAAAUCAUUAAUGGACAUGUUUGGAACCUCCAUUUUAGGUCAUUGUGAGUCAAUGACCAACAAACAUUUUUCGUCGGAAAUAUGAAAAAUUGGUGUCGAGGAAUAUAAUUGAUCUCACGUCAAAGGACGAUCCCUGCACCGCGAGGCGCGAGGUUAUCAGCCUCCACUGCAGGGGAAGUAGGAAUUUCAAUCCUUUUUUUUUUUUUUUUUGCUUUUAUCUUUUAACAAUUAACAGCUUUUCUGGUUAAGGGGAAAAAACCGACUGAGUCAUUUGAUACUCAAAUUGAAUUAGAUUUGUUAAGAGAACUUAGUUCAUCAGCCAAGCCUGAAUAAUAUUUUCUAUUAAAUAAAGUUUCAAACUUGGUUCAAACUCGGUUUGAUCAAAAUUAAAUUAAAAUUUAUAAGCAAAAAAUUCUAGCUACUCGACCUCAUCUAGAUCUAGACUCAAUAAAAGUUCAUUAGAAUUCAACUUCAUAAAUCAACAAACUAAACAAGAACAUAAUUUCAAAAUUGUUAAAAUAAUCAUAUAAAUUUAAAUAUUAAGGUAAUCGACUUGAUUAGAUUGGUUUAUGCCCCUGUUGCUGAUCAUGCGUUAAAAAAAAAUUUAAAAGAAAACCAAUGCUUUAGGCACCGAUUAUUUCCAUGUUUUGGAAUACGCCAUGUUUUGAGAUACAUGAUAGGCGUGCUUAGCUCAGAGAGGCAAAAGAAAUAAUUGAGUAGAAUGAAGUUAAACGAUGGUAUUGAUUGUUUUUUUCUAUCAGUGAAUAAACGAUUAAAACCCUUAUAAUUGGACAAGUAAUUUACUUUUGUUUGCUGACCUGUAAUCAAUUGCCUCAAUGCCUAGAUUUUCCUUAAGCACAUAAGUUUGUUGAAGAGAGCACUACCGGCUAGGGAUGCAUGUAGCUCGCGAGCAACUCGGUUAAUAACUUGACUUGAACUCGGUCAAAUCGAGUUCGAGCAGAGUCUUGAGUUACUCGAGUAUACAUUCAAGUCGAGUUCAAGCCCGAAUUUUUGCAGCUCGGGGUUUGACGAGAUACUCGUCGAGUAGUAUAAUUAAAAUAAUAUAUAUGUAUUAUAAUUAUAAAAUGACCGUUAUGGGUAUAAUUUAUACUGAAUUUACAAAAUUGAUCAAAAAACUCGAUUGAUCAGUUUACUUGACUCGAUAAGGCUUGACUCAAGGUCGAGCCUUAUCGAGUCGAGUCUCGAGCUUUUAAGGAUUUUCUCGAGUCAAGCUCGAGUUGAGAUUUUCCGACUCGAUCGAGAUCAAACUUGAGCUCAAGUAUAAUUAUAUUGCUAUACUUGAACUCGACUUGACUUGAAUACACCCCUACUACCGGCGGAUAGAGGGACCAACUAUGGCCUUGUUCUCAGUUGCUUUAAAAUUUCUAAAGUCUAAUUAUAAAAAUUACUUAUGGAGAUAAUCAAAAUCAGUAAAAACAUUUUUUUGGGUGAUUAUAGAUAUUAUCUUUUUUGUUCAUUAAAAAAAUUUAUAAUUAGAAUACAAAAUUAAUCAAAAAUAUCACAAAACGGAUUAUAAUCAAAAUUUAUAAUCAUAAAAAACAAGCCCUAUAUAUGAUUUAAGACUUGUGCCUCACAUACAAGUAAAGGUUGUAAAAUAAACAGUAAGCGUAUUACUUGCUAUAAAAGAUUAGUGUGACAAGAUGCCCAAAUCUUAUCGAAUACUAGAUGUAUGUGCGAUGCACUAGCACGAAAAAUUUCUAUUGCUAAGUUGGAGGAAGCAGAAUAGAAGGUUCUAUUGCUAGCUCUCAAUUAUACAAGAAAGCUAUUGUACCAUAAUAAAAGAUAUAUUCAACGACACCAACGAGCGGUCCAGCGGCAGCGCCUCUCACCAGUGAAUCUUGAGGUCACAAGUUCGAGUCUCCGCUCCGCUGGAUUCCUCCGCGCACUUAACGUGUUCGGGCUGGGUUGGGACGCCGGGCCCGGACCGUAGGAGAUUAGUCGGGCCCCGUAAGGAUUGACCCGCACACCUCUGUGUCGACAAAAAAAAAAAAAAAAACGACACCAACGAGCAUUGGUUGUUAAACUUCAUUUAUUUAUAGCCAAUGUACUCAUUUUAACACCUGGUACCUUCUGUACCAGUAUUCAUUGCUUGUACCAACUAUCAUCCAUCAGAUCCGUUGAGAAAAAAAAAAAUCCUUUUUUAAUCAUAUAGACUAAGGGCGGAAGCCCGGUGUGCACGUGGACGUGGUCGUCCUCCGCGUGGUGGCUGUGGAUUGGCUUUCUGAUAAUGUGGCACGAUGUGAUUGGUCUGAACUUUUUCCCUGCGCCUUUCCUUCCAUUUGUUGACGUGGUGGCCCGGUUCCUGGUCAAACAGUCAGGCGGUUGUUUCGUAAUGUCUUGUCUUCUUCUCUUUGUUGGGCUCGGAGGUUUGUUGAUAUUACAAUUUUAGCCCUUUGAUCUCAGCUAUUUACAUCCCGAUCUUUUGUUGUAUUUUUGAGUUCCUUUGUCCUUUGAGGGGUGUGUUGCUAAUGUACGUUUUGUCACAUCCAGUCUGCUUAGCAGCUUUUGUUGAAACGAGCAACUGCUCCAGCAACGCUACCCAUCUCAGUUCCAGACGUCCUCACUGGGAGAUUGGUGGCAAGUUUGGUCGUCUUCACUUCACAUUCAAUUUUGCUCUUCUAUUCCUCUUCGUUUCUUGCUUCUUCCUUUGUUGUCAGAGAGCAGGUGAGCUGAGGGGAGUGGUUGUACCUUUGUAGAGCACCGAUUGUGGUCUAUCUUCUUUGUCCUUCAUUUUCUUUUCCCUUUUUUGUACUUUUCCCUUUUCCAAACCACACGAUUUUUCUUUUGGUCGAUGGCUUUAGUCUUAUCUUUUGAGCUUCCGUACAUUCUCUCCCCCAUUUUUUCCCUCUCUUCUGUCUUUUCUCUUCAGAAACUGAUGCUCCAUUACAAAAAACUCAAAUCAGGUGAAAUACACGAUGAAAAGAAGAGAAGCCUAAAUCCAUGGAAGCUCGUAACAGUAAUGAAGAUUUCGCAAUAGGAUGCAUACUCUCCGUCAAGACCAUUCAUCCAAGUAUUGAACAAGACUAUUGACAACUACUUUGCUGAGACCGAGCAGCUUGCAUUUAACCCUGCCUUUGUUGUACCUGGAAUAUAUUAUUCAGAUGACAAGCUGCUCCAGACUCGCAUAUUCGCAUAUGGUGAUACCCAGCGUCACCGUCUUGGCCCGAACUAUAUGCAGCUUCCAGUAAAUGCUCCCAAGUGUGCUCAUCACAACAAUCACUAUGAUGAUUUCAUGAACUUCAUGCACCGGGAUGAAGAGGUACUGAUCCCUCUUUUGGUAAUAAUGAACCGCAAAUUAUGCCUCGUUCUUUAAUUUGGUCUUCAUUUUGAGGACAUCCUACUUGUUCUUUAUCCCAGUUAGUUUCCUGGUUCAAGUCAGCAUUUAAGGUUACUUUUUAUGUGAUUUAGUAAAUAUAAUUAUCUAUGACCGGUUGCUGGUAUAAAGUAACUUUUCAUUAGAUACCAUUUUUGUGACAUGAGGUGGUUGUGAAUAUAAACUUGGUGGUUGAUAUGAAAACUUGUAGAUGUCACCGACCGAUGGAUCGAUGCUCUUCAUUUUUAUGUACUGUGAAAAAGGGAAUUCUAUGUGUGAAAUAAAUAGAUUAUGAAGAAUUAGUGGAUAAAUAAGAGUUGAGUAGAAAGCUAUCUUAUUACAUAUUGUCAUGACUCAAGGCAUAGAGGACAGUUUGAAAAAUGAAAAAAUGCCAGAAGUAGUACCCAUUCCGUUUUUCCAACUUUGUUGUGUAAUUGCUUUACAAUAAAAUCACUUCAGUUUUUUUUUUUUUGGCUUCGGGACUUUGUGAAUGGGAGUUAAAAUGGGCUUAUCUUAUGCUUAGUUGUACUACACUUUUUUGUUCAAUGUUUUUUCAGUUCGGUUAUUUCCCUUCAAGGUUCAAUCCUAUUCGUCAUGCUGCGAGGCAUCCCUUCCCCUCUGCUGUCCUGAGAGGAAAGCGUGACAGGGUGAGUUUCUACGAGUAGAUUUGCUUACUUUCAGGCUCUUGCUGUUGUUUGAAUCUAGAUAAAGGAACUAUGGAAAAAAAUUGAUGACUUUACUCAGUUAAUCAAAUCUGGGGAAAUCGGUUGUUUUAAUAACUUCAUCUUGGGAUUUGAAGAAUAUAUGAUACAUAAUCUUUGCUUCUCUCCUUCCCCCCCUCCCUCUAUCGAUUUCUCCCAGUUCUCCCUCUUGUUCUUCUUCAUCUCCCUCCCUCCCUUCCUCGAGUGAUUAUAGCUAAUUUUUUCUAUUUUUUUGCCAUUUUUUUUGCCAUCUUCUUGGCAGAAAACAAUCAAUUUUUCCCUCCUCUUUCAUGUCUUUUUCAGAAACAGCGAGAAAGGGAAGUUCAAUAUUUCGUCCCGACUAUCUAUGCGAAUUUGUGGAAUACAGAUAUGGUAAUUUUUCUUCCCCUUUCUGUCUGUGAUUAAUGUAUUUGUUUCAUUUCAGUUUUAUCAUUCAUUUUUUAUUUUUAGUUCCAAGAAAAACUUUUAAUAUGAUCUAAGAUAGUGAAUAAUUGAUGAUUAGCUAGCUUUUAGAUAGUUAUUUACUUUAUAUUUUGUACCUACUAGGUUUUUAUUGUUCCUGCUUAGAUAUAAACUUUCUCUAGCACACCAAGUUGGAUCCGAUCCAUAUUCUAUCUGUUUGUUUCAAUUUCUGCAUUUCCUCAUUCAAUCUGUUUGUGUCUACUUAGAUAUAAACUUUCUCUAGGACACCAAGCUGGAUCCAUAUUCUUUCUGUUUGUUUCUACUUCUGCAUUUCCUCAUUCUUAUGGUUUUUAUUGCUGAAGCAUUUCCUCAAUUUCGAACAGUCUUUUAGAGAAAUGGUUGCAAUGUGCUUGGUCAAAGACUUAAAAAAGAGGAAUCGUGCGAAAAAACUCUCUGCUGACUUACCUCCGUUGUGGAAUCGUGUCAAGGCAAAUUUGAGUGUACGUCAUUUUAAUGGUACUAUUAUGGAACUGCUAACCAUCAUUUUAUUUUCUAAUGGUUUACCUACUAAAAAAUUGCAGCUUAAGGAUGCUGCAGAACUAGCUUUGAAGAAAAUGCCUUCAGCUGAAUAGGAAGCAUUGUCACAGGUCUGGGACAUCAGAAGAAUUUACUGGCUGUUUGAUCUUUUUCAUUCUGAGCUGUCAAAGCUCUUUUACUCUUUGAAAGGGAUUUCUACAUUUAAAACAGUGGUAUUUUUUCAGGCAAAAAUAACAAAAGAUGCAAAUAUUUAAGUGCUGACCUCCUAUUUUCUUAACAUCUUUUUUCUUUCUUCUUUUUUUCCUUUUAGGUUUCUUAUUAGUUUGCUUUCAUCUGAUGUAGGUGCAAGUUUGGAGAUUUUGUCUUGGAUCACUAACUUUGCAUCAUUUUUUUUUCGUUUUUAUUGUUCAGUUCUAUGUUUAGCUUCUUUGUUACAUGUGUUGUGCUGCUUUGGUUUCUUGCUCUUCACAUUAUCCUCAGCCUCCUCUUGCCUACUGCUACUGUUCCUUCAAAAAACAGGUAUUCGUUCUUUACCUCCUUUUUUUCUUUCUUAUUUUUUCUCCGGUGACAUGUUAUAGCUGUGAUAGUUGAUGUGAAACAUUUUUUCUGAUUCUCUUUUAUCCUGCAUGCUACUUCAUGUUUAUCCUACAGGGUGGUUUACAUGUCUUGCAUUUCAAUUUUUUCCUGCUUCCUAAGAUUUGGUGGAACUACAUAUAUGGGCAAACAUAGAGAAUGGAAAGAAAUGAACUUUAUCUGUGAUGCCUUCUUCAGAUGAAGAUGCGUCAGAAAAAUUCUGAAUUGAGAAGACAUGACUAUAGAGUUCCAGAAAGAAAACAAUAUCGCGCUAACCACAGUUUAAAUGAUAAAAUUAGUGAAACUGAUUCCUGUAUACAACAAGGGAAUAUGCUUAUUAUACACUAAGGGAAAAGUUGUUUUAAAUCUUGAUUCAGUUCACAAUAAGGGAAAGCUGCAGACAGUAAGGAAAACAGAUUUAAAGUUCGUCCUCAAUUUUGUUUUGAACUUGGUAUUUUUUUUUUCCCCAUAUGUUUUUUAUCUCAAGUAUACAUAAUUUGCUUUUAGUGAACUCUAGACAAAGAUUAAUACGGCACAAGUAUCGUCAUCGAUCAACCAGAUUUUGUUCAAAACUUACCUGAAGGUGUGUGCUUCUAUCAAGUAGUUACCAAACAAAAAAACUAUAAAUUUGUAAGUUUGGGGUAUUUUUCAUUUCGUUCUAGCCAUUCAUAUUAUAUCACGUUCAUAAUUUUGUCUAAACAACAACAGAAAGUUCCAAGAUUUGUCGGAUACUUCAUACAUAGUGACCUGACGCCUUCAAUUACUUCGAGAACUGGAAGGAAAACAAUGACAAUUGCAAUGCGUGGGAGGCAGUUUGCAGAUAGCUGGGAUAUCAUUCUGAUUGAGCAUCAGUUGUAGCCUGGAGAAACAUUAGUCUUCGUUCCUGAUAAAAGAAGUUCCACCUACAUUUUCCUCACCUUUGAUAAGGAUGGUGUAGAUGGUCAAUUCCCAUGGUAUAACAUGUUCUAACUGUACUCCAUAAUAAGGAAUACAACAACUUUGAUGUAUCUAAGUAAAUAUCUUCCUCGGAUUGUGUUUGUUAUUCUUUACCAAUUGAUAUAAGCAUUGCAUUUUCGAUGUAUUUGUUUGUUUCUUUUCAAUGUACUCUAUGAGGCUUGCUAAAUAAGACGUUCUUGCUUUCUAAGGCAUAUCAUUGGUCCAUUGCAACUUAAAACUUAUCUAAUGCAUAACAUUUGUAUACUGUAAUCAGGUUGACCUUUUCUUUUCAUUUGAAAACUCCAACCUUUAGUGUCAACAUUUUAUAUAUAGUAUUUGUCGAUGCCAUUAAAUCUUGGGCAUGCUCAAACUUUAGUGUCAACUUGAAUAAUUUACGUAGAUUAUAUGAACUCUUACGUUGGGCAUGUAUACCACCGCGCUGUGCGCGGUGUUACCACCUAGUCAUAUAUAUAUAUACAACGAGAAAGGUAGCUUUGCAUGUAUUUCAGAGAAGUUAGUAGUGUUUCUUUUUUUCAUCAAAUCUAUGUGUUGCAUGGUAAGUACAUGGAUUACUCUGGCUUUUACUAUGUACCUAACAAUGCAAUAAUUAGUUUUAAAAACUAAAUAGUUCACAGAAAGAAGCAAGUUUCAGUUAUCCUUUAUGUGUUGUUCUUGAAGUAUCAUGGACUAAAGAGCUUGUGAAAUUUCACAUUUUCUAGUGCCUUGAAUUAAGAUACAAUAGAAAUUUAAAAUAUAGAGUCGUUGAUUAUUGAACCCAAAUUUAACAAGAAAAAAAAUGUUGUGCAUCCAUUCCAAUAUCCAGAAUAACUCUUUCUUUUUUGCAGUUCCUUUUUGUAUAGAACUCUUUGACCUAAGUGCAAGAUAGGCCUUUCAAAUUGUGUCAAAAAACUGCAUAUACAGGUUGCAUGUUAGGAUAAAAAAGUCCCCAAUUUUGCUCUAUACCAGAGGGCUUUUGAUUUUCAUUAAACAUGGCAAAGAUAAACCCUUCAAUAUAAGCCCCAGGCCUCUUAGGUGUGCCACCCAUAUUCAACACAUGCUGCAUAAAGUUCCUGUUGUAUGUAGAUGCAAGUUCUGGGGUUGUGAAACCUCCAUUCCCAGCAGAAGGCCAUCCGCUCUCAGAAACUGCCACUCCUACGUUAUUUACUCCCUGUUUCUCCAUUGCCCAAUAAAAUGAAUCUACCGUAGCAUCAAAUAAGUUAUGAUAACUCAGAUUUCCAUCAACAACCACUGGAUCUUUUGCAGUGAAAAGAGCAUAAUCUAGGCGAACUUGGUCUGGAUCCGAUGCAUAGGCGAAGUAAGGGUACACAUUGGCCAUCAAUGGAGACCCUUUGAUUGAUAGAAAGCUCAACACAUCUGCAAGUGCACCCUUUGUCUCAGGUGAGAAUUGACCAGCUGAAGGAGGAUAGGAAACUCCCAACACCAUCGUAGCGACCGCGGUGGUCACGGUUAUACCAUUUAGAUUGUGGUCAUUCAGAACAGCCUGAAGAUUACUCAUGGCAGGGGCGACAUCGUUGGCAAACUCUCCUGGGAUUGCUUCAUUUCCAACAGAAAUGAAUGAAAAUGUAAUGUUACUGAGAUAAGGCAGCACAUUUGUUGUAAACCACGAUUCUGCUCCCUCAGUACUUGUGGCUAUACUCGGUAUAUCUUCAUUCUUUAACCCUAAUGCGACGUCAAUGCCACUGCCCUUCAAUGCUUCUAGAGCGUCAGGAUUUGGAUCAAAUAGCCUUAGUUUGCCGAUGUUAUAUUUCUUGUAAAGGCUAAUCACAUCGGUAGCAGAAGGUAGAUUGUUGGCUACCAUUCCAUAACAAACGCCGAUGCCUAUUUUGUCUCCAACAAUCACCAUUGGGCUAUGCAUAAUGAUCAUCAUCAUCAUGCCAACAACAAGGAACAUUCUUAGGGAUGCCAUAGUUUGAGCCCUCAAAUGCAUCCUGUGCAUUUCUCCUACUUGGAAUGAUCUAACAAACUAAUUUUAAUCAGUCACAACUGAUACUCCUUUGGGUUCAAUUCCCAAAGGAAACAAUUCAGGUACCACUAAAGCAUAAGGAUCGAUAACUUUAUAUCACAUAAAUCUCAAAAAGUACGGAGAAAUUUCAAUUCUGAAGAUAUGACAUGUGCACAAGAAUAUAUACUAGUUAUUGCGCAUAUUAUAUAGGAUAGUUUGCUUGUGAAAUUGACCAUGAUAUAUAUAUAUGUAGAACCAAGAAUCGUAGAACAGAGAGCUAAUGCUGUAUGAAUGGGAGUUGAGACGUGGGUCGAAUUAAUGACUCUCAACAUGCGUGAAGCAGAUUUUUGCAAUCCUUCUACUUUAAUAACUAAGUAAUGUUCUUCAGGCAACGUAGUAAAUCACGAAUUGCAUGGCAUGCAAUACUACGAAUGAAGAUGAAUCUUGGAGGGAGGAAUGUCCUUGAUUCAUAAUCUCGCCCUUUAUUCUAGCAGAUGCACCUGAUCUUGGAGUAGUUAUGAACGUUUUCCUCUGCUAACUCCUAACAGUGUAUAUUAAGUAAAUCCACAGAACUUUGUGUCCCGGUUUAGUGAAAAAGUGCUUUAGAAUUUCUUUUUAUUUAUACAUUUACACGGUAACAAAUAAAGCGAAAGAUUUGAACAAAAGGCGCAAGAUAUCAGUAGAAAUUGAUGACCAAAAAAAAAAAAAAAAACAGAUUAAUGUUUGUAGUAUUCGUCCUUGCUCGCAAAUUAAUGUCACUAGCAAUUACUACAAAAGCACGCCAGUUUUAAUAACGAAAAGAACAAUGGUAUCAGUAUACAAAAUUCACAAAAUAUUGAACCUCGCAGCAUAUAUAUUACGGUUUCAUACUCAAAAAGCACCUUUUUGAAGAUUCAGUAAAUAAAAAUUAGGUUGUUAUGAAAUAAUGAUAAGAUGUGGAUGUCCGUUGAUAUUCUCUAGAUGUGGCUGUCCGUUGAUAUUCUCAAGAAGGAUUACAAGAUGAAGAUGUCCGUUUGCAUUCUCAAGAUGAUAGUCACAUGUAUUCUCCCUAGAUUCAUUGGUAUAUUGGAUGAACUCAUUUAUGGAUGUACUUGAUGUACUAAAUUCAUGUAUUUGUAUUUAAUAAGGUUCAUGUACCUUUGAUCUUGGAUCACCUAUAUAUAGGGGUGUAUCCUACUUCCUUUGUAACCUUGUAACAUUGAAACCUGGAAGUACUUUGAUCAGUAAAAUAUAAUAAUAUUCUAUCUCUCACUCUACUAUUUCAAUCCCUACUUUGGGAGUUUAUUUUAUUAGUUUCACAACACGUUAUCAGCACGAGUCUCUACCUUGAGUUAAGGAGAAGCACGAGUCUCUACUUUGAGCGAAGGAAAAGCACGAGACGCUGUCAAGGUUCUGCCCGAAUAACUUUUGACUACUUAUCGAGGUAAUAUUCUUUCCUACGAAUCUAGUGCAUAGUCUUAUGGCUAAUCUCACAAAACAAGAGUUCGUACCUCUUGAUAUUUCUGGAAAAAAUUAUUUAUCGUGGGUAUUGGAUGUUGAAAUUCAUCUUGAGGCAAUGGGUCUUGGUAAUACUAUUGUUGAUGAGAAUGAUGCCUCAAACCAAGACCGUGUUAAGGCCAUGAUUUUCCUUCGUCGUCAUUUAGAUGAAGGACUAAAAGUAGAAUAUCUUACUGUCAAAGAUCCUCUUGUCCUUUGGCGAGAUUUGAAAGAAAGAUUCGACCACCUGAAGUUGGUCGUUCUUCCAAAGGCCCGAUAUGAUUGGUUCCACUUACGACUACAAGAUUUCAAAUCUGUCAACGAAUAUAAUUCAGCCAUGUUCAGAAUUACUUCUCAAUUAUCAUUGUGUGGCGAAAAAAUCACUGAUGAAAAUAUGUUAGAGAAACAUUCUCUACUUUUCAUGUCUCUAAUAUGCUCCUGCAGCAGCAAUAUAGAGAGAGAGGAUUUAAAAAAUAUUCUGAACUUAUUGCAUGUCUUCUGUUGGCUGAACAAAAUAAUGAAUUACUGCUGAAAAAUCAUGAGUCCCGACCAACUGGUGCAAGUCCAUUCCCUGAAGCGAAUGUGACUCAAUUUCAAAAUUCUGGUCGAGGUCGUGGACGUGGCCGUAGAGGUGGCCGUGGAAGAAGCCGUGGACGUGGCCGUGGCCGUGGACGUGAUCAUAGUAGAUUUGUGUCUCGUGAAAAUUAUAGCCGUGGCAAGCAACAAAAUAUUUCUCAAGAGAGAGAAAAUGACUACGAUCCGAAAAAAGGAGAAAAGAAAGUUUAUGAAGAAAAAUGCUACCGAUGUGGUAUGGAAGGUCACUGGUCCCGUACCUGUCGUACGGCUAAACAUCUUGUUGACCUCUAUCAAGCAUCAUUGAAAAAGAAGGACAAAGAUGUCGAGACAAAUUUUAUCGACCAAAAGAAUGCUUAUGAUGAUGAUGAUGCUGACAUGACACACCUGGAUAUUGCCGAUUUCUUUGAGCAUCCUGAAGAUGCAAAAUGAUCAUAUAUUUAAUAUUUGUCUAGAUGUUUGAUAUAUUGUUAGUUUUGCAGGAUUGUCCAUUACUUUGGUAUGUUGUUUGAUAUGUUGUUAGUUUUAUCAAUUUACUUUGCAUAUGUCUAUUCUCGUAUCUUUUAUCAAUAUUUAGUUUCAUUUAUUUUCUUCCUGAAGAAGAAAUGGAUGCCAAAUGUUUGGGAUCAAAUAAUGGUGAUGAUAACAUUUGUCUCGUUAAUAGUGCUUCUGCGCACACUAUAUUGACAAAUAAAAGAUAUUUUUCUUCUUUGGAGAUGGGAGAGACAAAUUUAAUACCAUCAGUGGUAGUGCAAAAUUAAUUGAGGGCUCUGGAAGAGUCACUCUAUUUUUCCUGAAGGAACCAAAAUUGUCGUAAAUAAUGCACUACUCUCUCCCAACACUCGAAGAAAUUUAUUAAAGAUAUCCGUUGAGAUGGAUAUCAAAUUGAGACACUGAAUGAGAUAAUAAUAAAAAUCAAGUCAGAUGAAAGUUGAUUAUAUCAUAUUAAUCAUUCGAGGGUGUAAUGGUUAUCGAUAUAGUUAUCUUUAUUCUCAUUUGAUUUAUAAUCAUCACAUGCAGUAAACCAGAAGUUUACUGAUCCCAAUGAAUAUAUGAUUUGGCAAAAGUGAGAAUAUUUGAAUGUCGACAAGUAUUUAUACAUACCCCCUUUAUAUUAUACAUGGCUCCAAAAGAAAUUUAUGUCGGAUAUGCAUCACCUUUUACGAUUAAAUAUCGUAAAAUAUUGAUGAAUGAUCUAUUGAUGAGUGAUCUAUCCCGACAUUAGGGGGAGGAAAAGAUCAACCGAAAGGAAAUCAUCUGAACAAUUGGAUUUCCUCGAUCCUCAUACAAAACAAUUUAUGUGAACUAGAAAGGAAAUCAUCUGAACAAUUGGAUUUCCUCGAUCCUCAUACAAAACAAUUUAUGUGAACUAGAAAGGAAAUCAUCUGAACAAUUGGAUUUCCUCGAUCCUCAUACAAAACAAUGUAUGUGAACUAGAAGUUCAAGAAAUUCUUCAUUUGAAGAAAAUUAUAUUUAUCGACUCCAAAAGAGUUAUUAAAUCAACUAUUCCUGCAGGAAAUACUCUUGUUAAAAUUGAUGUCCCUGAAGGACAUGUACAAGUGCUACAAAUAAAGGCCGGCCUACCUAUAUAAGGUAUACAUUGAUUUCAAAUAUCUCCGGAGAUUAAAUAAAUGUCAUGACAAAAUUUAACCUCCUGAAGAGGUCGCUCCUGAAGAGCCAGCUCCCGAAGAGCCAGCUCCUGAAGAGAAUGAAAUUAUAGAAAAGUUAAUUGGAGCCUAAUGAAAUGUAGCACUUGAUAUUAUAGAAGUUGAUGAGGAUCAUGAAUCUAGAUCAGUUGAUGAAUGUCGGCAUAGAAAUGAUUGACCAAAAUGAAGAGGCCAAUACAAUCUGAAUAAGAUUCACUGGCUAAAAGAAAUGUUUUUGGGCCUGUAGUCCAAACGCCUGAAGGUGUCAAGCCAGUUGGAUAUAAAUGGAUUUUUGUGAGAAAAAGGAAUGAAAAGAAUGAAAUAGUGAGAUAUAAAACAAGACUUGUAGCCCAAGGCUUUUCACAAAGGUCUGGAUUUGAUUAUGAUGAAACGUAUUCACCUGUAAUGGAUACGAUCACAUUUAGAUAUUUUGUGAGUAUUGCAGUGCAUGAAAAACUUGAUAUGCGUCUGAUGGACGUUGUCUGAAGCAUGUAAAUCAAAUCCUAGAUAUAUGUAUUCUAUUAGAAUACAAAAGUCUUUGUAUGGGCUCAAGCAAUCUGGACGUAUGUGGUAUAACCGCCUCAAUGAAUGUUUAACUAAAGAAGGUUAUACCAAUGACCCAAUAUGUCCAUGUGUUUUUAUCAAGAGAAAUGGGUCAAAUUUUGUGAUUAUUGCGAUAUAUGUUAAUGAUCUCAAUUUGAUUGGAACUCCUGAAGAGAUCCAAAAGGCUGUCGAAUAUUUGAAGAAAGAAUUUGAGAUCAAAGAGUUUGGAAAGACAAAAUUCUGCCUUGAUUUACAAAUUGAGCAUUUAGAGAGUAAAAUUUUUAUCCACCAACCUACUUAUACCCAGAAGGUAUUAAAGCGAUUUCGUCUGGAUAAAGCACAUACAUUAAGUACCCCAAUGGUCAUCAGAUUAUUGAAUCCUAAUAAGGAUCCCCUUAGGCCACAAGAGGAACAUGAAGAGAUACUUGGUCCUGAAGUACCAUAUCUCAGUGCAUUUGGUGCGCUUAUUAUCUUGCUAAUUGUACAAGACCAGAUAUAUCAUUUGCUGUGAAUUUAUUAGCAAGAUUUAAUUCCUCGCCUACAAGACGACAUUGGAAUGAAGAAUGGUGAGAUUGAUGUGCUACAAAUCCGAUCGGAUAAUAAUUUGGCAGAUUUGUUUACCAAGGCUUUGCUGACUGCUACGUUUGGGAAACUGGUGAAGAAUAUUGGUAUGCGUCGGCUAAAAGAUCUCAUAUAAUGUUUGCAUCAGGGGGAGAAUUUAUUACACAAGAAUAGUGUACUCUUUUUCCUUCACUAGGGUUUUUAUCCCAUUGGGUUUUUUCCUAGUAAGGUUUUAACGAGGCAUAUUCUUUGUGUCAUGGACAUCCAAGGGGGAGUGUUAUGAAAUAAUGAUAAGAUGUGGAUGUCCGUUGAUAUUCUCUAGAUGUGGCUGUCCGUUGAUAUUUUCAAGAAGGAUUACAAGAUGAAGAUGUCCGUUUGCAUUCUCAAGAUGAUAGUCACAUGUAUUCUCCCUAGAUUCAUUGGUAUAUUGGAUGAACUCAUUUAUGGAUGUACUUGAUGUACUAAAUUCAUGUAUUUGUAUUUAAUAAGGUUCAUGUACCUUUGAUUUUGGAUCACCUAUAUAUAGGGGUGUAUCCUACUUCCUUUGUAACAUUGUAACAUUGAAACCUGGAAGUACUUUGAUCAGUAAAAUAUAAUAAUAUUCUAUCUCUCACUCUACUAUUUCAAUCCCUACUUUGGGAGUUUAUUUUAUUAGUUUCACAACAGUUGGGUAAUAAUCAAAUUUAAAUCUAGAAGUUUGCAAAUUUAGGUAAGGUAGUACUUUAUAUCAUUCAUCAACUACUGACUAUAGAAUAUCUUAGGGCUUGUUUGGAAUGUGAAUUUUUGUAAUAAAAUUUUAGGAAUAUUGUGUUUAUACUUUUUUUUAAAAUUACCUCAUUAUGUGACAUAUAUCACGUGUUAUAGUAAGUUCUUUUUAUAAAAAUUCCAAAAAAAUUACAAUCCAACUGGGACCUUAGAAUCCAAAAUUCUCGAUGGAUUUCAGAAGAUAAAUUCCUUACACGGCAAUUAGCUUUCGUUCCAAGAUUCACUGGGUACGUUAUUCCUUUCUUCUUCUUUUUUUCUUCUCUUUUAUAAACAGGAAGGAAAUGGAUAACAAAUUGAUGCUAUAAUUAUACCAGUUAUAAAUACAUACUGAACAAAGGAUUUCGAAAGAGAAUUUGGGUUAUUCUGGAGAGAACCAAUUUAACUAGUUAAGAAAAAGGAUAUAUUACAGAAUUAUUAUAUACCAUCAUUGAACCAAGAUAUUAUCAUAUAAACAUGCAAAUUCUGGAAGCAAAAUGUUGAUCCAUGCGAAAAUGCAUUCUUAAAGAUAGAAACAUAAAAAAAUGACGACAUACUAAUUUUUUUCAGCAGCAUAGGUCAAUGCAAAUGUAUAUACUUCUCGUAAGAUGGUUCUCUUGUUAAAUUCUCGGUGAUAUUUAGUUAGCCUCUUCUGCUGCACAUACAAUAAAGAUUUUACUCGUCAGAAUAAGAUUUGGGCUGUUUAGAAAGACCCUAAUCCUAGACUAGGCGAAUAAAGUGGUGAUAUAUAAGAUGAGAAAAUGACCCUAAUCCUUGUUUUCUUGUUCUUUUUCUCCAUCCUGCCCCGGUUUGUCAAAGACAUAGCUUGCAAGUUGCAAUCUUCACUCGCGUUUUUUAGCAAUGCUAUUCUUUUUACCUUCAGAUUAUACAUUAUCUCAUUAAGGAGGAUGAAUGGUUCACUUUUAAUAAUAGGAUUAGAUCCAAUUGAUGCUUCCUUAUAUUCAUGGUAAGGUCUGAUGUGCUGACAGUAUGGCAAUCAUGGUUCAAAGUCGCGGUCGCGGCCCGGAACGUUCCACAUCGGUCUCAGCAUAUCGGUCGCGGUCUCAGUGAGACGCAAAUUUUAAAGUAUUUAAUAUUCUAAAAAUUGUUAAUAAUAUAAAAAAAGUAUGCUAAACAAAAAUAAUAAAAAAUAGCAAAAGAAAUGGCCGAGUCAAUCCGUUGCGGUGUAACUCGGUUGAUUUCUCGUCUUGACUCGGGAUAACUCGGAGUGACUCGGUGUGACUCGGCCGAGUCAAUCCGUCGCGGUGACGUCUCGGCCGAUUUCUCGGCGAGUCAAGUAUCUCGGUAUCGUUUCGUCAUGAUAUCGUAUCGGUAGGGGCCGAGACGGUGACGACUCGGCCGAGACUUCGAACCAUGUUUGUAACCACGGUUACAAUGGAAUGAACAAGAAAUAAAAAUGCUCAACAAUGUUUCUACUUAUUAAGAAUUUACCUGGUAUCCAUCAUCACGAACGGUUUGUGGGGCUCAUUCUGGUUAGAUCUCUGUAUUCUAGUCUUCGUGACAGAAUUCGAAUGAGAAAUUGUCAGUUUCUUGGGGUUUUCUUUUGCCAGUCUAUCUAGCAUGUUGGCAAUACGUGAAAGAAGUUCAAACUUUUAGGAAUAGCACGUCCAGAUGAUUCGAAAUCCUCAAUGCCAAAGAUUUUUUGUUUGCUUUCUACAAUGUCAUGAUGAUUCUUAAUGAAACUUGUCCUUUGCUUCCAAUGUAGCAAAGCUAUCAUGCUAGCUUGCAUAUCAGAGCUUUUGCAUUAUUAAUUUAAGGAGAAUACCCUGGCCUCUAUGGUGUUCCAUCUUUCUACCCAUGAAGCUUUGAUGAAUUCUUCAAGGAUGCUGAAUCCGAUGAUUCUCUGCAAACAUUUAUUCAUGUAAAAGUAAUAUUCAACUGCAGAAGUAAUUUAUCACUGGAUCGUAAUUUUGGUGAUUCCUUAUCGCUUCAAUUUCCAUGGAAAAGAGCCUGAUUCUCAAAAUUGCAGUAAUUGUCUACUGGCACUUAUGUUGCUAUAAUUCCUUAACCAUCACUUCACUCCUGUGUUAUAAAAUUCACUCAAUUGUGUUCGUAGUCAACUUUUUCUUCCGUUAAGGUGAAAAGUGUCUGUCUUCUGCCGACGCGAUUUUACAAGCAGAAACCUUAUCCUUUGGGGGUGUCUAAUCAUCCUCAACAAUGCCGCAAAGGAUAGGGAAGUUACCAGGUCCAUACAUUUAUACACGGCUGUUGGCUAACUUAAUAUGAAAUGACAAGACGGGCCUGCAAAAACUCACUUUUGGCUGUCAAAUGUCUUCUUCUACCUUGGGUGAUCAUGGACCACAGUGCAAGAUUUUUUUCAUCUUUAAACUCUCAUUUUGAUGGAGAGUCCUUCAAAAUUUGAUAGAAACUGUGUACUGUUUGGUUCAUAAGACAUUUUCUCAUGUGCCUGAGACUAAUAAUUUCCAAUCAGAAUAUUUUGCAAGUAUGUGUUAGCUGACCAAACUAUCACCAUCUUUUGUCCAAAACCGCAAAAAGAGAUCAUUUAAGGGGCAGUUUGCCAAGAACUACAGAGAAAAAUCUGUUUCUGUCAAAUGAAUUGAUCACAAACUAAAGUAACAACUACUGACAUAGUGCCCAAUGCCUUUGCUAGUAAGGAGCAAGGACUACAAUCAUCAUAAUUGCAUUCUCUGUAGCGUUUCUUAGGUGCACGGCCAUCUAUAAACCAAAAUGAAGACACUUCUACUGUUGGAAAUAAAAUAACGGCCAUCUAUAAAUCAUCGUUAAUCUACAUCGGCGUGCAUUAAUCUCCUUGAUUUCACUGUUAUAAGGAAGCCUAUUAUGCCAAAAGACUGCUGUUAAAUUACUAUAAUUAUGCCACAAGUAGAAACUCCUAGUCCAUUUGGAACCUUAUAAAGAGCAAUCUAGCUCAUUUUCUUCCCUUGGAUUCUUUUUGCAUUUACAGAAUAUGCUUCUCAAUCCUAGCCAAUUCCAAACAAAAAGGGACAAUUUGUAUUUGUCGAUUGAGAACGUACUCAAUCACAUGCAUGACAACCCAUAAUAUGUCCUUUCUUUCGUCAAAUUUUGCAUGCAUGUGAAAUGCUUCAAGGCAUAUCCCCAAUGGUCCAGAAAUAUCCAUGCCAUCACAGUCUUAUAAAUUCAGCAUACAUUCUCAACAUCACAAUUCUCCACCACUUAAUCACAUAUCCACAUUCCUCUCUUGUUAAACUCAAUAGCUAGCAGAAAUGUUGAUACAAGCCCUCUUUAUCUUUUCACUCCUUGUUGCCUCAACUCAAGCUUUAGACUUCUGCGUAGCGGAUCCUUCAUUGCCUGUUGGACCUGCAGGUUACUCUUGCAAGAACACUGCUGAAGUCACAGUUGAUGAUUUUAUUUUCAGCUUAGCAGCUCCUGGCAACACUUCUAACAUCAUUUCUGCGGCAGUAACCCCUGCUUUUCCACCCACGUUCCCUGGUGUGAAUGGUCUUGGCAUUUCAAUUGCCCGUCUGGAUUUCGCUGUGGGUGGUGUUAUCCCAUUUCACACGCACCCUGGAGGAUCUGAAAUCCUUGUUGUCAUACAGGGGCAGCUCUGUGCUGGCUUCAUUUCUUCAUUGGAGAAUAAAGUCUAUUUCAAAACUCUUGUAAAAGGAGAUGUGAUGGUAUUCCCACGAGGGUUGCUGCAUUUCCAGUUUAAUUCCGGGAAGAGUCCUGCUCUAGCUUUUGCUAGCUUUAGUAGUCCUAACCCUGGUCUUCAAGUCACUGACUAUGCAUUCUUCAAGAAUGAUUUGCCAACUGAAAUUGUUGCCAAAACCACUUUCCUUGACAUUCCACAAAUCAAGAAGCUCAAAGCAAUCCUUGGUGGCACCAAUUAGAUUACCGUGAAGUUGUUUAGACGGAAUUUGGAGUCAGUCAAUUAGUUCGUUCUUUCACAAAGCUGUGAUCCAUUUUAUGUUGCUCCUCUGUUUUGCAGUUCAAGUACUUUUGUUUUAAGGUCAGGAUUGAAGUCUCUAAAUAAUGAGAAUGAGUUAGUGGAGUAGUUAUCCGCAGUUCAGUCUCCGGUGGUAUUUCAGCUGUCCUAAUGAUGGCUUUUCUCGUAUUUCCUCUUGUUGUCAAUCUGAAACUCUCAUGCCGAAAUCUGCCUGUUCUGGAAAUGAAAUUAAAUGUGAUGUUGUCGUAAAUGAAUUCGGGAU